UUUUUUUUGAGGUCGACUGGUCGACUUUGUCUUCAACAGGAUUAGUGGGGGCACGCUGAGUGCACCCACUGGGUGUAGUCCCCGAGACUACGGUCGAAUGCUUGUAUUCGGCUGUAGUCUUAGAAAUGUGUGUUUUUCCCUUUUUCACUCGGAAGUGAAUUAUAUUUGACGUUUAGUCGAUUGGUUCUUCGCAGAACUCUUGUGAUCUUGUGGCUCGCUAUUCUGAGCUGGAAAACAAGCACACUCAACUCGAGCUGAGCCUGAAGCUGGUUCAGGAGAAGCUGACAAAGUCAAAGGAGGAGACCGAAGGUAUGUUUGGUGAGAUCCUGACGACUGCUUUUCCCCUUGCUUGUUCCAAAAUCUGAUCUUGCUGUAACUUGCAGGUAAGGUAAGGGAGGCCCAACAGAAGAAAGACCUCGAACUAGCUGAGAAGAUCAAGCUUGCUGACGAGAAGUUAGCUUCAGUCACCAAGCUUGAACAAGACAAUACCAAUCUGAAAGCUGCUCUUGGUAUCGCCAACAAGGAGGUCAGUCGACUGAAAACUGAUAAAGCUGCCCUGGCCGACCAAGUCAGCAAAUUGACUGGGAAGAAAACUGAUCUGGAGGCCUUCCUGAGUGGUCUUGCCAAGAAGCUGUUUCUUAUGCUUGAAGGUAAACCUCUAUGCUUGGCAAACAUUUCCAAUUGUGGUUUUUCCAUUCGACCAUCUCCUUGACUUAGUGAUCAUCCUUGCAGAAUUUUGUCAAAACUUCGAAGAAGAAACUAGCCGACUGGAGCCAAACCUCGACCCCGUCAAUUCUCCGGUGAACGACGAAGUUGCCAUGGAUGUUUUCCGACUGGAGUCCCGUGUUGCAGCUGUCGUGUACUAUCUCGCAAGGCUGAAGGCCGCCACAUCUCGCAUCAACUCGACGCUCUGGCCUGAGGAGACACUUCAGAAUGACCUUGAGUCGCUGAUGGCCCGCUUGAACAUGAUCCCUGGUCGAGUGCAGGAAUAGAAGAAGUCCUCGGCUCGGUGUGGUGCAGAUGUUGCUCUGUGUCUGGCCCGAGUCCACUGUAAAGACGCGCGAGAAGAGAAGCCGGCGGCCCUUCGGGUGGCCAAUACCAAGAAGCACGACUUCAGGUCCUUUAUGGAAACUUUCCUUGCAGCUGCCACUCGGAUCGCCGACGGAAUUGACCUUGAUGAAUUCGUUGCACCUUCCAGCCCUCCACAGGAGGGGUAAAAAACUUCUUCUGGCUCGACUCUUUAAAUUUGCCUCGGUAUGCCGAGUGGAAUUGUAGCCGAUAAACCUUAAUCAGGCUUAACGCCUGAGCACUUUCGGUUCCUUUAGAUAUCGAUUCAAACUUGAAUUUGGUGCUUGAAUAUGAUUGCCUUUGGCUCAAAAUGUCUUUUGCAGGUUCAAAGCAAGGCGCCUUUACUGCAAUCGACUUAUUCUUUAGUCCACUUAGGCGAGCACUGAACUGCGGCUAAGCCUCCGAGUGAGAGGCUUGCUCUUCAUUCGGUAGGAUUUUGGUAACUUAGGCGAGCACUGAACUGCGGCUAAGCCUCCGAGUGAGAGGCUUGCUCUUCAUUCGGUAGGAUUUUGGUAACUUAGGCGAGCACCGGGCUACAACUAAGCCUCCGAGUGAGAGGUUUGCUCUUCACUCGGUAGGGUUCUUGUAACUUAGGCGAGUGCUUGGACUGCAGCUAAGCCCCCGAGUGAGAGGGUUGCUCUUCACUCGGUAGGAUUUUUAUAACUUAGGCGAGUGCUUGGACUGCAGCUAAGCCCCCGAGUGAGAGGGUUGCUCUUCACUCGGUAGGAUUUUGAUAACUUAGGCGAGCACAGGGCUGCAGCUAAGCCUCCGAGUGAGAGGUUUGCUCUUCACUCGGUAGGGUUCUUGUAACUUAGGCGAGUGCUUGGACUGCAGCUAAGCCCCCGAGUGAGAGGGUUGCUCUUCACUCGGUAGGAUUUUUAUAACUUAGGCGAGUGCUUGGACUGCAGCUAAGCCCCCGAGUGAGAGGGUUGCUCUUCACUCGGUAGGAUUUUGAUAAACUUAGGCGAGUCCUUGGACUGCAGCUAAGCCUCCGAGUGGAAGGCUGGCUUACCACUCGGUAGGAUUUUUAUAACUUGGGCGAAACGGAUUCGCAGCUAAGCCUCCGAGUGGGAGUCUGGCUCACCACUCGGUAGGAUUUUUACAAACUUAGGCGAAACGGAUUCGCGGCUAAGUCACCCACUGAGGGGGAAUUUUAUUGGACAAAAAUAAAAAGUGACAGAAAUUAUGGAGGAACUUUGACACUAUUAUUUUGAGGUCCAUGAACUACAGAAGUACUUUAUUGCAACUCAUCCGAGUGAUAAACUUAAGUGUAAAAUGGGCGGAGUAGCUCCGCGUUCCAAGCUCGGGGCUCGUCGAUAUUAUGCUCGACGUUGUAAAGACGGUACGCCCCAUUGUGGAGAACCUUGGUGACGAUGAAGGGGCCUUCCCAAGAAGGAGCAAGCUUGUGUGGUUUGUGCUGAUCCACUCGGAGAACUAAAUCCCCUUCCUGGAAGGCUCGACCUCUCACAUUUCUGGCGUGGAAACGACGCAAAUCUUGUUGGUAGAUGGUCGACCGGAUCAAAGCCAUCUCCCUUUCUUCCUCUAAAAGGUCGACUGCGUCCUGCCGCGCUUGUUCAGCCUCUGCUUCGUUGUAGAUUUCAACUCGAGGAGCAUUGUGGAGAAGAUCACUCGGCAAGACUGCUUCAGCUCCGUAUACCAAGAAGAAUGGAGUUCUUCCGGUCGACCGAUUAGGUGUGGUCCGCAGCCCCCAAAGCACUGAGGGAAGUUCGUCGACCCAAGCUCCAGCUGCGUGUUUGAGAUCACGCAUCAUUCGGGGUUUCAAUCCUUUAAGAAUCAGUCCAUUAGCUCGCUCUGCUUGUCCAUUCGACUGUGGAUGGGCGACUGAAGCGUAGUCGACCCGUGUGCCUUGGGAGUUGCAGAAAUCUCUGAAUUCCUCUGAGUCAAAGUUCGACCCAUUAUCCGUAAUGAUGCUGUGCGGGACUCCAUAUCUGAAUAUUAGUUCCCUGAUGAAGCUAACAGCAGUACCGGAGUCAAGGUUCUUGAUUGGUUUAGCCUCGAUCCACUUGGUGAACUUGUCGACUGCCACCAGUACAUGCGUGAAGCCACUUCGUCCUGUUCUCAACGGACCGACCAUGUCCAGUCCCCAUACUGCGAAAGGCCAGACGAGUGGGAUAGUCUUCAGGGCCGACGCAGGCUUGUGUGACAUAUUCGAGUAGAACUGACAUCCCUCGCACUUAUCCACUAUAUCUUUUGCCAUCUCAUUCGCCUUUGGCCAGUAAAAUCCGGCUCGGUAUGCUUUGGCCACGAUGGUCCGAGAGGACACAUGAUGACCACAGGUCCCCGAGUGUAUAUCAUUAAGGAUGAGUCGACCUUCUUCUGGUGUUAUGCACUUCUGACCAACUCCAGUCGCGCUUUCUCUGUAUAAUUGUCCUUUGAUUACGGUAAAGGCCUUAGAUCGACGGACGAUCUGUCGAGCCUCUUCCUCAUCCUCCGGAAGCUCUUUUCUCAGGAUAUAUGCGACAUACGGAACUGUCCAGUCGGGAAUGACCACCAAAACCUCCAUGAUCAAGUCGACCACCGCUGGGACUUCAACUUCAGUCGGAUCUGUGGCACUCUUGGGCUGUGGAGUUUCUUCGGUGAAAGGAUCUUCUUUGACUGACGGAGUGUGUAUAUGCUCCAAGAACACACCACUCGGAAUGGCUUCUCUCUUGGAACCUAUCUUUGCUAGAUCAUCAGCUGCUUGAUUUUUCAGUCGGGGUAUAUGAUGGAGCUCCAACCCCUCGAACUUCUUUUCCAGCUUCCUCACUGCACUGCAGUAUCCAGUCAUGGCUGGGCUUCUCACGUCCCACUCCUUCAUCACCUGAUUGACCACCAAAUCCGAGUCGCCAUAGACCAUCAGGCGACGGACGCCGAGUGAAAUGGCCAUGCGCAACCCAUACAAGAGGGCCUCAUAUUCUGCCUCAUUGUUGGAGGAAUCAAAGUGAAUCUGGAGCACAUAUCUGAGCUUGUCUCCUCUGGGGGAAACCAGAACAACCCCAGCACCGGAACCAUUCAACAUCUUAGAGCCAUCAAAGAACAUGGUCCAAUGCUCUGAGUGAACUUCAGUCGGCUGCUGUUGUUCAAUCCAUUCGGCAAGGAAAUCUGCUAUUGCCUGGGACUUAAUGGCUUUCUUUGCCUCAAACUUGAUAUCAAGGGGAAGAAGUUCAAUCGCCCAUUUGGCCACUCGACCAGUUGCAUCCCUGUUGUGCAAAAUCUCUGAUAGUGGAGCGUCGCUGACGACUAUGAUGGAAUGAUCAGAGAAAUAAUGAGCAACCUUCUUUGUGGUCAUGUAUAUUCCAUACACAAGCUUCUGAUAAUGAGGAUAUCUCUGCUUGGAUGGAGUCAAGACUUCAGACAAAUAAUACACUGGGCGCUGAACUUUGAGAGCUUUUCCUUCUUCUUCCCACUCGACCGUUAGCACAGUACUGACGACUUGUCCUGUGGCUGCGAUAUAGAGCAACAGAGGCUCUUUGCUGAUUGGAGCAGCAAGCACCGGCUGGGUGGAGAGCAGAGCUUUUAGCUCGGCAAACGCUGCAUCAGCUUCUGUAGUCCACUCGAACUUGUCUGUCUUCUUCAUCAGUCGGUAAAGAGGCAAUGCCUUUUCACCGAGUCGUGAGAUGAAUCGACUUAAUGCGGCCAAGCAUCCAGUAAGCUUCUGGACAUCGUGCACUCGCACAGGGCGUUUCAUUCGGAGAAUAGUGCCAAUCUUCUCUGGGUUAGCGUCGAUUCCCCGUUCGGAAACGAGAAAACCGAGUAACUUGCCACCAGGAACUCCAAAUGUGCACUUUGAUGGAUUGAGCUUGAUAUCAUAUCUUCUGAGGUUGGCAAAUGUUUCGGCGAGAUCAGCGAGCAGGUCGGAACCUUUUCAUGACUUGACAACAAUAUCAUCCAUAUAAGCUUCUACAUUCCGACUGAUUUGAGUGAGUAGACACUUCUGAAUCAUUCGCAUAAAUGUGGCUCCGGCGUUCUUGAGACCGAAUGGCAUGGUGAUAUAGCAGAAGCACCCGAAUGGAGUGAUGAAAGCUGUUUUUACCUCGUCGGGUCCAUACAGAUGGAUCUGGUGGUACCCAGAGUAGGCAUCUAGAAAAGACAGCCUCUCGCAUCCCGCGGUCGAGUCAACAAUUUGAUCUAUGCGAGGGAGAGGAAAGUGAUCUUUCGGGCAGGCCCGGUUGAUGUGCUUGAAGUCAAUGCACAUUCGGAGUGACUUGUCCUUCUUAGGAACCAUGACGACAUUAGCGAGCCACUCGGAGUGGUAUAUCUCUCGGAUAAAUCCUGCCGCUAACAGUCGAGCCACUUCUUCACCAAUGGCUUUUCUCUUCUGGACGGCGGACCGCCGAAGAUGCUCUUUGACUGGUUUUGCAGAUGAGUCGACUCUUAGGCGAUGCUCAGCCAGUCCCCUGGGAACACCUGGCAUGUCAGCGGGCUUCCAUGCAAAAAUGUCCCAGUUCUCACGGAGGAACUGGAUGAGCGCUUCUUCCUAUUUUGGGUCGAGUGUUGUGGAGAUGCGAGUCGGAGCUGCAUCGGGGUCGGUCGGGUGAAUGUGAACAGGCUUCGUCUCACCGGACGACUGGAAUGCAGACUCUGUGGCGGGUUUCUUUGAUCGCAGCAAGUCACUCGGAUCUGCGUUUUGCUUGUAUUCCUCGAACUCGACCGCUGUCACCUGGGAAUCAGCAAUCUUGGAGCCCUUCUGAAAGCACUCUUCUGCCUUUUUCCUAUCACCGGUGACAGUGAUCACUCCUUUGGGGCCGGGCAUCUUCAACUUGAGGUACACGUAACACGGUCGAGCCAUGAACCGUGCGUAAGCUGGUCUCCCCAAAAUGGCAUGAUACGCACUCUGAAAAUCCACGACCUCAAACGUCAACUUUUCUUUGCGAAAAUGUUUCGAAUCACCAAACACCACAUCCAAAGCUAUUUGGCCGAGUGACUCGGCUUUCUUCCCUGGUAUAACUCCAUGAAAGCUCAUGUUACUAGUGUUCAGUCGGGACAUCGGAAUGCCCAUUCCUUUCAGUGUGUCUGCAUACAACAGAUUCAGCCCACUUCCACCAUCCAUCAGCACCUUUGUCAGUCGAGUGCCUUCGACAACUGGAUCGACCACCAAAGCUUGCCUCCCAGGGGUGGCAAUAUGAGUCGGGUGAUCAGAUUGGUCGAAUGUGAUGGGUAUUUGAGACCAUUUCAGAUAAUUUGCUUUUGCUGGGGCAACCAUGUUCACCUCACGGUUAAUGACUUUCAGUCGACUCUUGCUUUCCACAUCUGCAAAGAUCAUCAGAGUGGAGUUGAUAUGCGGGUAUCCUUCCCCACUGUCUUCCUUGUCUUCAGCCUUGUCCGACUCCUUCUCCUUGUCCUUAGACUGUUUUCCCUGAAACUGCUAGAUCAGGAGUCGACAUUGGCGAGUGGUGUGCUUCGGGUAGAUGAUAUUCCCCUCUUCGUCUUUCUUCGUGUGGAUGUGACAUGGCAUAUCCAUUACGUCGUUCCCUUCUUUAUCCUUUACCUUCUUGGGGUUCCAGGAUCCUUUUGGUUUCCCCUUAAACUUUCCCUGAGUCACGGCCAGAGCCUCUCCAGGAGCUGCCGGUUCAGCCUUCCGCUUCUGUUUCCGACUGGUGUUUCCUUUUUCUGACUGACUCGGCUUGUGCUUGCCGCUUCGGAGUCGGUCUUCUUCUUCGCCGUUGGCGUACUUGGUAGCAAUCUCCAUCAUUCGACUCAAGGUCAUGUCAACGGUUCGACCAAACUUCAAACUCAGUUCUCUGUUCUUGACGCCAUCUUUGAAGGCGCAGACUGCCUGAUGAUCAGACACAUUCUCCACAGUGUGGUGCAAAGUGAUCCACCUCUGAAUAUACUCUCUGAGAGUCUCAUUAGCCUUCUGCACGCAGACUUGCAACUCUGUCAACCCAGCUGGUCGCUUGCAAGUUCCUUCAAACGUUCUGACGAACACUCGGGACAGAUCUUCCCAAGUGUAAAUGCUGCUAGGAGGUAAUUGAGUCAACCAUGCCCUGGCAGAACCUUCCAGCAUGAGGGGCAAAUGCUUCAUGACCACCUCGUCGUUCCCACCACCAAUCUGGACUGCCACUCGGUAGUCUUCAAGCCAAGUUUCCGGCUUAGACUCACCAGUGAACUUGCUGACUCCUGUUGCCAACCUGAAAUUGGGAGGGAUAACUGCGGCUCUGAUAGCUCUGCUGAAACAUUCAGGACCAGAAACAUGCACUCGACUGCUUGUGGGUGCAUCUCUGUCGAGUCCGCCUCGAUGAGCUCUGUUCCGGUCGACCAAACCUUGCACGAUAAUGGAUCGCGCGUCGAAGCUUGGUUCUCUGGGGUCAACUGGAACCCUUCGCCCUGUACUGUACUGACGCCUGUCAUCUUGCCGCCGAGGAGCAUAAGACCCACCCCUCGGAGGGGAAUGGGGCACUCGACGCCUAUCAUCUCGGUCGAGUCGGUCGCCAUAUUGGCCUCGCCAAUUCUCGUGCUCCUCACGCCGCGGAGGCGAUCUGGGGCUGUGAGCCGACUGAACCGUAUUUGCAGUGACGGAUCGACUGUGAAUUCGGUUGCGUGACUGAGACACGGCUGAAUUCUGAUCUCCUGCUGCCCGGAGCAGAUCUCUGAUCUGCAGCAAACCUCUGCCAGCUUCCGACUGCGAAGGUUGGAUGGAUUCUGCUAUACGGGUCGCAGCUGCUAAAUUCUGGAUUGGGGUUCGAUAUACCUGAGUCGGCGGGAAGAGUUGACGUCGACUGGAGUCGGGAACUCGUUGCCGCGCGCGCUCGUCGAGUGCUCGCUGAAGGUUCUCCAGUCGAGUGCGCUCAGCCAAAUUGGCCAGACGCGCCUCCUCCAAGGCACGAGCCUCGGGGGUUUCUCCUGCGAUGGGAGUACGCAGGGCAUCCACAUUCCUGCGGCGAAGUUCCUCUCUUUGCAGAGAGUCGAGUGGCUCGGGCUGGUACUCUUCGUGGCGUCGUGCGGGGUCGCCUCCGUCACCUGCUCCAUCACCACGGGCGAAGCCAGGGGGACUGCGGGGCCCGUCUACCAUCAAGAUUUCCGCCGCUGGAUCACUGCUACCGCACUCGGAUGUAGUCUCUACGGAGCCAGUCGACAGACCGAACAAGUCGUAGAGAGAUUCGUCGGGCUCGAUUGCCGCAACUUGAGUGGCGGCCGAUUGGCGAGCCACCGCGUGCCUCACCCAUCGCUGAAGCCUCGACCGGCCCGAGCGCUUGCGCUGGCGGGAGACUGGGAGGGUGGACGAUGGAGGGGCCGACCGAUACUGGGUCGACGGUUGCCGCAGCAGAACACCGCGGACACAUGCGCGAAAAUGCGUCGCACCGCGGACGGGGAGCGCAUCAACGUCGAGUGGAGCCUCCUGGAGCCACGCGGAAUCGUCGGCGAUGAAGGUGAGAGCGCCGAGACGGAUCUCUUGACCCCCGACCAACACUCCAGUAGACACCAUGAUGAAAGUACUCGGAAGAAUCGCAACUUCUCCACAAAAAUCGCUAAAACACCCGCCCCACGGUGGGCGCCAACUGUCGUUGUUCUAAGCCUGACGGUAGAGUGGGGGGUAGGUAUGGAGAGGCAAGGUCCUAGCUAUGGAGAGGUUGUAAACACAAAGGAUGUACGAGUUCAGGCCCUUCUCGGAGGAAGUAAUAGCCCUACGUCUCGGAGCCCGGAGGCGGUCGAGUGGAUUAUGAGUAUAUGAGUUACAAGAUGUCGAACCCCUCUGCCUGUGGAGGGGGGUGGCUUAUAUAGAGUGCGCCAGGACCCCAGCCAGCCCACGUAGGAGAGGGUUUAAGGUGAGUUAAGUCUGGGGCGUUACUGGUAACGCCCCACAUAAAGUGCCUUUACUAUCAUAAAGCCUACUUAAUUACAGGCCGUUGCAGUGCAGAGUGCCUCUUGACCUUCUGGUGGUCGAGUGAGUCUUCGUGGUCGAGUCCUUUGGGUCAGUCGAGUGAGUCCCUCGUUGGUCGACUGGAAGGCGACCUCUUCUAAGGAUGUCUUUGGGUAAGGUACUUAGAUCAGGUUCACGACCCUACCCUAGGUACAUGACCCCAUCAGCGUCCCCUGCCGGCUGCCUUCUGCCGCCCCUCCCAAAGAAUCCUCGGCCGUCAGUGCCUUUGGGAGGAGGCCAUCGGCGGACGGCGACAGAGUGGAGCAGCGGGCGGAGGAUCAGCGGCGACGAAGGCCGAGUUGUGCGGGGGCAGCGGCGGAGGCCAAGCGGAGCAGGCGGUGGUGGGCUAUUGGUCCGGCGGGGGAGUGGAGGAGCGUGCGUGCGGGGGUUGGUUGACUGGGGACGUGCGUAGGCGAGCGGGCGAUUUUUUAGGAUCGAUCGCGGCAGGCGUGAGAGGAAAGGCUUACGAACCAUGUGGUGGGGAUUGUGUGAUUAUAGUGGUAGUAGAUUAACCUAAUGGCAUGGUGGGUAAUUAAAGCAUAAAACACGUUUAGUAGGCUGGAGGGAUGUAGACCAUCGGAUUGCAGGUUUCGAUGGAUAGGAUGAUUUGGUUCUCCGCCCUCUCGUGUUUUUAUAGGGGUAGUAGAUGAUCAGUUUAAGUUGAAGUUUAAAGGAAUGUACGUUUAAGUUUGUUUACGAUAAGAUUAAACGAGUGUAAGAUUCUGAAAGAAUAGCGAAAAAGAGACAAAUGUGUUCUUAAACGUUGAUUAAGACAGUGAAUUGAGCACUCAGAUGAUUAGUUUUUCUGUGGUUGAGGAACCAGUCCAUUAGGUUUCAAGUCCUGGACUUAGCAUUGUUGCUUGUAUUUUCUUGGAUUUAGGAGUUGUUCGACAAUCCGCCGGCUCGUGAAAUCGCAGAAUCUGUGAAGCAGCUAUUUCCCCGCUCCAUGAUUUUCAACUACAACUUCGCCGGCUCUCCAAAAUCACAGAAUAUGUGGAGCAAUUGUUUCCUCGCUCCACGAUUUUCAACUACAACUCCACCUGCAGCUGUUUCCCCGCUCCACGAUUUUCAACUACAACUCGCGUACUCCGGAAGCUGGGUCGUGGAGUGGAGGGACUCCGAAUAGGCCUUUAGUUUAGGCUUUUCGACGAUGUUUAUGCAGUGGGAGGAGAUGUUUCGUCAACUACGAAGGUGCCUGUGAUGGCUUCAUCAAUCUCAAAAUGUUGUGUUGGCUCAGUAUCUCGGAGGUGCUCAUAGGGGUAGAACGUGUGUGCCUGUGUUUGUAGGGAUGAAUGUAUGUGCAUGUAUAUGGUCAUUUGCAUUUAAAAAGGUUAAUUAAAACAUAAGAAUGGCUAUUUUGACCUUGCCACGAGGUUAGUAUAGCUUUUACAAAGAUUUAUCUCACAACAAAUAAUAACGUGCUUUUAGAUAUGUCACAAAGAAAAUUAUCGCUAUACAACCCAAACGUCAUUUUUUGCAUGCAAUUUUACAUUAUUGAAACGAUGUUAAGUAUGUUAUAAAUGAUAUAGUUUGCCGUGCAUGCUACAUGUAGAAGAAACCACGUUGACAUGGAAAAUGUAUCACCAUAUAUCACAAAAAGAUAUUUUUGUUUAUCGUACAAAUGAUACAGUUGUUAUGCUUGCCACAAAUAGAGGAAAACACGCAUGACGACAAAUAUAAGGUAUAACUUUAGGCAUGUUCUGUGUUUAUGUAUGAAGGGCAUCACUCCCCGAUUUGUUGUGAUUCUUCUUGCCUUUGUAUUGUGGCACGCAGUCCCUCCAUGCCUCCCCACCCUUCCUCCUUUCGCAUUUCCUUAUUGCUACCCCUCUUAUUAAUGUGGAUAACUCCUACAUUCAUGAAUUGCUUUCCAUGAUUAUCAGCCGCACCUGUCCACAACUACCCUCCAUAUUGUGUAGCUAUUUGACCAACCCGCUUGACUGUAGUGUCUGAGCAUUUUCCUUACCAAGUAGCACCAUCCUAUCUAUUUCUAUUUGAGUCAAGACUCUCUCCUAAAUAUCCAAAGCCUACCACCUUGUGCAUUUUCCUUGAGCAUGGGAACUCGAUGGUACUAUAAUAUAUUAGUCUUUGUUUGUAUUUCAUCCCUUGUUUCAAGUUCCCACCCUGGUCUCAUCUGUAUUCUUUGUUUCUGUUAUAUAUCAUAAUAUAUCGCACACAUGAAACCACGAACAUAUUGCUUCGUUUUGUUACUAAGUUCUCGGCAAACAAUGCAUCAACGGGUGAGAAUUUUGCAGUCAGGUUGUUGGCAAAACAAGUUUGGCGUCUCAUAGAGCUCCCGUAAGGUUUUGGUUCCGGAUUUUUAAAAGCUAAAUAUUCCCUCAGAGCCACUUGUUGGUAUUGCUUUCCCCUGUAAUGCUCCGACUAGUAUGAAUGGGCCAUUGAGCAAUUUUGAGAGAUCUCCAAUCAUAUCAAGCAAGUACCAGCAUGUUUCUUAUACAGCUCAUAAGUCAAAAGUGCUAUUAAUUAACCAUGCACUACAUACUAGAUUAGCCUGUUGCAUUUCCACUUCAAUUGCAUGCGAGGAAAUGUAUUCCUGAUUGUGUAUUGCCGAAAAAAUAGCAUUGUAAUUAGAAAACGAUGCUCAGGUGGGCCAAACAUAGCCUAAAUGAGGACAGUUACCCGGGUAUAUAUAUGUGUUGAGUGCUUUAAUAUGUUUGAAACAACACUUCGUGCAACACGGCCGACAUGUGUAUUUUUCUCUAUAAAAAACUAUGUAAAUAUUUUGUAGAUGUGCAUUGUUGCGUAUUGCGGACGUAACAAUGAGCAAAAGGUAUUUAUGAUAUUAAAAUCAUUAAAAAAACUUGACCCACUUGAAUAAAACUCGACCCAAAAAUCAUUAACAUAAGUUCAUAUGAUGUAUCUUAUUACUGCAAACAAAAUUGACAAAAUGAUAUUUUAAAACAUUGCAAAUCCACAUAUGAUCCACCAAUACACAUUUUCACAUGUACAUCAAACUUAGUGUCUUUCUUUGCACCUUGUACACCCGGGCCCUAGCCAGGCCCCAAGCUAGCUUGGGGCAAGGACGUUGAACUCCUUCGUUAGCUCUAGCACAACACCUACUGUAGCACCGGUUGUUAGCCUAGCGCGUGAGUUAGCCCUGGCUACGCCACUACGUACACAUCACUCUAUUCACCUUUUAUAUGCUUUCCACCCUAAAACAGGGACAAGGAAGAAGAAAAACAAGAAGUAACAUGACCUUUCAGUUCUUUAGACAAAACAUAAAACAAACUGAAAAUGUCGGACGCUACGGGCCUGUUUUGUUUACGGCCUAAGAUUGUCACGCCUAACCUUAGCCGUGCAACAACAUCUUAGGCAUGUGUUUGAUUCAUUGCUAUAUUUGUGAAUUGCCACACUUUUCUAGCAACAUGGUUCAUAUGUCAUAGGCUCAAUUUUUUGCCAAAUCUUGUCACACUUAUGGUAGCCAUUUUGUUAGCCACACCUUUUAUGACAGCCACACUUUGCCUAAACUUAGUUAUGACAAAGUUAAUCAAGAAUCAAACAUGCCUUAAAAUGUACUGUACCCGGGAGGCUGAAGUUCCUCGGAUACAACUAAACUACAAACAUAAGAGCAUCUCCACUANNNNNNNNNNNNNNNNNNNNNNNNNNNNNNNNNNNNNNNNNNNNNNNNNNNNNNNNNNNNNNNNNNNNNNNNNNNNNNNNNNNNNNNNNNNNNNNNNNNNNNNNNNNNNNNNNNNNNNNNNNNNNNNNNNNNNNNNNNNNNNNNNNNNNNNNNNNNNNNNNNNNNNNNNNNNNNNNNNNNNNNNNNNNNNNNNNNNNNNNNNNNNNNNNNNNNNNNNNNNNNNNNNNNNNNNNNNNNNNNNNNNNNNNNNNNNNNNNNNNNNNNNNNNNNNNNNNNNNNNNNNNNNNNNNNNNNNNNNNNNNNNNNNNNNNNNNNNNNNNNNNNNNNNNNNNNNNNNGAGUAAAAAAGCCCCCAGUCGCACCCCCAGCCCCUUUAAUUUUCGCCUGUUUCGACCAGAAACUGAGCCGGCAGCCCCAGGGCAAACCCAGGAAGUUGGGGGGCACCUGGGGGGCUUAAUCUCGCCGUUUGCAGGCGCUGGCCCACCUGCCAGCGUCUCUCUGCUCUCUCCUCCCUUUUUCUUGCUCGCAGCCUCAGCCUCGCCGCCGUGCUCGCCCUGUUUCUUGCUCCUCCCCUCACCUUCUUUUGGUCGACUACACGGAGCCAUGGCUGCCGAGCUCGCGCAGGAGGAGGCGGGGGUCGCGGCAGUCGACAAGGAUGACGCCGCAGGCGGGCGACACAGGAAGCCGAGGCCGAGCGCGACGCCCGUGGUGGGGACAAACGGCGGCAGCGCGGACCAGCCAUGGUUGCGAAAGAAGCCGAAGUGGCGGGGCGGGGAGGCCGGGCACGCGGGACACGAUGCAGCGCCAGCAGCGGCACACCGCCGCGCACCGUCAGCCGCCUGAAGACCUCCAGUAGCAUGUCGUGGGGUAGCGCGGACUGCAGGGCCACCCCAACGUGAUCGGCUCCCUGGGAGUGAGUUCGGAAGUGUAGAAGCUCAGGUAUGUGCAACUCGGGUAGCUCGUGCCCAGUGCGGCAGACUUCCACCGGGCCGACGACGGUGAGCUGUGCUGGUGCUGUCGUUUUGGCGUGUGCAUGCCGAGGCUUUGAGCAUGCGCGGCGCGGAUGGCGGACCCUACGGCGGCGGCGCCCAUGACCAUCGACUUCCUCCGGGCGCACUUGCUCUCCGAGCGCUCCGUCCCCCGCGCAUCCAAGGAGCACGCCGACCAGCUCGUCGCCAAGGUACGUAUGCUGCACGCGCAUGGCCUCAUCACCUCCAGCUCCUCCGCCAGCAUCUACCUCAUCUUCGAGUAUAUGGAGCACGACCUCGCUGGACUCGCCUCCUGAAAGUGCUAGUGAUCGACUAGAGGGAGGUGAAUAGGCGAUUUUUAUGAAAGUCUUCAAAACAUGGAAGUUUCAAAGACAAACGAUAGAAAUAAACCUAUUACCAUGCAACGGAAGGUAGACUACACUAAGCAGGCCAUAGUCAAGUAUUCAAUGAAAUGAAAGCACAAAGACUAAUAGCAGCUAGGCAGUAUAGAUCGGGAUGGAAGAUAGUAUGAAGCCAAUCAGAACAAGCAGUCGCACAGUGAAGACAAAUAGAUAAUGCGAAUAGGCAAUGACUUCACAAGGACCAAUCUGCAAAUAAAGAGAUGGGAAAUAUAGAACCAGUGGCUCGUUGAAGACAAUGAUUUGUUGGACCAGUUCCAGUUGCUGUGACAAUUGUACGUCUGGUUAGGGAGGCUGAGAUUCAACUCAGAAGACCGCGUCUUCACCUUAUUCCCUUUGAGCUAAGGACACCCAGUCCUCGCCCAAUCACCCUGGUAAGUCUUCAAGGUAGACUUCUAAACCUUCACAAACUUCGUUCACCGAUGAUCCACAAUGACUCUUGGAUGCUCAGAACGCGACGCCUAACCGGCUGGAGGAUUCACAAUCCUCAAGUGCAAUAAGUCUUCUGAUCACACAGAUAGGAAAACUUUAGUGAUGCCUAACACUCUUUGGCUCUGGGUGUUUAGGGCUUUGUCCUCGCAAGGAAUUCUCUCUCAAAAGCUUCGAGGUGAGUUGCUCUCAAACGACAGAAGCCGUACACUAACACUGAGCAGCCAACCAAUUUAUGGUGUAGGGGGUGGGCUAUUUAUAGCCACUAGGCAACCCGACCUGAUUUGUCCGAAAUGACCCUGGGUCACUAAGGAACUGACACGUGUUCCAACGGUCAGAUUUCAAACACACACGGCAACUUUACUUGAGCUACAAGAAAAGCUGACUUAUUCAUCUCUGGAUAAGAUUUGCUCUCAUUGUCUUCGCACGAAGACAUAGGAUUUUGGUGAAGCAUCACUUCAGUCAUUCUGACUGGUUCACUUAGACCCCACUUAACAGUACGGUGGUUACUAUGACUCAACAAAGAAGAAAACGAAACAAUGAAACAACUAAGUCUUCGCGCUCCAUAGUCUUCACAAAAUGUCUUCUCUUGUCAUAGUCUUCAAUGUGAAUACCUUCACAUACCACCUUUGUCUUCAAUGUCUUCAUACAUUUUUAGGGGUCAUCUCCGGUAGGUAAACCGAAUCAAUGAGGGACUUCUACUCGUGUUAUCCUGCAAUUCUCACAAACACAUUAGUCCUUCAACCAGGUUUGUCGUCAAUACUCCAAAACCAACUAGGGGUGUGUUGGGGAACGUAGUAAUUUCAAAAAAAAUCCUACGCACACGCAAGAUCAUGGUGGUGCAUAGCAACGACAGGGGAGAGUGUGAUCUACGUACCCUUGUAGAUCGACAACGGAAGUGUUAGCACAACGUGGUUGAUGUAGUCGUACGUCUUCACGGCCCAACCGAUCAAGCACCGAAACUACGGCACCUCCGAGUUCUAGCACACAUUCAGCUCGACGACGAUCCCCGGACUCCGAUCCAGCAAAGUGUCGGGGAAGAGUUCCGUCAGCACGACGGCGUGGUGACGAUCUUGAUGUACUACCAUCGCAGGGCUUCGCCUAAGCACUGCUACAAUAUUGUCGAGGUCUAUGGUGGAAGGGGGCACCGCACACGACUAAGAAUAUGAUCACGUGGAUCAACUUGUGUGUCUAGGGGUGCCCCCUGCCCCCGUAUAUAAAGGAUCAAAGGAGGGGUGCGGCCGGCCAGGAGAAGGCGCGCCAGGAGGAGUCCUACUCGCUUCGGGAGUAGGAUUCCCCCCCUUUCCUAGUUGGAAUAGGAUUCGGGAAGGGGGAAAGAGGAGAGAGAGAAGGAAGGGGGGGCAUCGGCCCCCUCUCCUUGUCCUAUUCGGACUAGGGGGGAGGGGCACGCGGCCCAGCCCUGGCCACCUCUCCUCUCUUCCACUAAAGCCCACUAAGGCCCAUAUACCUCCCGGGGGGUCCGGUAACCUCCCGGUACUCCGGUAAAAUCCCGAUUUCACCCGGAACACUUCCGAUAUCCAAAUAUAGGCUUCCAAUAUAUCAAUCUUUAUGUCUCGACCAUUUCGAGACUCCUCGUCAUGUCCGUGAUCACAUCCGGGACUCCGAACAAACUUCGGUUCAUCAAAAUGCAUAAACUCAUAAUAUAACUGUCAUCGAAACCUUAAGUGUGCGGACCCUACGGGUUCGAGAACAAUGUAGACAUGACCGAGACACGUCUCCGGUCAAUAACCAAUAGCGGAACCUGGAUGCUCAUAUUGGCCCCUACAUAUUUUACGAAGAUCUUUUAUCGGUCAGACCGCAUAACAACAUACGUUGUUCCCUUUGUCAUCGGUAUGUUACUUGCCCGAGAUUCGAUCGUCGGUAUCUCAAUACCUAGUUCAAUCUCGUUACCGGCAAGUCUCUUUACUCGUUCCGUAAUACAUCUUCUCACAACUAACUCAUUAGUUGCAAUGCUUGCAAGGCUUAUGUGAUGUGCAUUACCGAGAGGGCCCAGAGAUACCUCUCCGACAAUCGGAGUGACAAAUCCUAAUCUCGAAAUACGCCAACCCAACAUGUACCUUUGGAGACACCUGUAGAGCACCUUUAUAAUCACCCAUUUACGUUGUGACGUUUGGUAGCACACAAAGUGUUCCUCCGGCAAACGGGAGUUGCAUAAUCUCAUAGUCAUAGGAACAUGUAUAAGUCAUGAAGAAAGCAAUAGCAACAUACUAAACGAUCGGGUGCUAAGCUAAUGGAAUGGGUCAUGUCAAUCAGAUCAUUCACCUAAUGAUGUGAUCCCGAUAAUCAAAUAACAACUCUUUGUCCAUGGUUAGGAAACAUAACCAUCUUUGAUUAACGAGCUAGUCAAGUAGAGGCAUACUAGUGACACUCUGUUUGUCUAUGUAUUCACACAUGUAUUACGUUUCCGGUUAAUACAAUUCUAGCAUGAAUAAUAAACAUUUAUCAUGAUAUAAGGAAAUAAAUAAUAACUUUAUUAUUGCCUCUAGGGCAUAUUUCCUUCAGUCUCCCACUUGCACUAGAGUCAAUAAUCUAGAUUACACAGUAAUGAUUCUAACACCCAUGGAGCCUUGGUGCUGAUCAUGUUUUGCUCGUGGAAGAGGCUUAGUCAAUAGGUCUGCUACAUUCAGAUCCAUAUGUAUCUUGCAAAUCUCUAUGUCUCCCACCUGGACUAGAUCCCGGAUGGAAUUGAAGCGUCUCUUGAUGUGUUUGGUUCUCUUGUGAAAUCUGGAUUCCUUUGCCAAGGCAAUUGCACCAGUAUUGUCACAAAAGAUUUUCAUUGGACCCGAUGCACUAGGUAUGACACCUAGAUCGGAUAUGAACUCCUUCAUCCAGACUCCUUCAUUUGCUGCUUCCGAAGCAGCUAUGUAUUCCGCUUCACACGUAGAUCACACCACGAUGCUUUGUUUAGAACUGCACCAACUGACAGCUCCACUGUUUAAUGUAAAUACGUAUCCGGUUUGCGAUUUAGAAUCGUCCGGAUCAGUGUCAAAGCUCGCAUCGACGUAACCAUUUAUGAUUAGCUCUUUGUCACCUCCAUAAACGAGAAACAUAUCCUUAGUCCUUUUCAGGUAUUUCAGGAUGUUCUUGACCGCUGUCCAGUGAUCCACUCCUGGAUUACUUUGGUACCUCCCUGCUAGACUUAUAGCAAGGCACACAUCAAGUCUGGUACACAGCAUUGCAUACAUGAUAGAGCCUAUGGCUGAAGCAUAGGGAACAUCUUUCAUUUUCUCUCUAUCUCCUGCAGUGGUCGGGCAUUGAGUCUGACUCAACUUCACACCUUGUAACACAGGCAAGAACCCUUUCUUUGCUUGAUCCAUUUUGAACUUUUUCAAAACUUUGUCAAGGUACGUGCUUUGUAAAGUCCAAUUAAGCGUCUUGAUCUAUCUCUAUAGAUCUUAAUGCCUAAUAUGUAAGCAGCUUCACCGAGGUCUUUCAUUGAAAAACUCUUAUUCAAGUAUCCCUUUAUGCUAUCCAGAAAUUCUAUAUCAUUUCCAAUUAGUAAUAUGUCAUCCACAUAUAAUAUCAGAAAUGCUACAGAGCUCCCACUCGCUUUCUUGUAAAUACAGGCUUCUCCAAAAGUCUGUAUAAAACCAAAUGCUUUGAUCACACUAUCAAAGCAUUUAUUCCAACUCCGAGAGGCUUGCACCAGUCCAUAAAUGGAUCGCUGGAGCUUGCACACUUUGUUAGCUCCCUUUGGAUCAACAAAACCUUCUGGUUGCAUCAUAUACAACUCUUCUUCCAGAAAUCCAUUCAGGAAUGCAAUUUUGACAUCCAUCUGCCAAAUUUCAUAAUCAUAAAAUGCGGCAAUUGCUAACAUGAUUCGGACAGACUUAAGCAUCGCUACGGGUGAGAAGGUCUCAUCGUAGUCAAUCCCUUGAACUUGUCGAAAACCUUUUGCGACAAGUCGAGCUUUGUAGACAGUAAUAUUACCGUCAACGUCAGUCUUCUUCUUGAAGAUCCAUUUAUUCUCAAUUGCUUGCCGAUCAGUGGGAAAGUCAACCAAAGUCCAUACUUUGUUCUCAUACAUGGAUCCCAUCUCAGAUUUCAUGGCUUCAAGCCAUUUUGCGGAAUCUGGGCUCACCAUCGCUUCUUCAUAGUUCGUAGGUUCAUCAUGAUCUAGUAGCAUGACUUCCAGAACAGGGUUACCGUACCACUCUGGUGCGGAUCUCACUCUGGUUGAUCUACGAGGUUCAAUAGUAUCUUGUGCUGAAGUUUCACGAUCAUCAUCAUUAGCUUCCUCACUAAUUGGUGUAGGUGUCACAGAAACAGGUUUCUGUGACGUAUUAUUUUCCAAUAAGGGAGUAGGUACAGUUACCUCGUCAAGUUCUACUUUCCUCCCACUCACUUCUUUCGAGAGAAACUCCUUCUCCAGAAAGUUUCCAAAUUUAGCAACAAAAGUCUUGCCUUCGGAUCUAUGAUAGAAGGUGUAUCCAAUAGUUUCCUUUGGAUAUCCUAUGAAGACACAUUUCUCCGAUUUGGGUUCGAGCUUAUCAGGUUGAAUCUUUUUCACAUAAGCAUCGCAGCCCCAAACUUUCAGAAACGACAACUUUGGUUUCUUGCCAAACCACAGUUCAUAAGGUGUCGUCUCAACGGAUUUUGAUGGUGCCCUAUUUAACGUGAAUGCGGCCGUCUCUAGAGCGUAUCCCCAAAACGAUAGCGGUAAAUCAGUAAGAGACAUCAUAGAUCGUACCAUAUCUAGUAAAGUAUGAUUACGACGUUCGGACACACCAUUACGUUGUGGUGUUCCAGGUGGCGUGAGUUGCGAAACUAUUCCACAUUGUUUCAAAUGUACACCAAACUCGUAACUCAAAUAUUCUCCUCCACGAUCAGAUCGUAGGAAUUUUAUUUUCUUGUUACGAUGAUUUUCAACUUCACUUUGAAAUUCUUUGAACUUUUCAAACGUUUUAGACUUGUGUUUCAUUAAGUAGAUAUACCCAUAUCUGCUUAAGUCAUCUGUGAAGGUGAGAAAAUAACGAUAUCCGCCACGAGCCUCAACAUUCAUCGGACCACAUACAUCUGUAUGUAUGAUUUCCAACAAAUCUGUUGCUCUCUCCAUAGUACCGGAGAACGGUGUCUUUGUCAUCUUACCCAUAAGGCACGGUUCGCAAGUACCAAGUGAUUCAUAAUCAAGUGGUUCCAAAAGCCCAUCAGUAUGGAGUUUCUUCAUGCGCUUUAUACCGAUAUGACCCAAACGGCAGUGCCACAAAUAAGUUGCACUAUCAUUAUCAACUCUGCAUCUUUUGGCUUCAACACUAUGAAUAUGUGUGUCACUACUAUCGAGAUUUAAUAAGAAUAGACCACUCCUUAAAGGUGCAUGACCAUAAAAGAUAUUACUCAUGUAAAUAGAACAACCAUUAUUCUCUGAUUUAAAUGAAUAACCGUCUCGCAUCAAACAAGAUCCAGAUAUAAUGUUCAUGCUUAACGCUGGCACCAAAUAACAGUUAUUUAGGUCUAAUACUAAUCCCGAAGGUAGAUGUAGAGGUAGCGUGCCGACUGCGAUUACAUCGACUUUGGAACCAUUUCCCACUUGCAUCAUCACCUUGUCCUUAGCCAAUCUUCGCUUAAUCCGUAGUCCCUGUUUCGAGUUGCAAAUAUUAGCAACAAAACCAGUAUCAAAUACCCAGGUGCUACUGCGAGCAUUAGUAAGGUACACAUCAAUAACAUGUAUAUCACAUAUACCUUUGUUCACCUUGCCAUCCUUCUUAUCCGCCAAAUACUUGGGGCAGUUCCGCUCCCAGUGACCAGUCUGCUUGCAGUAGAAGCACUCAGUUUCAGGCUUAGGUCCAGGUUUGGGUUUCUUCUCUUGAGUAGCAACUUGCUUGCUGUUCUUUUUGAAGUUCCCCUUCUUCUUCCCUUUGCCAUUUUUCUUGAAACUAGUGGUCUUGUUGACCAUCAACACUUGAUGCUCCUUCUUGAUUUCUACCUCCGCAGCUUUCAGCAUUGCGAAGAGGUCAGGAAUAGUCUUAUUCAUCCCUUGCAUAUUAUAGUUCAUCACGAAGCUCUUGUAGCUUGGUGGCAGUGAUUGGAGAAUUCUGUCAAUGACGCAAUCAUCUAGAAGAUUAACUCCCAAUUGAAUCAAGUGAUUAUUAUACCCAGACAUUUUGAGUAUAUGCUCACUGACAGAACUGUUCUCCUCCAUCUUGUAGCUAUAUAACUUAUUGGAGACUUCAUAUCUCUCAAUCCGGGCAUUUGCUUGAAAUAUUAACUUCAACUCCUGGAACAUCUCAUAUGCUCCAUGACGUUCAAAACGUCGUUGAAGUCCCGAUUCUAAGCCGUAAAGCAUGGCACACUGAACUAUCGAGUAGUCAUCAGCUUUGCUCUGCCAGAUGUUCAUAACAUCUGGUGUUGCUCCAGCAGCAGGCCUGGCACCCAGCGGUGCUUCCAGGACGUAAUUAUUCUAUGCAGCAAUGAGGAUAAUCCUCAAGUUACGGACCCAGUCCGUGUAAUUGCUACCAUCAUCUUUCAACUUUGCUUUCUCAAGGAACGCAUUAAAAUUCAACGGAACAACAGCACGGGCCAUCUAUCUACAAUCAAACAUGAAUAAGCAAGAUACUAUCAGGUACUAAGUUCAUGAUAAAUUUAGGUUCAAUUAAUCAUAUUACUUAAAGAACUCCCACUUAGAUAGACAUCCCUCUAAUCCUCUAAGUGAUUACGUGAUCCAAAUCAACUAAACCAUGUCCGAUCAUCACGUGAGAUGGAGUAGUUUCAUUGGUGAACAUCACUAUGUUGAUCAUAUCUACUAUAUGAUUCACGCUCGACCUUUCGGUCUCCGUGUUCCGAGGCCAUAUCUGUAUAUGCUUGGCUCAUCAAGUAUAACCUGAGUAUUCCGCGUGUGCAACUGUUUUGCACCCGUUGUAUUUGAAUGUAGAGCCUAUCACACCCGAUCAUCACGUGGUGUCUCAGCACGACGAAUUUUCGCAACGGUGCAUACUCAGGGAGAACACUUCUUGAUAAUUAGUGAGAGAUCAUCUUAUAAUGCUACCGUCAAUCAAAGCAAGAUAAGAAGCAUAAAAGAUAAACAUCACAUGCAAUCAAUAUAAGUGAUAUGAUAUGGCCAUCAUCAUCUUGUGCUUGUGAUCUCCAUCUUCGAAGCACCGUCGUGAUCACCAUCGUCACCGGCGUGACACCUUGGUCUCCAUCGUAGCAUCGUUGUCGUCUUGCCAAUCUUAUGCUUCCACGACUAUCGCUACCGCUUAGUGAUAAAGUAAAGCAUUACAGCGUGAUUGCAUUGCAUACAAUAAAGCGACAACCAUAUGGCUCAUGCCAGUUGCCGAUAACUUGGUUACAAAACAUGAUCAUCUCAUACAAUAAAAUUUAGCAUCAUGUCUUGACCAUAUCACAUCACAACAUGCCCUGCAAAAACAAGUUAGACGUCCUCUACUUUGUUGUUGCAUGUUUUACGUGGCUUCUACGGGCUUAAGCAAGAACCAAUCUUACCUACGCAUCAAAACCACAACGAUAGUUUGUCAAGUUGGUGCUGUUGUAACCUUCGCCAGGACGGGGCGUAGCCACACUCGGUUCAACUAAAGUUGGAGAAACUGUCACCCGCUAGCCACCUUUGUGCAAAGCACGUCGGGAGAACCGGUCUCGCGUAAGCGUACGCGUAAUGUCGGUCCGGGCCGCUUCGUCCAACAAUACCGCCGAACCAAAGUAUGGCAUGCUGGUAAGCAGUAUGACUUAUAUCGCCCACAAUUCACUUGUGUUCUACUCGUGCAUAUAACAUCAACAUAUAAAACCUAGGCUCGGAUGCCACUGUUGGGGAACGUAGUAAUUUCAAAAAAUUUCCUAUGCACACGCAAAAUCAUGGUGAUGCAUAGCAACGAGAGGGGAGAGUGUGAUCUACGUACCCUUGUAGAUCGACAACGGAAGCGUUAGCACAACGUGGUUGAUGUAGUCGUACGUCUUCACGGCCCAACCGAUCAAGCACCGAAACUACGGCACCUCCGAGUUCUAGCACAUGUUCAGCUCGAUGAUGAUCCCCGGACUCCGAUCUAGCAAAGUGUCGGGGAAGAGUUCCGUCAGCACGACAGCGUGGUGACGAUCUUGAUGUACUACCGUCGCAGGGCUUCGCCUAAGCACUGCUACAAUAUUAUCGAGGUCUAUGGUUGAAGGGGGCACCGCACACGGCUAAGAAUAUGAUCACGUGGAUGAACUUGUGUGUCUAGGGGUGCCCCCUGCCCCCGUAUAUAAAGGAUCAAAGGGGGGGGGGGUGCGGCCGGCCAGGAGAAGGCGCGCCAGGAGGAGUCCUACUCCCUCCGGGAGUAGGAUUCCCCCCCUUUCCUAGUUGGAAUAGGAUUCGGGAAGGGGGAAAGAGGAGAGAGAGAAGGAAGGGGGGCGCCGGCCCCCUCUCCUUGUCCUAUUCGGACUAGGGGGGAGGGGCGUGCGGCCCAGCCCUGGCCACCUCUCCUCUCUUUCACUAAAGCCCACUAAGGCCCAUAUACCUCCCGGGGGGUUCCGGUAACCUCCCGGUACUCCGGUAAAAUCCCGAUUUCACCCGGAACACUUCCGAUAUCCAAAUAUAGGCUUCCAAUAUAUCAAUCUUUAUGUCUCGACCAUUUCGAGACUCCUCAUCAUGUCCGUGAUCACAUCCGGGACUCCGAACAAACUUCGGUUCAUCAAAAUGCAUAAACUCAUAAUAUAACUGUCAUCGAAACCUUAAGCGUGCGGACCCUACGGGUUCGAGAACAAUGUAUACAUGACCGAGACACGUCUUCGGUCAAUAACCAAUAGCGGAACCUGGAUGCUCAUAUUGGCUCCUACAUAUUCUACGAAGAUCUUUUAUCGAUCAGACCGCAUAACAACAUACGUUGUUCCCUUUGUCAUCGGUAUGUUACUUGCCCGAGAUUCGAUCGUCGGUAUCUCAAUACCUAGUUCAAUCUCGUUACCGGCAAGUCUCUUUACUCGUUCCGUAAUACAUCAUCUCACAACUAACUCAUUAGUUGAAAUGCUUGCAAGGCUUAUGUGAUGUGCAUUACCGAGAGGGCCCAGAGAUACCUCUCCGACAAUCGGAGUGACAAAUCCUAAUCUCAAAAUACGCCAACCCAACAUGUACCUUUGGAGACACCUGUAGAGCACCUUUAUAAUCACCCAUUUACGUUGUGACGUUUGGUAGCACGCAAAGUGUUCCUCCGGCAAACAGGAGUUGCAUAAUCUCAUAGUCAUAGGAACAUGUAUAAGUCAUGAAGAAAGCAAUAGCAACAUACUAAACGAUCGGGUGCUAAGCUAAUGGAAUGUGUCAUGUCAAUCAGAUCAUUCACCUAAUGAUGUGAUCCUGUUAAUCAAAUAACAACUCUUUGUCCAUGGUUAGGAAACAUAACCAUCUUUGGUUAACGAGCUAGUCAAGUAGAGGCAUACUAGUGACACUUUGUUUGUCUAUGUAUUCACACAUGUAUUACGUUUUCGGUUAAUACAAUUCUAGCAUGAAUAAUAAACAUUUAUCAUGAUAUAAGGAAAUAAAUAAUAACUUUAUUAUUGCCUAUAGGGCAUAUUUCCUUCAGGGUGGCACUAGAUGCACUUACAAUCUCCCCCUUCUUAGUGAUUGAUGACAAACUAGUUGAAGUUUUCAACGGGGAAUAAAAUAUGUGAAAUUGUAAAGGAUAGGGUAUUGUCUUCAAAAGUGGCAAAGGCUCCCCCUGAAGAUGUGCAUAUAAGUAUUUUGCUUUUGAAUGCAAAUGCACAUGGCAGGUUGUACUUGCGGAGCUCCUCUUAUACUUAUGAAGACAGUUCAUCAUGCAUGAAAUGAUAUAAUGAAGAUAAUGACAUGCAUAAUGAAAAAUGGACGUCUGCAAAAUGACUUCAUGCAGAAUUUAUCGUCGCACAUGCGGAAUUUAUCAUCGCAUCACAUAGUGUCAAAAAAGGUAGCAGACGACCAUCAAGUUUAAGUGUUACAACUCAAAAAUGAACCAAAUGAAUCAAAAGCGAGAGUUGUAAGCACUUGGCAAAUGUAGCAAAAGUAAAGCAACCACCCAUAUGGACCCGCUUGAAGACUAUCAACUCAUAUGCUUCUCCCCCUUUUGUCAGUAAUGACCAAAAAGGUUUGAAGACAUAGAGCUUCUACUCGUUCCCAUGAGGUGCAGGUGAAGCAGGAGGGUCGUCGUUGAGGUCCGGUGGUGCAGAAGAACUUGGUGCAGUGUCGACACACGCUGAAGUUGGAGGAGGUGAAGUGGCAUCAUCUUGGUCAUCGAUGACUCUGGCAUUCACCGUCGUAGCUGAGGACGAAUAGUUAGAGUCUUCAAGUGAGGGAGUCCGACGCAAGUGAGCAUUCCUUGGAGGAGUUCAGUCAAACUUGAAUCUUUUUGUGAAGUCAUCGUCUUGCAGAUCAGCUUCAGCACUAAGCAAUGUCAAACUCUUCCAAGACCUCCGACAGGUUUCAUGUGUAAUAAAGGCAUUCUUGGUGGCAAGAUUGCGAAUGCGAUUGAUGUCCACCAAGAGGCUUUGCAUCUGACACUUAAGCCAGUUAUGAUGCUUAUCAUGUUUCUGAUGUAGCGCGAUGAGAAGCUCUCGGUCAUUGAGAACAUGAUAUCGCUUCUGAGGCCUUUGGGCAAUGGUGCUUCCAGUGGCGUCAGUUUGAGCGCGAGGGGCACAUGUGUUACCAGCCAAGGGGUAAACACGAGAGACUGCUUGAACUCCUUCAAUGGGCUGGGUGAAGCUUUGACGAUCAACAUUGUGAAGAUAAAUCGGAUCCUUAGCAGGCUCUAGGUAAAUAGCUUCAACAGACAGAUCAACCUCUGGUGAGAAUACAAGAUGAUUGCGCGUAGACAGCUGAUAGUUGAAGGCAGAGUGCAGCUUGAUAAGACGCAUUACCCAUGGAGCAUAGAACUUCAAACCAAAAAUGUCGGAGCCAUAUGCAACCAAUUGUCUAAUGAAGAAGUCUUGAGCAUUGAAGCUGAUGCCAUUGAAGAUAUAGAAAACCAAAGCCUUCAUUGCUCCUUCAAGCUUCGCUGCAGAUGAAUGUCCUUUGAUAGGCCAUAGAGUUUUUCUGAUGAUAUGGUAAAUGGUGCGAGGCAGAUACUCUAGGUCUUCAACAAAGAAUUCAGAUGGGUAGUCAGCGUCGUGAGGCAAAGGCUUCAUCAUGCUCAACAUUUGGCUCAUGUUGGGUUCUGGCUUCUGAAAAAUGCUCUCCAAAGCAUUCUGGUGUUGUUGACAACCUGGUUCAUAGUAUUCACCAGGAGUGGGCAGAGCUGUGAGCUCAAUGAUAUCAAGAGCUUUGGCUUCAUGAUGGACAUUGCCUGUCAUCCACUCAAGGAACCAAGUCUUUGGAUCCCUGUUGUAGCCUCGAAUGUGAAGAGUUGCAUAAAACUGUAAUAUAAGCUCUUCAUUCCAGUGUUCCUUGUCUGUGACAAAUUGUAGGAGUCUAGCGUCUCUGAAGCAAUCCAACGCUUCUUCUAGACAGGGUAGGCCAGCUAUAGCUUCAGUGUCGAGACGCAUAUGUGGAAAUAUGCAUCCUUGAUUGUAUAAGACGCAUGAAUAGUAGUUGCGCUGCUGAUAGCUCCAGAACCGAUCCGAUGAAAUGCGAGGUUUGGAGUAAGGGUUCUUGGCGCUGUUGAAGAAGGUGUUAUGUGCCACGAAGCCAUUUACACUGAAGACCCCAGGUGAGGUUGCAGUGCCUGGGAAUCUUGGAAGUCUUGGCUUGGACUUCUGGACUUGAGGCCUGUGCUCGACAUGAUAGUCAAAUUGUGGACCCGCAGCAGGUGGAGGAACCAGAAUGGGCCAUCGGACCAUAACAGGCUGACCACGAUCAAAUGCCAGCUCAACAGUAUGAGGUCUUGGAGGGGGUACAGGAGCAUUGGCAUUUUCGUUGACAUGGGCAAGUGGCACAAUAGCUUUAGGAGGAAUGAUUACGUCUGGUGCUGCAUUGGCUUCAGGGGCCACAUUGGUUUUAGGUGCUUCAUUAUCGGCUUCGGGCAUGACGACAUCAGUGUCGUCAGCAGUGUUGUUGGUGGUGGUGACGUUAGCUUCAGGCGCCACAUUAGCUUCAACCAUGACAAUGUCAUUGGCUUCAGUGUUGAUGUUGGUGGCCGCCUCAGUAUUGGUAACCUCCACUUCAGGAGCUGGAGGGUCGGACACGUUCUCCUCGAGAACAGCUUCAGGAAUGGUUGGUGGUGUAGCAACUCUUUCUUCAUCACAUGGUGCUUCUUCUUCAUCGGCUGAUGUAGCCAGAAUAUCUUUAGCCAUUUUGGCUUCAGACUUAGAGGCAUUCACAGUUGGAGUGGCUUCUGGAAACACUUGACGUGCAACAGAUUGGUGGGGCACUUCUCCUUGUGGAAUGCUCAGAAGAGUGACUUGUGGUUGGGGAGAACUUGGGGUGUCUUGUUGUUGUGGGUGAUCAGCCCACGAUGCAUCCUGAGCAGUUGGCAUCAGAGAAUGACCAAUUCUGAUGAGCUCGAUGUGCGUGAGCACAUGCAAUGAUACCAAAUUGUGCUCGAUCUGAGGAAGGACUUCAUCAUCUUCAACAUUGUCGUGAGGAACAAUGUCUUCAGCUGCGGUGGGGUCAACAGUUGGAUUGUCUUCAGCUUCAGGAGCCUCUAUGGAAGCAAUCUCAUGAACUAUCAACUGACGCUCUCGAUGUUCAGACACAGGACGAGCAACAGAAAUUGGCUCGACAAGAAGGGGCUCUAUGGGAGCAGCCCGGUCUCUCUUCUUUGUUUUCCUUUUCUUGGUUGGGGGAGCAUCAUCAGUGGUGGCUUUGGUCUUGCGCUGUCUGGCUUCGGCUUAAGCUGCUCUAGUUUUCUUAAAUUCUGAAGCCACUGUGGGGACCUUAGGCUUCGAGCCUGUCAUACUGGCUGGGAAGACAAUGCGAGGUUCUUCCUGCCUUGAUGCUUCUAGUUCUGCCACAGCUGGCUUCUUCUUCUUCUUCUUCUUCUUCUUCUUCUUCUUCUUCUUCUUCUUCUUCUUCUUCUUCUUGGCAGCCAUUCUGGGGUCGAUGCCUGGUCGCCCCAAGGCCUUGCGCUUUUCAGCUUCAUUGUAGCCUUGAACACAUUUGGCAGCAAGAUUCUUCAUGCGCUCACGAGAACCUUUUUCUUCUUCUCGUUUCUUGUGGAAUGCCUCCUUGAGCUCAUGCAUCAUGACCUUGAAGUUUUGAAUGUCUUCAACAUUGAGCUUGGCCAUGUGCUUCUUGAACUGAGCCUUUUCAUAAUCGAUCUUAUGCUUCAGCUCAACAAUUUUCUGAGCUAGAGCCAGCUCAGGAGCGCGGUGGCCAGGCGGUUAGUCCGGUUAUUUUUCUUAGCCGGUACUACUGCCCGCCUGUCCGGUUGUACCGCUUGGUAGGGUUCUACAGAUACACCACGAGUCCCGGUUGUACCGGGACGAGGACCGGUUGUACCGCUGCAGUGCAAAAAAUGCAGUAACGGUUGGAAUUGUGGGUGACUAUAUAAGGGAGCUUCUCCCACCUACCACUUUCACCUUUGACCUCUCUCACUCCACCAUUGAUGCACUUCAAGCUCUCUUGCCCGAUCUCUCUCUCUCUAGCCACUCAAACUUGUUGAUUUGCUAGGGAUUGAAGGAGGAGACCUAGAUCUACACUUCCACCAAAGGAUAUUUGCUUCCCCCAUACUUUCUUGUGUGGAUUUUGUUACUCUUGGGUGUUUGAGCACCCUAGACGGUUGAGGUCACCUCGGAGCCAUAUUCCAUUGUGGUGAAGCUUCGUGGUUUUGUUGGGAGCCUCCAAUUAAGUUGUGGAGAGAGCCCCAACCUUGUUUGUAAAGGUUCGGUCGCCGCCUUCAAGGGCACCAAUAGUGGAAUCACGACAUCUCGCAUUGUGUGAGGGCAUGAGGAGAAUACGGUGGCCCUAGUGGCUUCUUGGGGAGCAUUGUGCCUCCACACCGCUCCAACGGAGACGUACUUCCUCUCAAAGGGAAGGAACUUCGGCAACACAUCCUCGUCUCCACCGUCUCCACUCUUGGUUAUCUCGUGCCUUUAUUUGAGCAAGCUUACUUGUUUCAUAUCUCUUGCUUGCUUGUGUUCCUAUCCUUGUUGCAUCAUAUAGGUUGCUCACCUAGUUGCAUAUCUAGACAACCUACUUUGAUGCAAAGUUUAAAUUGUUAAAGAAAAGCUAAAAAUUGUUAGUUGCCUAUUCACCCCCCUCUAGUCAACCAUAUCGAUCCUUUCAAUUGGUAUCAGAGCCUCGUCUCUUUAUUAAGGACUUUACCGUCCAAAGAGUAUGGUUGAUACCAUAGACGGUGUGGAGGAACACUCCGGUGUGAAUCCUAUCUCGUCUACGGGCAAUGGGGGAACCUCGGUCUCACGUGAGGAGUUCAAUGUGGCCUUGGAGACAUUGAAAACCUCCAUGACGACCGAAGUUGAAAGCAUGUUUACUAAAUUUCUUGAGGGGCUUAGACUAUCCACCGCACUGUUGAAAGUGGGUGAUCCCGCCAACAAGGUGACGGAUGCUAUCCCCGACAAGGGGGAAGCUAGUAGUGAAAAGGCUCCUUCUUCUAGUGGCAAGAAUGGCACCGACAUCUUUGCCCAUGUGGAACCACCACUUGUUUAUGGUGGACCGGUUCCUUCCACUCAUUUGAAUCAUGCCGGUCCUCCCCCUAAGAUUGUGAAAAAUGAGGAUUUUGAUUCUUGGGUUUACCGCUUUAAACGUCAUUUAAAUCAUGUGAACACUAACCUUUGGAGAAUCAUUGAAGAAGGUUUCUAUCCACAUGAUCCAAGCAACUUCACUCCUCGAUAAGCCGCGGAUAAUCAAUUCAAUGAGAAUGCUCUCUACAUCAUUCAAGAUGCAAUUCCACCCGAAGACCUACCUCAUCUUCAUCCCUUCGCCUUGGCCAAAGAUGCAUGGCAUUGUGUCGUCUCUCUCUACCGGGGAAGUGCAAGCAUUCAACGCUCCAACUAUGAAGUGGUACAAGAUGAGGCCGAUGAGUUUGCAAUGAAGGAAGAUGAAGAACCUCGUGAGCUCUAUCAGAGAGUAACCAAACUCGCGGUCUCACUACGAGAUCACGGGAGCAAGGACAUGGAUGCCAAUUGGAUCAAGCAAAAAUUCCUCAAGGCAAUGAUGCCCUAUCACAAGGCCAUGUCCUCCGUCUUCGUCAAAGACCGGACUUCCACACUUUGACCUCAAGCAAAGUGUUGGAUGAGUUUGUGGCCAUGAACAUUUUGGACAAGACCGCCGACAAUGCAGUGCUCUUCUCAACGGGCAAGGAAGCCUAACCUUGCAUUGAAGGCCAAGCUCACCAUUGAAGAAGAAGAAGAGGAAGAAGAGGAGAGCAACCCCGAUGAUACAAAUUAUGCAUAUCAUGAACACAUGGCACUUGCUUCAAGGCAAUUUUGGAGCAAGAAAAACUCGAGGCCAAACUUUAGCAAAAACAACUCAAGUGGCACGAAGAGCAAGCAACAUGCAAGGACUUGCUACAAUUGCGGCAAUGUGAGUCAUUUUGUUGCGGAGUGCCCAUAUGAGAAGAGGGAAGACAAUGGUGGCAAGCUCAUCCGAAAGGACAAGGCCAAGUCGUUCCCCAACAAGAGCAACUUCACCAAGAAGACUCCUCCCAAGGCUUUGGUGGUACAAGAAGAGUACAAUGAGGAUGAUGAUGAUGAAAGUGAUGAGUUGGUUGCCAUGGCCUCCGUUGCCAUCGCGACGACUCCACGGGUGUCUCUCUUCGACUCACCCAAUGAGAGCAUCACCGCCAAGUGCCUCAUGGCUAAAGCCACCAACAAGGUAACCUCCAACAUCAAAACUACCAUCAUUAAUCAUCCUUCUCCGGCGGAUAGCAUUAAUGAACUUGAGGAAGAUAAUGUGGAGACUAAUGAGUUUGAGGCCUUUAUGGGCAAACUCAAGGGAAAAUCCAAGAAGCACUUUGUUGCUCUCUUGGAACAACUUGGUGAAGCCAAUGACGUAAUCGAGGCUCAUGAGAACACCAUCACUAAGAUGGAAGGGCAUAGUCGUGACUAUGCCGAUGAGAUUUCGGAUCUUUCCAAUGCUCUUGAGGAAGAGCGUGGUCUUCGUUUGGCUCUUGAGGAGUCACACAACGUUGAUCAUGCUAAGUUAAAGAAAUAUUAUGAUCAUGUCCUCAUUGUUUCUCGUGUGCUAAAUUCUGAGAAGGCCAAACUCGGGGUUGAUCUUGCUAGACUCAAAGAGGAGUUUGAUAUACUUGACAAGGCCCACAAGGCCUUGAAGGGUACUCACGCUAGUCUCAAGGAGUCUCAUGAUCAACUCCAAGUGAAGCUAACUAAGGAGAAAGCAACUUUUCCUCAUAUGGUUUUAAUUGACAAUGCAAAUGCUACUAACCCGUGUUGUGAGCAUAUACAUCUUGUUGAGGAAAAUGCUAAGUUGAAGGAGCAACUUGAGAGAGGUCUUGCGACUUGCAUACAAGGCAAGAAGAACCUCAACGAUCUCUUGAUCAACCAAAAGGGAGUUAUGGCCAAGGAAGGGGUUGGGUACGUGCCCGACUCCAAGAACAAGAAGAAUGACAAGACCAAACGACCUCCUCCUCUCAUGCAAACCUUUGUGAGGGAGGGAGAGAGUGCCCCCAAGGAGAAGAAGAAGGACAAUGUCACCCCUCCCAACAAAGCCGGCGAUUUUAAUCCUUCUUAUGUGUUAUGCCGUGCUAGUGAUGGGCAUGUUUAUGCCAAAUUUGUUGGUUCUCUUCAUGAGUACAUUGAAUGGUCUAUUUGGGUUCCUAAGACCCUUGUUACUAACAUUAAAGGACCCUUACAAAAUGGGUACCUAAAACCAAGCAUUGAUCUCUUGAGGUGUUUGCUUCCGGUGGUGGAUCAUGGUUGCUCGAUAGCGGAGCUACAAAUCAUAUGACCGGAAGCAAGGACUUGGUGGUGGACGUGCACAAAGUUCCAUCUAUGCCCACCAAUGUCGAGUGGGGUGACGCCUCAUCUUCUAAGGUAUUGGGACUUGGCAAGGUGGUCAUCUCUCAUGAUCUCACAAUCGAGAAGGUCAUGCUUGUUGAGUCCCUUGCAUACAAUUUACUUUUCGUUCGUCAACUUGCAAUCAUGGGCUUUGCCACUUUCUUUGAUAUCGAUACCGUGGCCCUCUUGUGGAGCAAGACUCUUAAAGUAGCUUUUGUUGGGCAUGUCGAGAACGGUCUAUAUGUGAUUAACUUUUCGGAGCGACCCCCUAAGACCGCGACAUGCCUGAUGGCUAAAGUUGAUGUGGGAUGGCUUUGGCAUCGCCGUUUAGCCCAUGUCAAUAUGAGAUCUUUGCAAAGUCUCCUCAAGGGGGACCAUGUCCGUGGACUAAUGAAUGUUAGUUUUGCUAAAGAUCGUGCUUGUAGUGCCUGUAUCGAAGGAAAGCUACAUGAGAAGGCUCACCCUCCCACGACUAUCAUUUAUUCAAAGAGGCCCUUAGAGCUCCUUCACAUGGAUCUUUUUGGGGCCCCAUCCUUCGAUAGUCUUGGAGGUAGGAAGUAUUGCUUGGUGAUUGUGGAUGACUACUCAAGGUACACGUGGGUGUAUUUCUUCAAGAGGAAGAGCGAGACCCAACAAACCAUCAUUGACUUUGCAAAUGAAGCACAACAUCAACACAAUGCAAAGAUCUUGACAAUAAGAAGUGACAACGGCACCGAGUUCAAGAACUACACCUUGGAUGAAUUUCUUAGUGAUGAGGGAAUCAAGCAUCAAUAUUCCGCACCAUACACCCCUCAACAAAACGGUGUUGCGGAGAGGAAGAACCGGACGUUGAUGGUGUUGGAAAUAUGCCCUAGAGGCAAUAAUAAAAGUAUUAUUAUUAUAUUCCUUUGUUCAUGAUAAUUGUCUUUAUUCAUGCUAUAACUGUAUUAUCCGGAAAUCGUAAUACACGUGUGAAUACAUAGACCAUAAUAUGUCCCUAGUAAGCCUCUAGUUGACUAGCUCGUUGAUCAACAGAUAGUCAUGGUUUCCUGGCUAUGGACAUUGGAUGUCAUUGAUAAUGGGAUCACAUCAUUAGGAGAAUGAUGUGAUGGACAAGACCCAAUCCUAAGCAUAGCACAAGAUCGUGUAGUUCGUUUGCUAGAGCUUUUCCAAUGUCAAGUAUCUUUUCCUUUGACCAUGAGAUCGUGUAACUCCCGGAUACCGUAGGAGUGCUUUGGGUGUACCAGAUGUCACAACGUAACUGGGUGACUAUAAAGGUGCACUACAGGUAUCUCCGAAAGUGUCUGUUGGGUUGACACGGAUCGAGACUGGGAUUUGUCACUCCGUAUGACGGAGAGGUAUCACUGGGCCCACUCGGUAAUGCAUCAUCAUAAUGAGCUCAAAGUGACCAAGUGUCUGGUCACGGGAUCAUGCAUUACGGUACGAGUAAAGUGACUUGCCGGUAACGAGAUUGAACAAGGUAUUCGGAUACCGACGAUCGAAUCUCGGGCAAGUAACAUACCGAUUGACAAAGGGAAUUGUAUACGGGGUUGCUUGAAUCCUCGACAUCGUGGUUCAUCUGAUGAGAUCAUUGAGGAGCAUGUGGGAGCCAACAUGGGUAUCCAGAUCCCGCUGUUGGUUAUUGACCGGAGAGCGAUCUCGGUCAUGUCUACAUGUCUCCUGAACCCGUAGGGUCUACACACUUAAGGUUCGGUGACGCUAGGGUUGUAGGGAUAUGUAUAUGCAGUAACCCGAAUAUUGUUCGGAGUCCCGGAUGAGAUCCCGGACGUCACAAGGAGUUCCGGAAUGGUCCGUAGGUAAAGAUUUAUAUAUGGGAAGUCCUGUUUCGGCCAUCGGGACAAGUUUCGGGGUCAUCGGUAUUGUACCGGGACCACCGGAAGGGUCCCGGGCGUCCACCGGGUGGGGCCACCUGUCCCGGGGGGCCACAUGGGCUGUAGGGGGUGCUCCUUGGCCUACAUGGGCCAAGGGCACCAGCCCCAAGAGGCCCAUGCGCCUAGGGUUUCAAGGAGGAAGAGUCCUAGGAGGGGAAGGCACCUCCUAGGUGCCUUGGGGAGGAGGGAUUCCUCCCCUUGGCCGCACCCCCCUAGGAGAUUAGAUCUCCUAGGGCCGGCGCCCCCCUUGGCCCUCCUAUAUAUAGUGGGGGAGAUGGAGGACUUCUUACCUUGACUUUUGGUGCCUCCCUCUUCCUCUCCAACACCUCCUCCUCCUCCAUAGUGCUUGGCGAAGCCCUGCCAGAGUACUGCAGCUCCAUCACCACCACGCCGUCGUGCUGCUGCUGGAGCCAUCUCCCUCAACCUCUCCUUCCCCCUUGCUGGAUCAAGAAGGAGGAGACGUGGCUGUUCCGUACGUGUGUUGAACGCGGAGGUGCCGUCCGUUCGGUGCUAGGAUCUUCGGUGAUUCGAAUCACGUCGAGUACGACUCCCUCAUCCCCGUUCUUUGAACGCUUCCGCUCGCGAUCUACAAGGUACGUAGAUGCAUCUAAUCACUCGUUGCUAGAUGAACUCCUAGAUGGAUCUUGGUGAAACCGUAGGAAAAUUUUGUUUUCUGCUACGUUCCCCAACAGUGGCAUCAUGAGCUAGGUCUAUGCGUAGUUCUUCUUGCGCGAGUAGAACACAAUUUGUUGUGGGCGUAGAUGUUGUCAACUUUCUUGCCGCUACUAGUCUUAUCUUGCUUCAACGGUAUUGUGGGAUGAAGCGGCCCGGACCAACCUUACACAUACGCUUACGUGAGACCGGUUCCACCGACUAACAUGCACUAGUUGCAUAAGGUGGCUGGCGGGUGUCUGUCUCUCCCACUUUAGUUGGAGCGGAUUCGAUGAAAAGGGUCCUUAUGAAGGGUAAAUAGAAGUUGACAAAUCACGUUGUGGCUUUCACGUAGGUAAGAAAACGUUCUUGCUAGAACCCUACUUCAGCCACGUAAAACAUGCAACAACAAUUAGAGGACGUCUAACUUGUUUUUGUAGCAAGUGCUUUGUGAUAUGAUAUGGCCAAAGUUGUGAUGAAUGAUGAAUGAUAUAUAUGUGAUGUAUGAGAUGUUCAUGCUAUUGUAAUAGGAAUCACGACUUGCAUGUCGAUGAGUAUGACAACCGGCAGGAGCCAUAGGAGUUGUCUUUAUUUUUUGUAUGACCUGCGUGUCAUUGAGAAACGCCAUGUAAAUUGCUUUACUUUAUUGCUAAACGCGUUAGCCAUAGUAGUAGAAGUAAUAGUUGGCGAGCAACUUCAUGGAGGCACGAUGAUGGAGAUCAUGGUGUCAUGCCGGUGACAAGAUGAUCAUGGAGCCCCAAGAUGGAGAUCAAAGGAGCUAUGUGAUAUUGGCCAUAUCAUGUCACAUUUAUUAUCUGAUUGCAUGUGAUGUUUAUCAUGUUUUGCAUCUUGUUUACUUAGAACGACGGUAGUAAAUAAGAUGAUCCCUUACAACAAUUUCAAGAAUUGUUCUCCCCUAACUGUGCACCGUUGCUAAAGUUCAUCGUUUCGAAGCACCACGUGAUGAUCGGGUGUGAUAGAUCCUUACGUUCACAUACAACAGGUGUAAGACAGUUUUACACAUGCAAAACACUUAGGGUUAACUUGACGAGCCUAGCACGUACAGACAUGGCCUCGGAACACAGAGACCGAAAGGUCGAACACGAGUCGUAUGGAAGAUACGAUCAACAUGAAGAUGUUCACCGACGAUGACUAGUCCGUCUCACGUGACGAUCGGACACGGCCUAGUCGACUCGGAUCGUGUAACACUUAGAUGACUAGAGGGAUGUCUAAUCUGAGUGGGAGUUCAUUAAUAAUUUGAUUAGAUGAACUUAAUUAUCAUGAACUUAGUCUAAAAACUUUACAAUAUGUCUUGUAGAUCAAAUGGCCAACGUAGUCCUCAACUUCAACGCGUUCCUAGAGAAAACCAAGCUGAAAGACGAUGGCAGCAACUAUACGGACUGGGUCCGGAACCUGAGGAUCAUCCUCAUAGCUGCCAAGAAAGAUUAUGUCCUACAAGCACCGCUAGGUGAUCCACCCAUCCCACAGAACCAAGACGUUAUGAACGCUUGGUAGACACGUGCUGAUGACUACUCCCUCGUUCAGUGCAGCAUGCUUUAUAGCCUAGAGCCGGGGAUCCAAAAGCGUUUUGAGAGACAUGGAGCAUAUGAGAUGUUCGAAGAGCUGAAAAUGGUUUUUCAAGCUCAUGCCCGGAUCGAGAGAAAUGAAGUCUCCGGCAAAUUCUUCAGCUGUAAGAUGGAGGAAAAUAGUUCUGUCAGUGAGCACAUACUCACUAUGUCUGGGUUACAUAACUGCUUGACUCAGCUGGGAGUCAAUCUCCCGGAUGAUGCGGUCAUUGACAGAAUCCUCCAGUCGCUUCCACCAAGCUACAAGAGCUUUGUGAUGAACUUCAAUAUGCAGGGGAUGGAAAAGACCAUUCCUGAAGUAUUUGCUAUGCUGAAAUCAGCAGAGGUAGAAGUCAAGAAGGAACAUCAAGUGUUGAUGGUGAAUAAAACCACUAAGUUCAAGAAGGGCAAGGGUAAAAAGAACUUCAAGAAAGAUGGCAAGGAAGUUGCCGCGCCCGGCAAUCAAGCUGCCGGGAAGAAGUCAAAGAAUGGACCCAAGCCUGAGACGAAGUGCUUUUAUUGCAAAGGGAAGGGUCACUGGAAACGGAACUGCCCCAAAUACUUAGCGGACAAGAAGGCCGGCAAUACCAAAGGUAUAUUUGAUAUACAUGUAAUUGAUGUGUACCUUACCAGUACUCGUAGUAACUCCUGGGUAUUUGAUAUUGGUGCCGUUACUCAUAUUUGUAACUCACAGCAGGAGCUGCGGAAUAAACGGAGACUGGCGAAGGACGAGGUGACGAUGCGCGUCGGGAAUGGUUCCAAGGUCGAUGUGAUCGCCGUCGGCACGCUACCUCUACAUUUACCUACGGGAUUAGUUAUAAACCUCAAUAAUUGUUAUUUAGUGCCAAGUUUGAGCAUGAGCAUUGUAUCAGGAUCUCGUUUAAUAUGAGAUGGCUACUCAUUUAAAUCCGAGAAUAAUGGUUGUUCUAUUUAUAUGAGAGAUAUGUUUUAUGGUCAUGCUCCGAUGGUCAAUGGUUUAUUCUUAAUGAAUCUCGAACGUAAUAUUACACAUAUUCAUAGUGUGAAUACCAAAAGAUGUAAAGUUGAUAACGAUAGUCCCACAUACUUGUGGCACUGCCGCCUUGGUCACAUAGGUGUCAAACGCAUGAAGAAGCUCCAUGCUGAUGGACUUUUAGAGUCUCUUGAUUACAAAUCAUUUGACACGUGCGAACCAUGCCUCAUGGGCAAAAUGACCAAGACUCCGUUCUCAGGAACAAUGGAGCGAGCAACCAACUUAUUGGAAAUCAUACAUACUGAUGUGUGCGGUCCAAUGAGUGUUGAGGCUCGCGGGGGCUAUCGUUAUGUUCUCACCCUCACUGAUGACUUGAGUAGAUAUGGGUAUGUCUACUUAAUGAAACACAAGUCUGAGACCUUUGAAAAGUUCAAGGAAUUUCAGAGUGAGGUUGAAAAUCAACGUGACAGGAAAAUCAAGUUCCCGCGAUCAGAUCGUGGAGGAGAAUACUUGAGUCAUGAGUUUGGCACACAUUUAAGAAAAUGUGGAAUAGUUUCACAGCUCACACCGCCUGGAACACCUCAGCGUAAUGGUGUGUCCGAACGUCGUAAUCGCACUCUAUUAGAUAUGGUGCGAUCUAUGAUGUCUCUUGCCGAUUUACCACUAUCUUUUUGGGGCUAUGCAUUAGAGACUGCCGCAUUCACUUUAAAUAGGGCUCCGUCAAAAUCCUUUGAGACGACACCGUAUGAAUUAUGGUUUGGGAAGAAACCUAAGCCGUCGUUUCUAAAAGUUUGGGGAUGCGAUGCUUAUGUCAAGAAACUUCAACCUGAAAAGCUCGAACCCAAAUCGGAAAAAUGCGUCUUCAUAGGAUACCCUAAAGAAACUAUUGGGUAUACCUUCUACCUCAGAUCCGAAGGCAAGAUCUUUGUUGCCAGAAAUGGAUCCUUUCUAGAGAAGGAGUUUCUCUCGAAAGAAGUAAGUGGGAGGAAAGUAGAACUUGAUGAAGUAUUACCUCUUGAACCGGAAAAUGGCGCAACUCAAGAAAAUGUUUCUGAGGUGCCUGCACCGACUAGAGAGGAAGUUAAUGAUGAUGAUCAAGAUACUUUUGAUCAAGCUCCUACUGAAAUUCGAAGGUCCACAAGGACACAUUCCGCACCAGAGUGGUACAGCAACCCUGUCUUGGAAAUCAUGUUGUUAGACAAUGGUGAACCUUCGAACUAUGAAGAAGCGAUGGCGGGCCCGGAUUCCGACAAAUGGCUAGAAGCCAUGAAAUCCGAGAUAGGAUCCAUGUAUGAAAACGAAGUAUGGACUUUGACUGACUUGCCCGUUGAGCGGCGAGCCAUAGAAAAUAAAUGGAUCUUUAAGAAGAAGACAUACGCGGAUGGUAAUGUGACCAUCUAUAAAGCUCGCCUUGUCGCUAAGGGUUAUCGACAAGUUCAAGGGGUUGACUACAAUGAGACUUUCUCACCGGUAGCGAAGCUGAAGUCCGUCCGAAUCAUGUUAGCAAUUGCCGCAUUUUAUGAUUAUGAAAUAUGGCAGAUGGACGUCAAAACGGCAUUCCUUAAUGGUUUCCUUAAGGAAGAAUUGUAUAUGAUGCAGCCGGAAGGUUUUGUCGAUCCUAAGAAUGCUGACAAGGUGUGCAAGCUCCAACGCUCGAUUUAUGGGCUGGUGCAAGCAUCUCGGAGUUGGAACAUUCGCUUUGAUGAGAUGAUCAAAGUGUUUGGGUUUACGCAGACUUAUGGAGAAGCCUGCGUUUACAAGAAAGUGAGUGGGAGCUCUGUAGCAUUUCUCAUAUUAUAUGUAGAUGACAUACUUUUGACGGGAAAUGAUAUAGAACUCUUGGACAGCAUCAAGGCCUACUUGAAUAAGUGUUUUUCGAUGAAGGACCUUGGUGAAGCUGCUUAUAUAUUAGGCAUCAAGAUCUAUAGGGAUAGAUCGAGACGCCUCAUAGGUCUUUCACAAAGCACAUACCUUGAUAAGAUUUUGAAGAAGUUCAAAAUGGAUCAGUCCAAGAAAGGGUUCUUGCCUGUUUUGCAAGGUGUGAGAUUGAGCUCGGCUCAAUGCCCGACCACGGCAAAAGAUAAAGAAGAGAUGAGUGUCAUCCCCUAUGCUUCAGCCAUAGGAUCUAUUAUGUAUGCCAUGCUGUGUACCAGACCUGAUGUAAACCUUGCCGUAAGUUUGGUAGGAAGGUACCAAAGUAAUCCCGGCAAGGAACACUGGACAGCGGUCAAGAAUAUCCUGAAGUACCUGAAAAGGACAAAGGACAUGUUUCUCGUUUAUGGAGGUGACGAAGAGCUCGUCGUAAAGGGUUACGUCGACGCUAGCUUCGACACAGAUCUGGAUGACUCUAAGUCACAAACCGGAUACGUGUAUAUGUUGAAUGGUGGAGCAGUGAGCUGGUGCAGCUGCAAGCAGAGCGUCGUGGCGGGAUCUACAUGUGAAGCGGAGUACAUGGCAGCCUCGGAGGCAGCACAUGAAGCAAUAUGGGUGAAGGAGUUCAUCACCGACCUAGGAGUCAUACCCAAUGCGUCGGGGCCAAUCAAACUCUUCUGUGACAACACUGGAGCUAUUGCACUUGCCAAGGAGCCCAGGUUUCACAAGAAGACAAGGCACAUCAAGCGUCGCUUCAACUCCAUUCGUGAAAAUGUUCAAGAUGGAGACAUAGAGAUUUGUAAAGUACAUACGGACCUGAAUGUAGCAGAUCCGUUGACUAAACCUCUCCCUAGGGCAAAACAUGAUCAACACCAGAAUUCCAUGGGUGUUCGAUUCAUAACAAUGUAACUAGAUUAUUGACUCUAGUGCAAGUGGGAGACUGUUGGAAAUAUGCCCUAGAGGCAAUAAUAAAAGUAUUAUUAUUAUAUUUCUUUGUUCAUGAUAAUUGUCUUUAUUCAUGCUAUAACUGUAUUAUCCGGAAAUUGUAAUACACGUGUGAAUACAUAGACCAUAAUAUGUCCCUAGUAAGCCUCUAGUUGACUAGCUCGUUGAUCAACAGAUAGUCAUGGUUUCCUGGCUAUGGACAUUGGAUGUCAUUGAUAAUGGGAUCACAUCAUUAGGAGAAUGAUGUGAUGGACAAGACCCAAUCCUAAGCAUAGCACAAGAUCGUGUAGUUCGUUUGCUAGAGCUUUUCCAAUGUCAAGUAUCUUUUCCUUUGACCAUGAGAUCGUGUAACUCCCGGAUACCGUAGGAGUGCUUUGGGUGUACCAAACGUCACAACGUAACUGGGUGACUAUAAAGGUGCACUACAGGUAUCUCCGAAAGUGUCUGUUGGGUUGACACGGAUCGAGACUGGGAUUUGUCACUCCAUAUGACGGAGAGGUAUCACUGGGCCCACUCGGUAAUGCAUCAUCAUAAUGAGCUCAAAGUGACCAAGUGUCUGGUCAUGGCAUCAUGCAUUACGGUACGAGUAAAGUGACUUGCCGGUAACGAGAUUGAACAAGGUAUUCGGAUACCGACGAUCGAAUCUCGGGCAAGUAACAUACCGAUUGACAAAGGGAAUUGUAUACGGGGUUGCUUGAAUCCUCAACAUCGUGGUUCAUCCGAUGAGAUCAUCGAGGAGUAUGUGGGAGACAACAUGGGUAUCCAGAUCCUGCUGUUGGUUAUUGACCGGAGAGCAAUCUCGGUCAUGUCUACAUGUCUCCCGAACCCGUAGGGUCUACACACUUAAGGUUCGGUGACGCUAGGGUUGUAGGGAUAUGUAGAUGCAGUAACCCGAAUAUUGUUCAGAGUCCCGGAUGAGAUCCCAGACAUCACGAGGAGUUCCGGAAUGGUCCGGAGGUAAAGAUUUAUAUAUGGGAAGUCCUGUUUCGGUCAUCGGGACAAGUUUCGGGGUCAUCGGUAUUGUACCGGGACCACCGGAAGGGUCCCGGGGGUCCACCGGGUGAGGCCACCUGUCCCGGGGGGCCACAUGGGAUGUAGGGGGUGCGCCUUGGCCUACAUGGGCCAAGGGCACCAGCCCCAAGAGGCCCAUGCGCCUAGGGUUUCAAGGAGGAAGAGUCCUAGGAGGGGAAGGCACCUCCUAGGUGCCUUGGGGAGGAGGGAUUCCUCCCCUUGGCCGCACCCCCCUAGGAGAUUAGAUCUCCUAGGGCCGGCGCCCCCCUUGGCCCUCCUAUAUAUAGUGGGGGAGAUGGAGGACUUCUUACCUUGACUUUUGGUGCCUCCCUCUUCCUCUCCAACACCUCCUCCUCCUCCAUAGUGCUUGGCGAAGCCCUGCCAGAGUAUUGCAGCUCCAUCACCACCACGCCGUCGUGCUGCUGCUGGAGCCAUCUCCCUCAACCUCUCCUUCCCCCUUGCUGGAUCAAGAAGGAGGAGACGUGGCUGUUCCGUACGUGUGUUGAACGCGGAGGUGCCGUCCGUUCGGUGCUAGGAUCUUCGGUGAUUCGAAUCACGUCGAGUACGACUCCCUCAUCCCCGUUCUUUGAACGCUUCCGCUCGCGAUCUACAAGGUACGUAGAUGCAUCUAAUCACUCGUUGCUAGAUGAACUCCUAGAUGGAUCUUGGUGAAACCGUAGGAAAAUUUUUGUUUUCUGCUACGUUCCCCAACAGAUGGAUGCGGCAAGGACCAUGAUGGCGGAGUUCAAGUCUCCGUACAACUUUUGGGCCGAAGCCAUCAACACCGCAUGUCAUGCAUCCAAUCGGCUCUACCUCCGCAAGGGCUUGAACAAGACUCCAUACGAGAUACUCACCGGUAACAAGCCCAACCUCAGGUACUUCCGGGUAUUCGGGUGUAAGUGUUUCAUUCUCAAGAAAGGUGUUCGGUUGUCUAAAUUUGAGGCUAGAGCUUAUGAGGGCAUAUUUGUUGGCUAUGCUACAAACUCUCAUGCUUACCGUGUCCUCAAUAAAUCCACGGGACUUAUUGAGGAGACGUGUAACGUGGAGUUUGAUGAGAAUAACGGCUCCCAAGUGGAGCAAAGUGGCACUUGUGAUGUAGGUGAUGAAAUUCCUCCCCAAGCCAUAAGAAGAAUGGGUGUUGGCUUUAUCCUACCCAUUGAGGAACCCCUUGUGGCCGAAGGAGAAGGACAAAGCUCCACUCAAGUGGAGCCAUCACCAACCCAAGGCCCACACGCAUCCGAAGAACAAAGUGAAGGCCCUCAACCUCAUGAACAAGACCAAGGGCAAGAUCAUACUCAAGACGGUGUUGACACACCAAGUGAUGCCCAGGGUCAAGUUCUCUCCCCCGAGCAGGUUCAAGAUCAAGAACAAGUUCAUGACGAUGUUCAAGAUGAUCAAGUAACCACUCCUCAACUCACCACCGAGGAGGAAUUAGAGCGUCGUGCCGCCAAGAUUGCAUCCAAGCUCUCCACCAAGGAUCAUCUCAUGACGAAUGUGCUUGGAAGCUUAAGAAAGGGGGUAAGCACUCGUAGACAAUUAGCAAAUUAUUGUGAGCAUCACGCGUUUGUCUCUUGUGUGGAACCCCACAAGGUCUAUGAGGCGCUAGAAGAUCCGUAUUGGCUCAAUGCCAUGCACGAAGAACUCAACAACUUCGAGCGCAACAAAGUGUGGAGAUUGGUGCCAAGGCCAACGGGGAACCACAAUGUCAUUGGAACCAAGUGGAUAUUCAAGAACAAGCAAGAUUCCCAUGGGAUUAUCAUUUGCAACAAGGCUCGUUUGGUAGCACAAGGCUACUCCCAAGUCGAGGGUAUCGACUAUGGUGAAACCUUUGCUCCCGUUGCUCGUCUUGAAUCCAUUCGCAUGUUGAUUGCAUAUGCUUCUCAUCAUAACUUUAAGUUACAACAAAUGGAUGUGAAGAGUGCUUUUCUUAAUGGUCCCAUUAAUGAAUUGGUUUGCGUCAAGCAACCCCCCGGGUUUGAGGAUCCCUACUUUCCCGAUCAUGUGUAUCAACUCGAUAAGGCACUCUAUGGCCUUAAACAAGCCCCACGUGCAUGGUAUGACCACCUUACCAAGUUGUUACAAGACCGUGGUUUUGAAGUUGGGCUAAUCUACCCCACUCUUUUUACUAAGAAGGUCAAAGGGGAGUUGUUUGUGUGCCAAUUAUAUGUUGAUGAUAUUAUCUUUGGUUCUCCUAACAAAGCUUUCAAUGAGGAAUUUGCCGCUCUCAUGACCUUAAAGUUUGAGAUGUCCUCCAUGGGAGAGUUGAAGUUCUUUCUAGGGUUCGAAGUGAAGCAAAGAAGAGAAGGAACCUUCAUCAAUCAAUCCAAAUACACUCAAGACAUUCUCAAGAGAUUCAAGCUAAGUGACGUCAAGCCGGCUUCCACUCCAAUGCCCACCAAGUGCCAACUUGACUUAGAUCCCAAUGGUAAAGUGGUGGAUCAAAAGGUAUAUCGUUCCAUGAUUGGAUCCUUGCUUUACCUUUGUGCAUCUAGACCGGACAUCAUGUUGAGUGUGGGAAUUUGUGCACAGUUUCAAGCCACACCUAAGGAAAGUCACUAUGUGGCGGUCAAACGAAUCUUUCGAUAUUUGGCUCAUACCCCAAACUUUGACUUAUGGUACCCAAGAGGAUCAAACUUCAAGCUUGUAGGGUACUCGGAUUCCUAUUGGGCGGGAGACAAAGUGGAUAGGAAGUCCACUUCCGGAGGGUGCCAAUUCCUUGGUUGCUCUUUGGUAAGUUGGUCUUCCAAAAAGCAAAGUUGUGUGUCUCUCUCGUCCACUGAGGCGGAGUAUGUUGCCGCCGGUAGUUGUUGUGCUCAACUCCUAUGGAUGAGGAAACUUUAAAGGAUUACGGUGUCACUUGUGACAAAGUGCCUCUUUGGUGUGACAAUGAAAGUGCCAUCAAGAUCUCUCUCAACCCGGUGCAACACUUCAAGACGAAGCAUAUUGAGAUCCGGUAUCACUUCAUCCGGGAUCACAUUAGGCGAGGAGAGAUCGAGCUCAACUAUGUCAACACUCAUGACAACCUUGCAGAUAUUUUCACGAAGCCCUUGUAUGAAGAAAGAUUUCGCGAGUUAAGGCAUGAGCUAAAUAUCAUUGAUUCGAGCAAUGUGGCUUGAACCUUUGCACACCCUACCACGCUCAAUUUGUUGUCUAGUUUAGGUGUAGGCAUGGACAUAGGGGGAGUGUUGUUCUCUCAAUGAACUCUCCCUCCCCCCAUUAUGCAUAAAUUGAUCGAGUCUUUCACAUUAGCCAUGUUUGAUGGUACUUGUGCUUCAAAGACGAGUUUUGGUCAUGGACCCAAGGAUAAUUCUUCGCGGUGCCAUACCAAUUGACUCAAACAUAGGUGGCCUUGGCCACCGCCCUCUCUCCGGGAGGUUGGAGUUAGCCUUGUUGUUCCCGUGUUGUUUUCUCUCUUUUGUCUUUGCUCUUUGUGUUAGGUUCUCCUAGGGUGUUGCUUCUCUCCUGUUUUGUGCCCCUUCUUCCUCCCUUCGGAUUGCACUCUUUUGAUCUUGGCUUGGGCAUAGGUGGUCGGGCAGUACAACCGGUAUCACGGGCGGUUCUACCGCUGGUACCGGGUUGUGCCGUCCCAAUGGGUCUCCGUUCGGUGCUUGGGCAGUUCCACCGCUCAAACCCACGGUAACCAACGUCCGGUACUACCGGUUGACGCCGUGCGGUACUACCGCUGCCUCCCAGGCACCGGAAGUAUCACCUCCAACCACCGGUCUGUACCAGACGAGCGGUACAACCGCUCCCCUAAGCGGUUCUACCGGGGCGUGUCUACGGGCCUAUAUAUACUUGACGAGGCUGAAGGGUUGUCCUUUUUCCCUUCGUCCUCGUUCCUCUUCUCUUUGCCCUAGCCGCCGGCCAUCUCUUCCCCUGCCCCGGAGUGCGUCUCGCGCUUCGGAUCCUUGGCUCUCCGUGGAUUCUCUCCAUGGAGGCCUCCCGAUCUCUUCCCAUGGAUGGUGGUAAUGCCUCGUGUUCUUUGCUUCUAGAUCUUUCUAGGGUUCUUCCUUGUCUAGGGCAUUACUUAACGUUCCGCGUUUAGUGUUCAAACUAUGGUUUAGAAGAGAUCUUUGUUAGCCUCCUGUCUUGUUUGCAGCACUUAGAUUUCGGAAUAUUACUUGUGUGAUUCGUAUGCCUCGGUUAGAUCUAUCUUCCCUGGUAGUGCCACUGUCAGCGGUUCUACCGUCCCUACGGGCGGUACAAAUGCUGGAGCGGUACUACCGGCGAAAGAUCCGGUCCAAUCGGAGGAUAUCAACCACAAAGCACUGUUCUAUCUUCUCUGUUGCUGCAACUUGUUCCUUUUCUGCUAGUGGGUGCAAUCCUCUCAUCCUUGUUGGGUUUUUGUGUGUUCUUUUUGUGUGUGUGUUUAGGUGGCUCUAGUUCUUGCUCUGCUCCUCGCAAGACCAAGAAGAGGGCACGAAGGACCUUGCGCCCGGUUGUGUCUGAUGAUGAAGAAGAAGUUGUGAUUCCCACCAAGCCCACUCGUCGUGAAAAGUCUGCAGCUGCUAAGCAACGUGUGGUUAUGCCGUUGCAUCGUUAGAAAGCCAAGGAUUGGGAAGCCUUCCGAUCAAAGAAUCCGUAUGUGGUUCCCAUUGCUCCCGUUGGACCACUGUUCAGUUCCGGAAUGAGAUGCAAGUGCGGAUUGUUCAUGAACUCUUUGAACACAACAAGAACAUAUAUGCCAAGUAGUGGACAAUUGAUUUUGACCAUUAGAGAAACAACAUGGAGUAUUUUGGUGAGGCGCUGGCUCUCUGCGAGGAGUUUGAUCUUGUCAAGAUCAUGUUAGUCAACUGUGACUUUGAUGUUCAACUUAUCCAUCAGUUCUAUGCCACGGUUCAUUUUGGGGAAGAUGAUGCGCGCACUCUCACCUUCAUGUGUCGCGAUGAAUUGUUUCACGUUCCCUGGAGGGCAUUCUGUAAUGCUAUUGGGUAUGAGAAUACCGGUCUGGAAGGAAGGGGUGGCAUUCGCCCUCAUGAUUUUCCUGAGUCCAUGCCUAAGGAGAAGCUUGCCCCUCUGUACAUUCGGGGCCGUGGGAUUAUUGGAGAAUCCAAGGAUUUGGAGAAGGUCUAUGACAUCAUGCACCGAGUGUUCCGCAAUGUGCUCUUGCCCAAGGUGGGCAAUCAAGAUGAGAUUCAUGGCUAUCUGGUUGAUUUGAUGGUUGCUAUGAAGACCAUGGUGGGGACAGGGGCAAUGUUUGAUGUGUCAAAUUGGCUGUGGCAUGAGAUGUACAACAUGGUCAUCUACCGUAAAUUCCCAAUCUAUGCUCCGUUUGUCAUGUGCUUUCUGAACUCUGUAUGGGCUGUUCGUCGUCCUGGAGAGCUCCUCACUUCUCCAGACAACCUCACUGUUCAUGAGGUCAAGCUCCUUAAGAAGAAGAAGCAUGCCGAGCCUCGCUUCCCUGAAAAUGCUCCUGAGGAUGUCUAUGCUACUUCUGACGAUGAGGACUUUGAGCUGGAGCCAGGGGCCAAGCCUUCGUGGGUGGCCAAACUUACUGCCAAGGUGAAGAAGACCUUUUGUCUCCAGGCUGACAUCCAGAAGAAGAUGUAUGAGGCACAUGUCAAUGAGAAGCUUGCACGGCAUCGCCAAAUUGCAAUGAUGAAGCACCUCAACAUGCAGGUUCAGAGUGGCUCUGAGAAGAGCAUCACCCCAGAGGAGCGUUGGAUUUCUACCCAUAGCACCUGGACUGAUGAUGAAGCCCCUCCCCAGCCAUCCUCCUCGUUUGCAGCAGCUGACAAUUCCAUGGAAGAAUCUGAUCACGAUGACAAUGACGACUCUGAUGAUGAGGAUCCAGAUGCGACCGAGGAGUCAGAGGAGGAUGCCUGAGCUUUGGGACGCUAGCUUCGCUCUUUUCCUUUUUGGUGUCUUGAUGCCAAAGCGGGAGAGGGUUCUAUAGGUCUCGGGGAUUUGCUUGGGUUUUUCUCUUUUUCUCGUGUUUAGUGUUGGUCUCUGUUCGUGGACUUGUUUCAUUCCUUGCUGUGUGUGAGACUUAUGUUACUCCGGUUACCUUUACGUUCGUAGAUCAUUAUCGUUAUUAUUGCCCCUAAGUAUUAUAUUGUCUCUCCUUUUUGUGCUCAGAGUGGUGAGUCUAUAAAAUCUAGGGGGAGUCUAGUCCUGAAAGUGUGCCCAUGCUUUCUAAGAGCUAGUUCUUGUUGGGGCACACAUUCAGGGGGAGUUCCGUCUAGAUUUCAUUGACUUAUCUCUUGCAAAUCGUGUUGUUGUCAUCAUCCACCAAAAAGGGGGAGAUUGAAAGGGCAUUUCCCUACUUUAUGUUUUGGAUGAUGAUGACAACCCUUUGUGGUCUAAUUGUGUGCUAUAUGUUUCAGGUUCUUGAUGCUUAGGCUUACAUCGGAUUGCUAUUGUCUCUCGAGGGAAAAGAUCGAAGAUGUGUCCUCUAAGCUUUUAUUUUCUUUGGUCAUAGAGUACCCGUACUAUCAAGAGGGAAUCCUCAUUAGGAAGCUCUGGGGGAAUUAGUUCACGUACACUUUCCUCACCCUCUCUUUGCCUUCCUCAGGUGUGUGUGUGUGAGAGAGUUUUCCUUGCCUCUUCCCCUAUCUUUCCUGCGAACUAUUUCUGCCCAGCGGUUGUACCGCUCUCUGGAGCGGUUGUACUGCUGGGUCUUGUCGCUCACCAGCUUUGCUCGAGCGGUUGUACCGCUGCCUCCGGGCGGUGGUACCGCCACCAUGCUCUGCAAAAGCUGGGGCGGUGGUUCCGUCCAUGCACCGCUCAAGUACCGCUCUCGCUUCUGUUUUGAUGCGGUUCUUGGGCGGUAGUGGCCCGGUUGGUCCGGUCGUUCCACGAUGACCGGUACCACCGGUGGUUCGAGCGGUUCUUCCGCUCAGAACUUAGCCGCCCAAGAGCUCAAGGCCAUGCGGUUGUUCCGGCCAGGCACCGCCCAAGUACCGGUCAAGCUCCUGUUUUGAUGCGGUGGUUGUGCGGUGGCCAGGCGGUUAGUCCGGUUAUUUUUCUUAGCCGGUACUACCGCCCGCCUGUCCGGUUGUACCGCUUGGUAGGGUUCUGCAGAUACACCGUGAGUCCCGGUUGUACCGGGACAAGGAACGGUUGUACCGCUGUAGUGCAAAAAACGCAGUAACGGUUGGAAUUGUGGGUGACUAUAUAAGGGAGCUUCUCCCACCUACCACUUUCACCUUUGACCUCUCUCACUCCACCAUUGAUGCACUUCAAGCUCUCUUGCCCGAUAUCUCUCUCUAGCCACUCAAACUUGUUGAUUUGCUAGGGAUUGAAGGAGGAGACCUAGAUCUACACUUCCACCAAAGGAUAUUUGCUUCCCCCAUACUUUCUUGUGUGGAUUUUGUUACUCUUGGGUGUUUGAGCACCCUAGACGGUUGAGGUGACCUCAGCGCCAUAUUCCAUUGUGGUGAAGCUUCGUGGUUUUGUUGGGAGCCUCCAAUUAAGUUGUGGAGAGAGCCCCAACCUUGUUUGUAAAGGUUCGGUCGCCGCCUUCAAGGGCAUCAAUAGUGGAAUCACGGCAUCUCGCAUUGUGUGAGGGCGCGAGGAGAAUACGGUGGCCCUAGUGGCUUCUUGGGGAGCAUUGUGCCUCCAUACCGCUCCAACGGAGACGUACUUCCUCUCAAAGGGAAGGAACUUCGGCAACACAUCCUCGUCUCCACCGUCUCCACUCUUGGUUAUCUCGUGCCUUUAUUUGAGCAAGCUUACUUGUUUCAUAUCUCUUGCUUGUUUGUGUUCCUAUCCUUGUUGCAUCAUAUAGGUUGCUCACCUAGUUGCAUAUCUAGACAACCUACUUUGAUGCAAAGUUUAAAUUGUUAAAGAAAAGCUAAAAAUUGUUAGUUGCCUAUUCACCCCCCCUCUAGUCAACCAUAUUGAUCCUUUCAUCCACAAUAAUUACCUAUGCAUUAUUUGGCAACACCCCAACAUUUUAGUUUAAUAUUUGAAAACCUUUACAGUUUGACUUUAUUUUAAGUUUGAAUUUCGAAUCAAUUUUGAACUAACAUGAGAUUAACAACAGUAAUCGUGGUGACGUGGCAUCAUUAACGUGGGAUUACUAUAGCCUAAUUAUCCGGGCAUCAUAAUUCUCCUCUACUAUAAGAAAUCUCGUCCCGAGAUUUAAGAGGUGGGUAAGGGGGAAGGUUCUGGCUACGAAAUUCUAGCGAGUGUUCCCGGUCUUAGUUGCUCUUCUCCAAGGGGUCGAUCCAUUAUGUUGAUGUCUUCAUUCCUCUGCUUCAGGUCAUCAUGAUGAAGUCGUCAUUCUUUCCUCGGGAACUCCAUCGUACGUACGAAGGUCAAGGGUUAACUUCGGAAGAAUGGACCGCUACAAUGUUGCUUAUCUGGUAGAUAACCUCAGGAAAAGUGGUGGAAAGUAACUCUCGAAUUCAUACUUAAGAAAUUUUCGAGAGCAAAGUACGAAGGUGCAAAAUGGAAGCUUCAAGCGCAUAGGCAAUCGUUUGUUGCCUGAAACAAGUGUGAAAGGGGUUUAGAGCAAUGUGAAUAAGCAUUGUGUCUGAUACCAGAAUAGAUCGCUAGGAAGGUGGCUCGCAAAUUACCUACGAAACCAAGAGCAAGGGAUAACUUUGUCAACAAGGUGUACAGGAGAGUCAGUUUUCGAUCCUGUGGAACUGUGGGUUAUGGGCCCACCAUGGGUUAAAAGUAGGAGAAGUGGUGACAUCUUGCAUAGUCAUGAUAGCAAGACAGGUCAGAGUAUAGCCUAUUAAUUAUGUCGGCAACAACGUCGGUACCAAUGGCGAGGGAUGAAGAGAACCAUUUUCCUGCUCGUUGAACGAGGCGGACCAAUAGGCAAAGUUCUCGUCCAUCGGUGGUUACCGGAAUGUCAUCAACAAAAGUAACAGGGUCUUUCUGACAGAAUUGUACACCGAGGUGUUUACAAAAGCAAGAGAAUAUUACUGCUUAGAUCAUAUAGAUCACCAGAAAGGUUAAACCAAACAAUGGAAAGGAAAAUAUGAUUAUCAGGUUUAAGCCGAACAAUGGAAAGGAAAUUGUGUUUAAACACAUAUUUCAAUGGUAUAUCCUUCCCAAGGACAAGCAGAGCAUGAUAUCCAUGACAGGAUAUAAUGUAGAAAACUCUUUAGGUAAGGGGAGAGAAAUUUCAUGACAUUACCCAUACAACGGUGUUUGGAUAAUUGAGCAAGAAAACAUUUAGCAUUGGGCCUCAAAUCUUCUUGUCGAAAAUCGGAGUACCACAGACAUGCUUCGAGAUAGCAUUGACAUGGUCUUCAAGCAAAGGUCGGACUUUGGAUACACAAUGGAUUUAUCAGGAAUAACUUGUAGAAUAAAUCUUGCAAUAGGUCCUCCAACCAGGUGUGCUAGGCAUGACAUCACCUUAUUGGGUUAUAGAAAGACCAACGCUAUGACUCUUGGAAAAUGUUCCAACCAUCAUAUCUGACCGAGUUUCAGACCUGGUUGGUGUUAGGAUACCUCAGACUCAGGAUGCCCGAGAAGACAAGGUGUAACACAAAUUAACGUGAGGACAUUUUAAGAUUCUCGAGCAAUGAACUAUGGAAGCGAGUCCCAAAACAAGAUUUCAUCGGUAAACCAUGGAGAGGAUGAGGAGGUGGCUUAUGAACUCAGCGACAAUUCAUCAAGAUUUCCACAAUUAAAUAUUGAACGAAAAUGCACCUGGAAAUAUGGACCAAGUAGGACGUUCAAAGCUAGAAUGGUGAUUCGAUAACGAAACUAUCGGCCAUUCACUUCAAAACAAUAGGGUUGCUAGAGAUAUCAAAUUCCCACAACAGAGUUCACUCAACACGGGGGCCAAGAAAAGAAUGGUGAUGGCGAGAAGCAUCACUGUAACAAGAAUUUCUUAAGAGGUGGUGAAAUUCUCACAACAUUUUGACAUAAAAGAUGGUAAUACUCCAAUGUAAAGAAGAACAAUGCUGGGUAGAACGAACUCAAGGUAUAACACAAAACACGAACAAGUUUGUGUCGGAGGGAAGGCAAUAAAGUGGCCGAUGAUAACACGACUCAUCGAGGGCAAGGAUGGCAUUUCUCUUCAUGAAUCCGAUUGAUAUCCUGGAAGAGCUCAUAAGGUUGAUGAUGAUCACGACACAUUUGUCGAGAGAUUUCAUGAAGAUGUAAUCAAUCAGUGACGACAUCGAGUCAAAGGAAUGAUGAAGCAAAAUGUUAUUGGAACCAUGGGUACGACACAAACUUGAAAUCAAGUUUGUUGUUCAAGGAGAAAUGAUAUGACGAGGAAGAUCGACGUAGGGGUUGCGGAGAUGUAUUGAUCUGUAGAAGACGAGUGUUUUCACUUGCCUGAGAAAUGGUAUUUAAAGGAGAACAUGGUCGGAACCACGACUGCAAAGGGUCAAUUCACCGAUAUCAGAUGAUAUUAUAUCAAGGAAAUAGUUAUCAUUACAAUAAGUUUCCAUGAUAGGAUCUACAUCGUGUCCAUGGGCAUGAACACAAAGUUCAAGGUCGACUCCCACAACUUUAAUGCAUAACCUUUCAUUCACUUCUUGCCUUCAACGAAGUUGUGGUGUUGAAAUUUUAUCUGACAUAACACCAGUAGAGUAUGACCCAUAGUAGUUUCCGGGUUCACACAGAUUAGAAAAAGGCAUAUGUCCAACCCAUCGGGGCCUCUUAGGAACAUAUACCACAAACUUCAGGAGUAAAUAACACAAGCUCGAAAGCAGAGCAUGCUUGACAAAGCAGAGGACACAAUUUACCAAAGGCAUUAUGUAUCCAAGAAAAGACUCACAAAGUUAUUGAAUAUGAAGGACGCUGUCGGAUAAAAUCCAUUAAAGGAUCUGCCGGUCAAUAACAGAGCUGUUGUGAGCAUCGGCACACAACCAGAGGAAGUAACCAUGCAAGGGCAUUGGACUAUAGAAACAACUGACUGAUUCGAUGCUUAGAAUCAGAGGUAUUAUGAUUUCCAAAUCGAAGGAUCAGAAGCAGACGCUCUGAUCAAGGGUGGAUAAGUUCAAUAGACCUAAGGGGUACAAUCGACGGCAAUUGGAUUGGUUGAGAACCAGCUCAUGUUUAAAACGACGCCUGAGCCGGAAAGAUAAUUUAAAAGGAUCAACUCAUGAUUGCGUGCAUUCACACUCAUGUUGAAUCAAAAGGAUCAAGAUGACGGUGCCUAAGGAUACUAACGAAUAUUGCCAGACAUAUGGAAAGCAUCCAUCAUGCAAGCAGACAAGUAUUGCAGAGCAAUAAGCUACUAAGGAUUUUUGGAGGACCGAAUAGUAUUCGAAGACCAUUGUGAAACACAUGAACAACUGGGGGAUGAGCGGAUACUCGAUAAGUGCGAGAAUUAUCCGUAGGGGUAUUCAGGUGACAAACAACAGCAAGGCAGUAAGCUCAAAGGAUUAUCGAAACAACGACGAGUAUUUCGGGGUAUCUUGUAAUAUCAAGACCAACUGGGGAUGAAUGUAAGAAUAACAACUGCAAGUAGUUAUCCAUAAGGGUUGACGGUGGAAGGGGAAUUGCAAACGCGAUGAACAAAAGUUCUCGGGUUAACAGCGGAGAGUAUCUUUAGGGUCUUCACGUGCAGUAGACGAUCAUCAGUAAUAAGGUGCUCUCCAGAUGAAAGUGAUCACGAGAUCCUAAUGUUAGAGUUAACAAAAUCAUUUAAACCGAAUAGAAGAGAGAUCAGAGUCCCAGAGUAUAGAUGGGGAAUAAAAGAUCCUAAUACCACCCAAUGGCGACGUGGGCCCGUAAGCCACACAGCCAUGUUAGUAAAAACUUUUUUUAAUGACUAGACUCAACUUCGUCCAAGGAGUUUGGAAGGGGGAUUCCUACAGGCAGUCGGCUCUGAUACCAACUUGUGCCCCCCCGAUUUGACCGUACACUAAUCAUACACGCAAACGUGUACGAUCAAGAUCAGGGACUCACGGGAAGAUAUCACAACACAACUCUACAAAUAAAAAUAAGUCAUACAAGCAUCAUAUUACAAGCCAGGGGCCUCGAGGGUUCGACUACAAGAGCUCGAUCAUAGACGAGUCAGCGGAAACAACAAUAUCCGAGUACAGACAUAAGUUAAACAUGUUUGCCUUAAGAAGGCUAGCACAAACUAGGAUACAUAUUGAAAGAGGCGCAGGCCUCCUGCCUGGGAUCCUCCUAAACUACUCCUGGUCAUCGUCAGCGGGCUGCACGUAGUAGUAGGCACCUCCCGAGUAGUAGUAGUCGUCAUCGACAGUGGCGUAUGGCUCCUGGGCUCCAUCGUCUGGUCGCAACAAUCGGGUAUGGAAAGGGGGAAACGAGGGAGCAAAGCAACCGUGAGUACUCAUCCAAAGUACUCGCAAGCAAGGAGCUACACUACAUAUGUAUGCAUUAGUAUCAAAUGGAAUAAGGGUAUCAUAUGUGGACUGAACUCCAGAAUGCCAAAAUAAGAGGGGGAUAGCUAGUCCUAUCGAAGACUACGCUUCUGGUAACCUCCAUCUUGCAGCAGAAGAAGAGAGUAGAUGGUAAGUUCACCAAGCAACAUGGCAUAGCAUAAUCCUACCCGGCGAUCCUCCCCUCGUCGCCCUAUUAGAGAGCGAUCACCGGGUUGUAUCUGGCACUUGGAAGGGUGUGUUUUAUUAAGUAUCUGGUUCUAGUUGUCAUAAGGUCAAGGUACAACUCCAAGUCGUCUUGUUACCAAAGAUCACGACUAUUCGAAUAGAUAAACUUCCCUGCAGGGGUGCACCACAUUUCCCAACACGCUCGAUCCCCUUUGUCCGGACACACUUUUCUGGGUCAUGCCCGGCCUCGGAAGAUCAACACGUCGCAGCCCUACCUAGGCACAACAGAGAGGUCAGCACGCCGGUCUAAAUCCUAUGGCGCGGGGGUCUGGGCCCAUCGCCCAUUGCACACCUGCACGUUGCGAGGGCGGCCGGAAGCAGAACUAGCCCCUUACUACAAGAGCAGGCUUACAGUCCAAUUCGGCGCGCGUCGCUCAGUCGUUGACGUCAUGAAGGCUUCGGCUGAUACCACGACGUCGAGUGCCCAUAACUGUCCCGCGUAGAUGGUUAGUGCGUAUAGGCCAGUGGCCAGACUCAGAUCAAAUACCAAGAUCUCGUUAAACGUGUUAAGUAUCCGCGAACGCCGACCAGGGCCAGGCCCACCUCUCUCCUAGGUGGUCUCAACCUGCCCUGUCGCUCCGCCACAAAGUAACAGUCGGGGGCCGUCGGGAACCCAGGCCCACCUCUACCGGGAUGGAGCCACCUGCCCCUUCAGCCCCCAACUCCGAAUAGUACCACAGGUAAUGUAACAGUGUAAAGUAUAUAGUAUAUGCCCGUGAUCACCUCCCGAAGUGAUCACGGCCCAGUAGUAUAGCAUGGCAGACAGACAAGAGUGUAGGGCCACUGAUGGAACACUAGCAUCCUAUACUAAGCAUUUAGGAUUGCAGAUAAAGGUAACAACAGUAGUAGCAAGGACAGGCUAUGCAUCAAGAUAGGAUAACGGAAAGCAGUAACAUGCUACACUACUCUAAUGCAAGCAGUAGAGAGAAGAAUAGGUGAUAUCUGGUGAUCAAAGGGGGGGCUUGCCUGGUUGCUCUGGCAAGAGAGAGGGGUCGUCAACACCGUAGUCAUACUGGGUAGCAGCGGCGUCGGUCUCGGUGUCUAGCGACAGAAGAGGGGGAAGAAACAAUAAAUAUUAAGCAAAUAGAUGCAUAGCGAUGCAUGACAUGACAAGUAUCGGUGCUAGGGUUGCCCUAACGCGGUAUGAGGUGAUACCGGUGAAGGGGGGAAACAUCCGGGAAAGUAUCCCCGGUGUUUUGCGUUUUCGGGCAGAGGAUCCGGAGGGGAAAGUUGCGUGUUCGAUAGGUUAGGGAUGCGUGGCGGACGAACGGGCCGCGUAUCCGGGUUCGUCUCAUCGUUCUGAGCAACUUUCAUGUUGAAAAUAUUUUAAUCCGAGUACGGAUUAAAUGAUAUGAUUUUCUAAAGAUGUUAUUAAUUUUCUAGAAUUUAAUUAAUUAUUUAAGUUAAUUCAAAAUUAGAUUUAUGACAUCAGCAUGAUGUCAUGCUGACGUCAGCAGUCAACAGGGGUUGACUGGGUCAAACUGACGCGUGGGUCUAGCGGGACCCACCUGUCAUACUCUGUUAGGUUAAUUACGGUUUAAUUAAUUGAUUAGGUUAAUCUAAUCAUGAUUAAUUAGUUUAAUUAAUUAAUUAAGAAUAAUUAAGUUAAUUAAUUAAUUAGGUUAAUUAAUUAAUUAAUUUUAUUUAUUAUUUUUUUAAUCCCCUUUUUUUAAACGUUCUCUGGGCAGGGACCAUGUGUCAUAGGCCGAGGGGGCGAUGCGGGUUACGGGCGCCACGGGCGCUCGCCCGUAGGGAGCGGCGGGGCGAGGCCAGAGGCCAGGCUGGCCGCGGUGGCUGGCGGCACUGCGGCGGCAGCAGAGGAGGCGAGGCGGCGAGCAGGGCAUGCCGCAGCCGCCGGCGAGUGGAGGCGGGCAGCAGCGGCAGCAAGCUGCAUCAGCAGCAGGCUGCGGACGUGCGCGGCGCACGAGCGCGGGAGGCAGGCGCAGUGCGCAGGGGAGGCGAGAUGGCAGCAGCAGCGCAAUUUAGCGGGCGGAGGCGGGGCGGCCAACAGCAGUGGGCAGAAGGUGGGCGCGACGCGGCAGCAGCGGUGCUAGCAGCGGGUGUAGGCAAGGCGAUGCAGGGGCGGUGAAAGUACAUGUAGUCCCCAUGUGUGGUUUUGGUAAUUAAAUAACAAUACUAUCAUCAAAUGUUUGCAUUGACAUAUACAUUUGGAGUUCAUUGGAGUAUCUUAAGGGUUGCCAUGCUUAGAGCUAUGGUUUGAGCCAUAAUGGAUCAAGAUCUUAAAAGGAUGAUUUGAAUGAUGAAUUCUAGGAGUGACUCAAAGAUAUGAUCAUAAUGGACUCAUGUGUUGAGUCAUGAUUGAUCAAGUGUUCAAGCAAGCUAUUCAAGUGAAGAACUCAAUAUACUCUUCAAGACGUCAAGAUUAAACAUGGAGUAGAGAUAUAGGUUGACCAAGAUGAAGCUCAAAGAUCGAACUCUAAAUGGACAACACACGAGCACAAAUGAUGCACCACAUAGGAUCUUAUGGUAUGAUAAGAAAUUAUCAAUUGCACUCUGUGUACUAACCCAUACUAUGUGUUGUCUAUGUUUUUGAGGGUUAGGUGAUUCUCAUGGGCUCGCAUCAAGAAAGAGAUUUCAAGUGUCUAUGAGAUGAUAACAUCAAGUGUUGGUGAUCAUGGUUGACAAGGGCAAGUUCAAGAUAACCAUCCCAAAGGAUUACAUUCUUGAAGCUUGUGAAUGAUCAAAUGAUGGACAAGUGAAGAUAAAUACAAAGCAAAGCUUCCCACAUUGUGUAUGGGGGAGAGACUUGAAGACUUUACCAAUGUCUUGCCUUCAUAUUGAGCCAAGAAGAGACAUCAACAUCAAGCUCAAGUGAACGACUAGUGUCGAAGGUAUUAGUUCCUUUGAUGUUAGUGUUGUGGAGUGAUGACCACCAAAGAAACAUAUACACUCAAGAAUGGAUUCUCGAUAGCUAUGUAGUGUAGCUCUUUUAUUAUUCUUGAGUUAUAGGGAUCCCGCACUAUUAAGAGGGGAUAAAAGGGAUUUAUGAUGGAUUUGCUCAAUUCAACAUCUUCUAUACACCAUUCCACUCAUAUCCUAUAUAUCAAAGAAAAGCCAAAGCCAAAUAGUUUCCCAAAAUAUAUGAUCUAAACUUUCCAUACUUUGCACCCUCCAUUUUGGUUUAUCUUGGUUGGUUCUCUAUGUUAGGACCUGGAGCUUUUCCAUAGUUUCAAAAUGAGCCCAAGAUCAUCAAAAUCGGAGUUCGGAUGUGAAAGUUAUGCAUGUUUUAGUUUUGGGGUUCCUGCUGUUAUUUUGGCCGGAUGUCCGGUAACGUCCGGAAAUCCGGUGCGCCGAUCCAGAAGCAAACAGAUGGAUUUCCGGUACUUAUCGGAUGUCCGGUGCCCGGAUGUCCGGCAAGUGUCGGAUGUCCGACAAACCUGUUUCGCAAAUAUCCUGCUACAUUCGUCUGAUGGCAUGCUACGGCAAUCGGACGUCCGGUGUUCCACCGAACGUCCGGUGCCUAUUUUGCCACCGGACGUCCGGUAAUCCACUGGACGUCUGACACUUUCCUGAGCAGAAUUCUCCCCAACGACCACAUUUGGGGCCACACUAUAAAUACCCCUUCACUACUUCAUAUGAACCCUAGAACACAAAAGGCUCCUUCUCACUUCUCCUACACCAAAUCUUAGAUCCCGGAGAGAUUCGUGAGAGUUCUUGAGAGAUUUUCCAAUCAAGUGAUAGAUCCACUCCCUCUUCCUCUCUUGACCAAAGGAAUUUGUGAUUUGAGCAAGUCUUGAGCAUUUCCCCUUUGUUCUUGUUACUCUUGGAGGUUGGAGACUCCUAGGCGGUAGGAGUGCUCCGGUGAGGAAUCAACUUGUGAUUUGUCCCCCGGAAAGUUUGUGAAGGUUUGGAGGCCGCCUCAAGGUCUACCACUAGUGGACGAGAAUCGCCUUCGUGGUGAUAUCUCAAGGAGAAUAGGGUGAGCCUUCGUGGCGUUGGUGUGCCUUCGUGGUAACAUCCACCUCUCUAACGGUGACUAGCUUCCCUCCAAGGAAGUGAACAUCGGGAUACAUCCUCGUCUUCGUGACUUUGGUUAUCCCUAACCCUAACUCCUUACUUGUGGUUUACUUUGGUCACUUGACCGUGCAUUCACUGUAUCUUGUUGUCCUCAUUAUAUUGUGUUGGCCAUUCCCUUGAAGAGAUUAUUUAGGCCUACACUUUAUAUUCGCAAUUCAUACUUUCUACUAUUGUUCUAUCUUAUGCUUAGUGUGAAUUGCUAGCUUGUAACAUUCAUUUCCAUAUCUUGUGACAUAACUUGUGUAAGCUUGUAGUUCUUACUUGAGUUUGCUUGUAUCAUUCAAUUCCAUAUAUUGUGAUACAAUUUGUGUAAGCUUGUAUUGCUUACUUGUGGUUGUGUGUAUUAUUCAUUUCCAUAUCUCAUGAUAUACAUUGAGUAAGUUUGUGUGACUUACUUGUGCUUACUCAUAUCCUCGUUGUUCUCAUCUUGUUUAUCCUAAGUUGUUGGUGCACUUAGUGAGCCUAGUAUAUUUAGGAUUUGUGCUUGAAAAGUAUCUGCUUAGUUUAUUUCCGCAUUAGGAUAUAGCCAAAUCCAUAAAAGAUUUUUAAAACGCCUAUUCACCCCCCCUCUAGGCGACAUCGUGGUCCUUUCAAUUGGUAUCAGAGCCCGGUCUCUCCUUAUUAGGCUUCACCACCUAGAGAGUGACGAUGUCGACUAGUGAACUAGUGCACGAUGACACAUUUUGUUUUAAUGGCACAAAUUACAUUAUGUGGAGAUUACACAUGAUUUGUCACUUUCGGGCCAUGGGUCCAAAUGCUUUGUGCAUUGUUGUUGUAGGGGAUUCAAAUCUAAAGGAUGGACAAUCUUCAUCACUUGAGGAUAUGCAUCUUGAUAGUCAAGUUUUGAGUGCCAUUCACCAAGCUAUAUCCUUCGAAGUGUUUAAGGAUAUCUUUACUUGCAAGUCGGCUCAUGAGGCUUGGACCAAACUUGAAGAUAUAUAUGGUGGGUCCAAUCUUGAUGAAGACAAUAUUCUUUUCGGGGAGUUAAUGGAGGAGUUCUCCACAUUUUCAAAUCAUGAAGAACUCUCUAUUGCUUCCACCUCAAAUAAAUUGGACACUUCAAUAUCUUCCACUUCACCAACAUGUGGCGUGCCACAAGGUAAUGACAUGGUGAGUGAAGAAAUAUUUUGUGAUGAUGGUGUUAAGCUCAUUUGUGAUGAUAUGCUUGAUCUCCCAUGUGGCCAUGAUAGAAAUUCUUUGGUUUCCUCUAGUUGUUCUAUGACUAACCAUGUAGAGGAAAUCAAGAAAGAUGAGGCAUGCUUGAUUGAUGAAGAACCCUCUUCUCCAAAAGAAUCAUCAUCAACCCCCUUUGUUCACAUGUGCCUCAUGGCAAGAGGUAAUGACGAGGUAUCAUCUUCUCUUAGUGAUAAUGAUGAUAGUUGUAAUGAGGAUGAUGAUGAUGACUUGACUCAAAAUCUCUUUGAGAUUGGGAAAACUCUUCAUAGAGCUAAAAAUAACACUUAUAAAAUGUUCGAAGAUGUUCUUGCUUGCUUUCAAAAACGUAAUGAUUUAUUUCUUAGCGAGCAAGCGAAAAGUGAACAACUUGAACAUGAACUUGCUAAGGCUCAUCAAUGUCUUAGUGACUUGAGGUCUUUAAAAGAAGAGAUUGAAGUUACUCAUUGUAAACUUAAAGAGGAUUUUGAGCACCUUGACCUUGGCUACAAGAAUGUCAAAGGAGAGCUCACCAAACUCUCUAAGUCUCAUGAGGAACUUCAAGCUACUCAUACGAAGUCUCUAGUUUCUACAUGCUCCUCUCAUAUUGAUAAUGAUGCUUGUGCUACUAACUCGAUCUUGUGUGAAGCACCGAUGUUGAAAGAAAAUGUUGAGCUAAGGACUCAACUUGAUUUGCUAACUAGCAAUUAUGGGAAAUUGGAAGAAAGUUAUGAAAAGCUCUCGGGCACUCAUGAGGAUCUUCUAAUCUCUCAUGAUGGGCUAAAGUUAGCUCAUGAGGCUAUGUUCACAAAGGUAAAAUCGUGUGAGUCUCAUGUGGAUAUUAGCACAUCUUCUACUCAAAAUGCCUUAUUUCCAUGUGCUAGUCCUUGCACUUCCUCUCUACAUGAUAUUGAUACACCUCAUGAUGAAUUGCUUACCUUGUCUUGUUGCUCUAACCAUGAAAUUUCUACUUCCACUAGUCCUCUUGUUUCUAGUCUUGAAACUAACCAUGUAGAGGAAAUUAAUGAGCUCAAGGCCCAAGUCACUAGUUUGAAGAAAGACUUGGAAAACUGUGAUGAUGGACAUAUUUUUCACUCCAACAAGAAGAAAUCCAUGAACAAGAAAAGGGGGCAAGACCAAGCCAAGAACGAGUCCAACAUUUCUUGCUUUAAGUGCAAAAAGGUUGGACAUCAUGUGAGAUCUUGUCCAUUGAAUAAAAGGGCUUAUAAAGGGAAGCUAAAUGGGAAGCGGCCUCAAGCUCAAUCUCAAGUUCAACCUCAAGUUGAAGAACGGCCACUAUCCAUGAUGAACCAUGUUAUUACUUCCCAAGCUAAGAAAGUAAAGAAGAAGAGAAUGAGGAGUACAUGUUGCUAUAUUUGCCGUAAGAAGGGACACAUAGCUUCAUCAUGUCCCAAUGGUAACAUCUCUAAGCCUCCAAUUAUCAAUGAUCAUUAUUCACUUAGGAAGGAUAUUGAUGGUAAUAUGUUUGCCAAGUAUGUUGGUGCCCAAAGUGGUUUGAAAGUGGAUAAGACCAUUUGGGUUGCCAAGCCUAUUGUUACUAACUUCUUAGGACCCAACGUGGUUGGGGACCAUCGAGAUCAAACUUGAUCAAUAGGUGUGUGGAGGGCAUUGGAGACUUGGCUAAUUCAUGAAGAAAAAUUAUUCUCACCAUGCAUUCAUUAUGAUACAAAGCAAGUCAAGUGAAUUAUCGUCAUAUUUGUCAUUCCAAUGCUCCUCUUGGCGGUAACUUGUAUUUAUAUUGUCUACAUUGAAAGUUACUAGCCCCAUGCAUGUUUAGGUUUUGUACCUAGUAUGUAUUUGUGUAACGCCCCAGAUAUACUUUCCAUAUUUGUAUCCAACUCUUGCCGUUUCCGGUGUCAAGUUAUAUUUAUUCUCGGGUUCGGGUCCUUGUCUCCGUGUGUUGUUUUCGUUUUUCAUGCAUCUCAUACCAUGUCAUCACGUGCAUUGCAUUUGCAUACAUGUUCAUCUCAUGCAUUCGAGCAUUUUCCCCGUUGUCCGUUUUGCAUUCCGGCGCUUCGUUCUCCUCCGGUGGUCAUUUCUAGAUUUCUUUCGUGUGUGGGGUUUAAACAUUUCCGUAUUGGACCGAGACUUGCCAAGCGACCUUGGUUUACUACCGGUAGACCGCCUGUCAAGUUUCGGGUCAUUUGGACUUCGUUUGAUACUCCAACGGUUAACCGAGGGACCGAAAAGGCCUCGUGUGUGUUGCAACCCAACACCCCCCAAAUUUGGCCCAAAACCCACCAAACUCUGCUCCAUGUCCUAGAGCGUUCGAUCACGAUCGUGUGGGCGAAAACCGCACCUCAUUUGGACUCUCCUAGCUCCCUCUAUGCCUAUAUAUACACCCCUCCGUUUUCGGAUCUCUCCCUCUCCCCGAAACCCUAAAAAAAACAGAUCCAUCUUCCCCGCGCCGGGCCGGACGUGUCCGCCCGUGCCGGACGUUGUCCGCCCCGCCGCCGCACCCACUCACGCGCCGCCACGUGGGCCGCGCCCACAUCGCCGCCGCUGGGCCCGCCAGGCCCACGGGGAGCCCCCGCGAGCCCGCGCCCCCGCGCCUCCUCCUUCCCCGAGCGCCGCCGCCUUCCGCGCCUCCGGCGACCGGCGCCGNNNNNNNNNNAAAACAGAUCCUCUUCCCCCGCGCCGGGCCGGACGUGUCCGCCCGCGCCGGACGUUGUCCGCCCCGCCGCCGCACCCACUCGCGCGCCGCCACGUGGGCCGCGCCCACAUCGCCGCCGCCGGGCCCGCCAGGCCCACGGGGAGCCCCCGCGAGCCCGCGCCCCCGCGCCUCCUCCUUCCCCGAGCGCCGCCGCCUUCCGCGCCUCCGGCGACCGGCGCCGCCGCGGGACGCCGUCGCCACCACCGCACCGGCCGCCGCCGCGCCGGGCCCCGCCGCCCGCCACCGGCCGGCGCCGCCCCGGACGCCGCCGCCCGCGGUCGCCGCCUCCUCCUCCGGCGCCGCCCGGCCUCCUCUCCCUCACCCCGGCCUCCUCUUCCCCCACUCCGGCCGGCACCGACGAGCUCCGGCGCUGGUCAUCCUCGGGAAACGCGCCGGUGAACAGUACCCGCGAGAUCCCGAUCUGGAUCUGAGUUUUCGGUUGACUUCUCUCCCCCGAAACCCUAAUUUUCGUGCUAUCUUUGACUGCUUGUAUCUCCGCAACCGUAGCUCCGUUUUGGGCGUAUGAUAUAUCAAAAUCUUCGUCUCGACAUGUACAUCAUUUCAUUCCAUUGCAUCAUUUGCAUUUGAGGUCAUUUUGAUACCCAAAAUGCUGUUAGAAGGAGGCUUCGUGAGUUAAACUGCAGAUCCGUUAGUUCAUUAUGCACUUUUGUCAUUUUUGCUAUAUUUAAUUCGUGCAUGAUAUGCCUGUGCCCCUUUGGGAUGUAUUGUGAAGCAUCUUGUCUUCUUUCCAGAGGUGCCACCCAUGCAUUUUUAGGAUGUGUGUGUUGUCUUGUGCAAGCUUGCGAAGAGAGGUACCUGAGAUUGCAGAUUUCAGGGACUUAGUGAUUUUCACUAAGUCUGGGAUAUUUUAGUUCAUGAUGCUAUAUGUCCAGCUUGUUUCCUAGUGAUCCGUGCCUCUUUUGAGGAUGAUCAGUAAGGGAGUUUUGAUAUUUAUGUCAUUCUCUAUCCAUCCAUGUCUUUGUUGGCAUUUGUGGAGUGCUCUAGGUUGACUCAAUCGAGCUUAACUUUUGCUUCGUUGUUAAUCUGGGCAGAUCGUCAACUUGUUUGCGAUUUCGCCGAUGCUACCGUUAGAGUUCCAUGCAUGCUAUGCCUUCGUUCUUGCCAUGUGUAGCUAGCACUUUGUGCCUUCUUGCUGGUUAUAUGCUUUCCUUGCCAUGACUUGCACCGUAGUGAGUGCAUCGAGCUCGUUUACAUGCCUUCGUGAGUUAAAUUUCAGCAUGUCUCAGUUUUCACUAAGUCUGAAAACUGAUUGUGUUCGAGCGAUGUUCGUGAGCUCGGUAGAGUAUUUUGUGAACCCUUUUGGCCCCAGGUCACUUUGGGUGUUUUUUAAGCUUGUUGAGUAGCUCCAUGCCAUGUUCUUACUUGUCAUGUUCAGGUUUUCUAUCAUGUUGUUUUGCUGCUCCGAAGAGAGCAUCGUGAUCUGAAAUUUCAGACUAGUGUUAAUUUCACUAAGUCUGAAAUCUGUUGUGCAUUUGCGUUUUAGCCAUGCUUGUUUGAACCUCUUAAUGGAUGAAAUUGCCUAUGGCUCAGUGCUAGUGUUUUGUCAACCAUCUUGUGUACAUCACUGCCAUGUAUUUUGUUUUCAUGUUUGGUGGCUGUAGCAUGUUCAUUUCGUUGCAUUUAGAUGCCUACUUGCUGUAAAUCGCAGACCGGUGUCAUAUCUUAAAACGCUCGCCUUUUCCAAACCGUAGCUCCGAUUCCUAUGAUCUUUAUAUCGUUUUCAAGCGAUUUCAUCCCCUCUAUCCAGUGGCACACUUGGUUUCCCAAGUUGAUGCCAGGUUCAUGCAUUUCCUGUCAUAUCUUGCAUUUUGCAUCCCGCAUCGCAUCCCGCAUAGCAUAUCGUCAUUUCAUCAUAUUGCUUGGUCUUGCCCGUGGUUGAUUGUAUCCUUGUUGCUUGUUUCUCUUGUUGGGUAGAGCCGGGAGACGAGUUCGCUACCGAGGAGACCGUUGAGUUUGCUUGUGAGGAUCCAGUCAACUCUGACAACUGUGCAGGCAAGAUGAUCAUACCCUCGAAAUCACUACUAUCUUUGCUAUGCUAGUUUGCUCGCUCUUUUGCUUUGCCACUGCUACGAUGCCUACCUUUUGCUUGUCAGCCUCCCAAUUGCCAUGUUGAACCUCUAACCCACCUUUGUCCUAGCAAACCGUUGAUUGGCUAUGUUACCGCUUUGCUCAGCCCUUCUUAUAGCGUUGUUAGUUGCAGGUGAAGAUUGGAGCCGUUCCUCGUUGGAACAUUUAUUUACUUGUUGGGAUAUCAUUAUUAUUGCUAUGUUAUCUCCCCCUUUUAUUAGAUAUUACAUGGGAUGUUGUAAUGAUUGCCUGACUUGCGACAUUGCUUUCAAUGCGGUUAUGCCUCUAAGUCGUGCCUCGACACGUGGGAGCUAUAGCCGCAUCGAGGGCGUUACAAGUUGGUAAUCAGAGCCAUCCCCGACCUUAGGAGCCCCAUUGCUUGAUCGUUUUUAGCAGCCGAGUUGUGUCUAGAAAAAUGUUUUGAGUCCUUAGGAAUUAUAUAUCGGAGAGCUUAGGAAUUCUUUUUACUUCUCAGCCUCCUCAUCGCUCUGGUAAGGCAUCCUGACGUAGAGUUUUGACUCUUCUCUUCUCAAAUUUCACUUAAAAUUUUGUUUAGGAUCACGCGAGUAUCUUGGUUUUGUUCCGAUGGUUUUGUGACGAGAACAUUGUUCUUGGUGCCUCCUAUCUUUAGGGGUUGUGGCAGUGUCCCGGGGAGUUGAGCUCCGAGGUGUUGUCGUCACAAUUUUAUCGUUGCAAUUCUGGUAUACUUGAGAUAUGUUCGCCGACAUCGAAAAUCUCUUUUAUGCAGUUCGUUGGUGAGAUAACCUCGACGCCACCCAGUACUGGGGCGGGAGUUCGGGAGUAUCGCCAUAACUUGUAUAACGGAUGCUUUUCGAAGGUUGAGGUAGAUGGUUUCCGAAGUUUUCCUGGUUAUGUGUUGAAGGAUGGAUACAGCUGGAUGUAGGAUUUGCUAGUUUGGGUGAGAUAUUGUGCUUCCCCUGUAUCCCCAACACCUGAUUGCAUAACCGGAAAGGUUCGGGAGUUUCAUAGGUGGGAAAUCUAGUAGCUCUAGUUCUUCUUCCACGGAUAUUGGUUUGAGAUUGGGAUUUCUUACCGAUUAUUCGUUCUUGAUCCGUACCUUGUUGAUUUAUUUCUCUACCUUAAUUCUUCGUGGCUUCGCAAUUUAUGGAUAUGUGAUCAUUUGAAGAGGAAUGCAUUCGUUCAUUUUGUUUGGAUGUGAAGACUAUAUGUUGCAAUUUUUCAUUCCGUUGGAUUCAGCUUCUAUAUUGUUGUCUAUCAAUGUGCUAAUGGUGGUCAACCUCUUCAGGAUGGCUCCUCCAACGCGCACGACUCCGAAUCCUAAUCCGCCUCCACCUCCGCCUCCUCCGGAAGCAUGGCAAGCUGUGAUGGCCGCUACUAAUGCAAACACACAGUUGAUCAUGCAAAUCCUUCAAGAGCGCAAUCAAGGCAGUCAAGGGAAUCAAGGCCAUAAUCAGCACCACUUUGCUACUCUGAACCAGUUCCUUGCUAAUGGCCCAAAGACGUUCAGCGGUUGUGUUGAGGCUACCGAUGCUGACGAUUGGCUAGUGGAUCUGGGCAAGCAUUUUGAAUGUAGCAACGUCAGGCCUGAAGAUUUCGUCAAGUUCGCUUCUUUCCAGCUCAAAGAUCAGGCUGCAGAGUGGUUCCAGCAGUACAAGGAUUCUAGAGGUGGACGUGUUAUCACUUGGAACGAUUUCCGUCAAGAUUUCCGCGCUCAUCACAUCCCUCAAAGUGUGGUUGAGAGUAAGCGUCAGGAAUUCCGCAAUCUGAAGCAAGGCUCUUUGUCUGUCUAUGACUACAACAAGUUGUUCCAGAAGCUCGCCCGUUUUGCCAAGCAGGAUGUUCCUGACGAGAAGAGCAUGAUCUAUCAGUUCAGGGGUGGUCUUCGUGAGGAAAUUCAGCUCGCUCUUGUUCUCUUUGAGCCGUUGAGAUACGAUGAGUUCUACAACAUGGCACUGAAGCAAGAGGCUGCCCAGAUGAGAUGUGAUGCUUCCAGGAAGCGUGCCAGAGAUGUUACUCCGUCUUCCUCUACUCAAGUGGUCAAGCAGCAGAAGUAUUGGCUUCCUCCUCCUCCGUUCCGUCAGCCGUAUCAGCAGAAGAGCAAAGGUGGCAGUGGUUUCUCCCACCCACCCAACCUAGGCUUUCAGAACAAGGCUUCGUCUCAAGCUCCAAGACCGAGUGCUCCGUAUCACCGUCCGCUUUCAGAGGUGACGUGCAACAAGUGCCAACAGAAGGGUCACUAUGCCAACAAGUGUACCAACCAGAGGCGUCUUCCUCCUCCUCCUCCUGUCAGAUCGGCAAGUACAGCUGUGGUCAAGCAUAACCCCAAGUCCGCCAAGGUCAAUAUGCUGAAUGCAGCUCAGGCAGAGGACUCGUCAGAUGUGAUCAUGGGUAACCUUCCUGUUAAUGAUAUUCCUGCAAAUGUUCUUUUUGACACGGGUGCAUCGCAUUGUUUCAUCUCGAGACCAUUUUCAUCUAAGCAUGGGUUGCCUUCACAAAUUUUGCCUAGUCCUUUAGCAGUUGUCUCUCCCGGUAAGCGCAUGCAGGCUAACUCCAUCGUUCCAGAUGUUUCUAUCACUCUGGGUGAUUACAAGUUCUUGGCUUCUCCUACGGUUCUUGGCAACUCGGAUAUCGAUCUUAUUCUCGGGAUGGACUGGCUCUCUAAGCAUAGAGCUCAGCUUGAUUGUGCAGCCAGGCAGAUUCAACUGACUCAUUCGUCUGAGGAUGUUAUUGUCUUUGCCGCUCGGGAUAAUACCAUCCGGUUGUUUUCUCUCAAUGAGAAGGGUGAAUUGGAUGCUAUUUCGCAGAUUCCGGUUGUUUGUGAGUAUCAAGACGUCUUUCCAGAAGAGCUUCCAGGGAUGCCUCCAAACCGGCCGGUUGAAUUUGUUAUUGAACUUGAGCCCGGUACGGAACCUGUGUGCAAACGUCCUUACAAGCUCGGCCCCGAAGAGUUGAAGGAGUUGAAGAAACAACUCGAUGAGCAAGAAAGAUUGGGUCUCAUUCGGCCUAGUACUUCUCCGUGGGGUUGUGGUGUUCUUUUUGUGAAGAAGAAGGAUGGAUCGAGUCGACUUUGUGUUGAUUACCGUCCAGUAAACAAGAAGACCAUCAAGAACAAAUACCCACUUCCCAACAUCAAUGAGCUGUUCGAACAACUCAAGGGUGCUCAAGUAUUCUCCAAGCUUGAUCUCCGUAUGGGUUAUCAUCAGAUUCGUAUUCGUGAGCAAGAUAUUCCCAAGACGGCGUUCAGAACAAGCUUUGGUUCAUAUGAAUACACCGUCAUGUCUUUUGGCCUCGCCAACGCUCCUCCGACGUUCUCUCGUAUGAUGAACUUCAUCUUCAACCCCUACACCAAUGAAUUCGUUUUGGUCUAUCUCGACGACAUUCUGGUUUUCUCGAAGAACAAGGAAGAUCAUGCCAAGCACUUGCGUUUGGUUCUUGACAAGCUCAGAGAACAUCAGUUCUAUGCCAAGUUCUCCAAGUGUGAAUUUUGGCUCGAUGAGGUUCUUUAUCUUGGUCAUAUCAUCUCCGCCAAGGGCAUUUCCGUGAAUCCUGAGAAGGUGUCUGCAAUUGUGAAUUGGGAACCUCCUCAGAAUGUAAAGCAACUCCGCAGUUUCCUCGGUCUCGCAAGCUAUUGCAGAAGAUUCGUUGAAAACUUUUCUAAGAUCGCCAAGCCUCUCUCAAAUCUUCUUCAGAAGCACGUCAAGUACGUUUGGUCUCCGGAGUGUGAUAUUGCUUUCAACUCUUUGAAAGAGAAAUUGAUCACUGCUCCAGUUCUGACUCCGCCUGAUGAAACCAAGCCGUACGAGCUCUUUUGUGAUGCCUCUCUCCAAGGUCUCGGUGCUGUACUGAUGCAAGAGAAGAAAGUUGUUGCUUAUACCUCUCGCCAGUUGAAACCUAAUGAGAAGAACUACCCCACUCAUGAUCUCGAGUUGGCGGCAGUUGUACACGCUUUGUUGACUUGGAGACAUCUUCUAUUGGGAAGGAAAGUGGAUAUUUUCACUGAUCACAAGAGUCUCAAGUACAUCUUCACUCAGCCUAAUCUCAACCUCAGGCAGACUCGAUGGGUCGAAAUGAUUCAAGAGUACAAUCCGAGUAUCGAGUAUACUCCAGGCAAGGCUAAUGUGAUUGCUGACGCUUUGAGCAGAAAAGCAUAUUGCAACAGUCUGAUUCUCAAGCCUUAUCAACCCGAGCUUUGUGAAGCUUUCCGCAAACUUAAUCUGCAAGUUGUUCCUCAAGGUUUCCUCUCUAACCUUCAAGUCUCUCCUACCUUAGAAGACCAGAUUCGCCAAGCCCAACUUCUUGAUGCUAUGGUGAAGAAGGUGAAGAUUGGUAUUGCAAAGAGUCAGUCCAAGUACAAGUGCUACCGACUUGACGACAAGGACACUCUCUUCUUCGAGGAUCGAAUUGUUGUGCUCAAAGGUGAACUUCGUAAGGUGAUCAUGAACGAGGCUCACAACCCUCUCCUCUCCAUCCAUCCUGGUAGUACGAAGAUGUAUCAGGACCUCAAGCAAGCUUAUUGGUGGACUCGAAUGAAGCGCGAGAUCGCUCAAUUCGUGAAUGAAUGUGAUGUCUGCAGAAGAGUGAAGGCAGAACACCAAAGGCCAGCUGGUCUCCUCCAACCUCUUGCCAUUCCAGAAUGGAAGUUUGACCACAUUGAGAUGGACUUCGUGACUGGGUUUCCAAAGUCCAAGCGUGGCAAUGAUGCUAUAUUUGUUGUCAUCGACAAGCUCACCAAAGUGGCUCAUUUUCUGCCUAUCAAAGAGUCGAUCACUGCAGCUCAAUUGGCGGAACUCUAUUCCUCUCGCAUUGUCUCUCUGCACGGUAUUCCUCAAGUGAUAUCUUCAGACCGUGGCAGCAUCUUUACCUCCAAGUUUUGGGAUUCUUUUCAGAAGGCCAUGGGCACCAACAUCCGCUUCAGCACAGCUUUCCAUCCUCAAACNNNNNNNNNNNNNNNNNNNNNNNNNNNNNNNNNNNNNNNNNNNNNNNNNNNNNNNNNNNNNNNNNNNNNNNNNNNNNNNNNNNNNNNNNNNNNNNNNNNNNNNNNNNNNNNNNNNNNNNNNNNNNNNNNNNNNNNNNNNNNNNNNNNNNNNNNNNNNNNNNNNNNNNNNNNNNNNNNNNNNNNNNNNNNNNNNNNNNNNNNNNNNNNNNNNNNNNNNNNNNNNNNNNNNNNNNNNNNNNNNNNNNNNNNNNNNNNNNNNNNNNNNNNNNNNNNNNNNNNNNNNNNNNNNNNNNNNNNNNNNNNNNNNNNNNNNNNNNNNNNNNNNNNNNNNNNNNNNNNNNNNNNNNNNNNNNNNNNNNNNNNNNNNNNNNNNNNNNNNNNNNNNNNNNNNNNNNNNNNNNNNNNNNNNNNNNNNNNNNNNNNNNNNNNNNNNNNNNNNNNNNNNNNNNNNNNNNNNNNNNNNNNNNNNNNNNNNNNNNNNNNNNNNNNNNNNNNNNNNNNNNNNNNNNNNNNNNNNNNNNNNNNNNNNNNNNNNNNNNNNNNNNNNNNNNNNNNNNNNNNNNNNNNNNNNNNNNNNNNNNNNNNNNNNNNNNNNNNNNNNNNNNNNNNNNNNNNNNNNNNNNNNNNNNNNNNNNNNNNNNNNNNNNNNNNNNNNNNNNNNNNNNNNNNNNNNNNNNNNNNNNNNNNNNNNNNNNNNNNNNNNNNNNNNNNNNNNNNNNNNNNNNNNNNNNNNNNNNNNNNNNNNNNNNNNNNNNNNNNNNNNNNNNNNNNNNNNNNNNNNNNNNNNNNNNNNNNNNNNNNNNNNNNNNNNNNNNNNNNNNNNNNNNNNNNNNNNNNNNNNNNNNNNNNNNNNNNNNNNNNNNNNNNNNNNNNNNNNNNNNNNNNNNNNNNNNNNNNNNNNNNNNNNNNNNNNNNNNNNNNNNNNNNNNNNNNNNNNNNNNNNNNNNNNNNNNNNNNNNNNNNNNNNNNNNNNNNNNNNNNNNNNNNNNNNNNNNNNNNNNNNNNNNNNNNNNNNNNNNNNNNNNNNNNNNNNNNNNNNNNNNNNNNNNNNNNNNNNNNNNNNNNNNNNNNNNNNNNNNNNNNNNNNNNNNNNNNNNNNNNNNNNNNNNNNNNNNNNNNNNNNNNNNNNNNNNNNNNNNNNNNNNNNNNNNNNNNNNNNNNNNNNNNNNNNNNNNNNNNNNNNNNNNNNNNNNNNNNNNNNNNNNNNNNNNNNNNNNNNNNNNNNNNNNNNNNNNNNNNNNNNNNNNNNNNNNNNNNNNNNNNNNNNNNNNNNNNNNNNNNNNNNNNNNNNNNNNNNNNNNNNNNNNNNNNNNNNNNNNNNNNNNNNNNNNNNNNNNNNNNNNNNNNNNNNNNNNNNNNNNNNNNNNNNNNNNNNNNNNNNNNNNNNNNNNNNNNNNNNNNNNNNNNNNNNNNNNNNNNNNNNNNNNNNNNNNNNNNNNNNNNNNNNNNNNNNNNNNNNNNNNNNNNNNNNNNNNNNNNNNNNNNNNNNNNNNNNNNNNNNNNNNNNNNNNNNNNNNNNNNNNNNNNNNNNNNNNNNNNNNNNNNNNNNNNNNNNNNNNNNNNNNNNNNNNNNNNNNNNNNNNNNNNNNNNNNNNNNNNNNNNNNNNNNNNNNNNNNNNNNNNNNNNNNNNNNNNNNNNNNNNNNNNNNNNNNNNNNNNNNNNNNNNNNNNNNNNNNNNNNNNNNNNNNNNNNNNNNNNNNNNNNNNNNNNNNNNNNNNNNNNNNNNNNNNNNNNNNNNNNNNNNNNNNNNNNNNNNNNNNNNNNNNNNNNNNNNNNNNNNNNNNNNNNNNNNNNNNNNNNNNNNNNNNNNNNNNNNNNNNNNNNNNNNNNNNNNNNNNNNNNNNNNNNNNNNNNNNNNNNNNNNNNNNNNNNNNNNNNNNNNNNNNNNNNNNNNNNNNNNNNNNNNNNNNNNNNNNNNNNNNNNNNNNNNNNNNNNNNNNNNNNNNNNNNNNNNNNNNNNNNNNNNNNNNNNNNNNNNNNNNNNNNNNNNNNNNNNNNNNNNNNNNNNNNNNNNNNNNNNNNNNNNNNNNNNNNNNNNNNNNNNNNNNNNNNNNNNNNNNNNNNNNNNNNNNNNNNNNNNNNNNNNNNNNNNNNNNNNNNNNNNNNNNNNNNNNNNNNNNNNNNNNNNNNNNNNNNNNNNNNNNNNNNNNNNNNNNNNNNNNNNNNNNNNNNNNNNNNNNNNNNNNNNNNNNNNNNNNNNNNNNNNNNNNNNNNNNNNNNNNNNNNNNNNNNNNNNNNNNNNNNNNNNNNNNNNNNNNNNNNNNNNNNNNNNNNNNNNNNNNNNNNNNNNNNNNNNNNNNNNNNNNNNNNNNNNNNNNNNNNNNNNNNNNNNNNNNNNNNNNNNNNNNNNNNNNNNNNNNNNNNNNNNNNNNNNNNNNNNNNNNNNNNNNNNNNNNNNNNNNNNNNNNNNNNNNNNNNNNNNNNNNNNNNNNNNNNNNNNNNNNNNNNNNNNNNNNNNNNNNNNNNNNNNNNNNNNNNNNNNNNNNNNNNNNNNNNNNNNNNNNNNNNNNNNNNNNNNNNNNNNNNNNNNNNNNNNNNNNNNNNNNNNNNNNNNNNNNNNNNNNNNNNNNNNNNNNNNNNNNNNNNNNNNNNNNNNNNNNNNNNNNNNNNNNNNNNNNNNNNNNNNNNNNNNNNNNNNNNNNNNNNNNNNNNNNNNNNNNNNNNNNNNNNNNNNNNNNNNNNNNNNNNNNNNNNNNNNNNNNNNNNNNNNNNNNNNNNNNNNNNNNNNNNNNNNNNNNNNNNNNNNNNNNNNNNNNNNNNNNNNNNNNNNNNNNNNNNNNNNNNNNNNNNNNNNNNNCCGUAGUGAGUGCAUCGAGCUCGUUUACAUGCCUUCGUGAGUUAAAUUUCAGCAUGUCUCAGUUUUCACUAAGUCUGAAAACUGAUUGUGUUCGAGCGAUGUUCGUGAGCUCGGUAGAGUAUUUUGUGAACCCUUUUGGCCCCAGGUCACUUUGGGUGUUUUUUAAGCUUGUUGAGUAGCUCCAUGCCAUGUUCUUACUUGUCAUGUUCAGGUUUUCUAUCAUGUUGUUUUGCUGCUCCGAAGAGAGCAUCGUGAUCUGAAAUUUCAGACUAGUGUUAAUUUCACUAAGUCUGAAAUCUGUUGUGCAUUUGCGUUUUAGCCAUGCUUGUUUGAACCUCUUAAUGGAUGAAAUUGCCUAUGGCUCAGUGCUAGUGUUUUGUCAACCAUCUUGUGUACAUCACUGCCAUGUAUUUUGUUUUCAUGUUUGGUGGCUGUAGCAUGUUCAUUUCGUUGCAUUUAGAUGCCUACUUGCUGUAAAUCGCAGACCGGUGUCAUAUCUUAAAACGCUCGCCUUUUCCAAACCGUAGCUCCGAUUCCUAUGAUCUUUAUAUCGUUUUCAAGCGAUUUCAUCCCCUCUAUCCAGUGGCACACUUGGUUUCCCAAGUUGAUGCCAGGUUCAUGCAUUUCCUGUCAUAUCUUGCAUUUUGCAUCCCGCAUCGCAUCCCGCAUAGCAUAUCGUCAUUUCAUCAUAUUGCUUGGUCUUGCCCGUGGUUGAUUGUAUCCUUGUUGCUUGUUUCUCUUGUUGGGUAGAGCCGGGAGACGAGUUCGCUACCGAGGAGACCGUUGAGUUUGCUUGUGAGGAUCCAGUCAACUCUGACAACUGUGCAGGCAAGAUGAUCAUACCCUCGAAAUCACUACUAUCUUUGCUAUGCUAGUUUGCUCGCUCUUUUGCUUUGCCACUGCUACGAUGCCUACCUUUUGCUUGUCAGCCUCCCAAUUGCCAUGUUGAACCUCUAACCCACCUUUGUCCUAGCAAACCGUUGAUUGGCUAUGUUACCGCUUUGCUCAGCCCUUCUUAUAGCGUUGUUAGUUGCAGGUGAAGAUUGGAGCCGUUCCUCGUUGGAACAUUUAUUUACUUGUUGGGAUAUCAUUAUUAUUGCUAUGUUAUCUCCCCCUUUUAUUAGAUAUUACAUGGGAUGUUGUAAUGAUUGCCUGACUUGCGACAUUGCUUUCAAUGCGGUUAUGCCUCUAAGUCGUGCCUCGACACGUGGGAGCUAUAGCCGCAUCGAGGGCAUUACAAUUUGUUAAUGUUAUGCCUCUUAGUAUGCUUGAUUUGUGUUAUCUAGCAUGUGUAGGUUGUUAUGAUUGUCAUAUAGUUGUGUGUGUGGUUUCGAGCCUUUAUUGCUUCAUUAGUUGAAUCUUCCUUGGCUCUUUUGAGAUAUUAAUGGAUCACCACAUUAUGGGGGAGUGCUAUGCUUACGCAUAUCACAAACCUUUAAUGUGUAUAUAUGUGGGAUACCACCUAGUAUUGUUAGUGCAAUAUUAUCUAGUUACUAUGUGGUGUGUAAAGCUCAUUUGAAACUCAAAUUCUCAUCCAUUGAUUAUACUUAGUUGGGUUUCAUUUGCCUCUUAUGGAUAAUACAUGGAUCAUCAUAUUAUGGGGGAGUGAUAUGCUUUGUGCAUAUCACAAUCCUUGUUAAUAUGAACAAUUGAGGGAUGCCACUUAGAAUUUAUAUUUGAGAUUAUCUUAUAUCACCGUGGCUUGCAAUGCCUUGUUUACGCAUGGCAUUCUUGUGUGGUUUUGCCCUUGGUUAUCUUAAAAAAACAUAUUUGGGAAAUCGUUUGAUUAAAGCUAUUCCAGUUAUUGCUUUGCAUGUUGAUCUAUCUAAUUGGUAUGUUAAUAAUAUGCUAUCCAAGCAUUGUGUUUAUUUCUAAUCUCUCAUGUCAUGCUUGUGUUAGUAUAGAUGAUCAUGUACUUAUGUGGUUUCUACGCCAAAUAAUAACUCGAAAGACCAUUUUGUUCGAGUUCAUCUUAUUAGUUUGUAUGGAGUUAUGGGAGUUUGUUAUCUCAUUGUCUAUAGUAUCCUAUAUCUACUUGAGUGAGAUAUUCCUAUGAGUAUGUGUGCAAUGCAUAUCUUAUAUGCUCAUUGGUUUUCCUUUGUUCAUAUAUUGAACUUUGUGUGCUAUCAUAUGUUGAUUUGUCACUUUGAUUUAUUUUGGACAACAUGAAUGACCAGUGAUGUUAUUGGAAGUAUUAAUGGUUAUGUGUUCAUUUGUCCAUUUUGUAUCUCCCUGGAUUUUGGUAGGCAUGUGCAUAUGCAUAGUUACUAUGUGUAAAUUUGCAUGCCUUGUUUGCUUUAUUUGAUCCCAUAUAUAUAUAUAUAUAUAUAUAUAUAUAUAUAUAUGGUAAAUCCAUCAAAUUAUUAAUAGCUAAGAUGUGCAUGAAAUUCAAAUUCAUAUCGAUAUGCACAUACUUAAGUGGUUUUACCCUAUGUGUUGUAGUCAUGCUAACUACUUCGGACCCAAUAAGUUUGGGGACCAUAUUGUACUUAAAAUGUUUUAGGUACAUUUGAGAAGCACUAGGUGCUUGGCUUAUUCAUGAAGGUUGUGGCACUAUGAGGAAAUUAGAGCCAAGCUUGGACAUUUUAUUGAUCUACGACUUCAUACCAAUGCUAUCUCGGUAACAAGUAUUUACUUCAUGCAUAUAUAUAGAAAUGGGGUCAACCUUGUGUAGGUUGCAUCAUGGCAUGAAUUUCUUGACUCGUUCAUGUGAUACUUGUUUCCUUUCUCAAAGCAUCCCAAUAAUGAUCUCUUGUUGCUAGUUGUGAUGUCUUUGAUGGUUGUGUGUUUGGAGUUCAUUAAUAUACAGUAAGAUAAUAUUAAGCCAUGUGCUAUGCUUUCAAGCAAAGAUCUCAUUGGUAUAUUUUAUGACUCCCGGUUGGAUAUCUUAUUCUUUCCUUUUGUAACUAUUUCAUGUGUACAUGCUUCUUUGUGGAUAUAUAUCACCAUGAUUGCCAUCUACCUAGAAUCUUAUACACGUGAGAGAAGUUACAUCUCUAGUUGAUAUCCCUAUUCUUUCAUGUCCACCGUUUCAUUCUCUUUUUUAUAUCUUUGGUGGCUCCGUGGAAGCAUUCAUUGUAUGAGUGUGUGUCUUACCUCUUUCAAUCUUAGUGCACUCAUUUUUGGUGAAGUUUGUUGUCCCCGUGCUUGUCUUGGCAAGCCUAUUAUUUCCUAUCUUCACCAUGGGUUGUCACAAGCUUUAUUUUUAAAAAAUUUCCUAUUAGUGAGGUUGUGAACCCAUUUGCUUGAUGUGUGUGUGACCUGCUUAACUUCGUGCGUGUGGGAAGGACAUGCCUGGCACCUUGUAUCUCAUUGACUCAAGACUAUGUUUAUGCCUAAUUCUCAUCCUUAUAUUAGUCUUCUCAAGUGCUUUGACGUGACUCACACACAUCAUUUUGGUUGUGCCUAUUAUUAGGUUGCCUCAUUUACAUGUUGCUCAACCAUAUGUUUGCUUGCAAUUGUUUUGUGUUCCUAUUGAUUUUGGCGGAGUGAUGAUCCUAUUUUGUGCACUUGUAUCCAAAUAAAAAAAAUCUAAAUAGUGCACAAAUCAUGGGGAGCUUCUCUAUUUUCCUUAGAACACUCCUUUGCUCAAAUCAUAAUAUUCUUUUAUCCUUCUAGCUCGUCGGAUCUUUUGAUUGCUUGCAUCACAUUGUGUUAUGCAAAUGAGAUCAAUUUGUGCCAUGUACUUUGUGCCAUGUGCCUUGCUCUUAUGCCAGGCUCAAAGUUGUAUAAUAGUGGAUUCACUUGUGGAUAUCAUGUUCUUAUCAAUUACAACCUUUUUUGUGUAUAUGGGUUUCUUUGUGGAUACAUAUCAUGAUUAUUAUUGGCCACUUAGAAAAUUUUAUACAUAAGAAAGUUCAUAUCUUUCCUUGAUAUCAUUUAGUCCUUGUUGGCCACUUUGUGUGUUCCUUUUAUUCGUAUAGUGGCUUCGGUAAGAGGUUGUGUCGUGAGUGCUUGUAUGCAUUGCAUAUAUCCUUGCGCACUCAAGUGUUUUGGAUGUAUUUUGGACCCAUACUUGACAUGAUGAUCACAUUGGAUAUUCCUAUUUUAUCUUAUCCAAAAUAUGUUCUUUGGAUCUUUUGAAUGUUUUCCUCCCAUGUUUAAUCUUAUUUUCAUAUCAUACUAUCUUGUUGCAUUCUAUAUACUAUAUAUGGGUUGAGCUCAUCAAAUUUUUCAUCAUUGAAUACGUGCAUUUGAUUUCACUCACAUUUUCGCGAUAUGCACACAUUAAGGAGGAACUCAUACUAUAUUAGUCUUCUAGAUUUUUUCAUCCAUUUUGGCAUUUGUUGCCAAUGGGGGAGAAGUUUAGAGGGUUCAAGAUAAGUAUUUUUGUAGUGUUUGUUGUCACUCAUGCAUAUCUACCCCUGUUAUAUAUUCUUGUUGCAUGGAUGAUUAUUGUAUAUAGGGAAAUCUUCUCCUAGUUUAUGUCAACCAAUAUAUGCAAUGACAUUCAAAGUUCAUUCACACAUGCAUAUAUUGUGGGGGAGUUUGCUCUAUAUACUAUGGAUGUACUAUCAUCAAAUGCUUGUGUAGUGUCUUGAUGAUAGUACAACCAUCCCAAGUAUACAAUUUACCCUCGGAUAAAUUGCAUGCUUAUUUAAAAAUUGCAUAUAUAAACCCUCUUGUUGAUAUUGUCAUCAAUUACCAAAAUGGGGGAGAUUGAAAGUACAUGUAGUCCCCAUGUGUGGUUUUGGUAAUUAAAUAACAAUACUAUCAUCAAAUGUUUGCAUUGAGAUAUACAUUUGGAAUUCAUUGGAGUAUCUUAAGGGUUGCCAUGCUUAGAGCUAUGGUUUGAGCCAUAAUGGAUCAAGAUCUUAAAAGGAUGAUUUGAAUGAUGAAUUCUAGGAGUGACUCAAAGAUAUGAUCAUAAUGGACUCAUGUGUUGAGUCAUGAUUGAUCAAGUGUUCAACCAAGCUAUUCAAGUGAAGAAUUCAAUAUACUCUUCAAGACGUCAAGAUUAAACAUGGAGUAGAGAUAUAGGUUGAACAAGAUGAAGCUCAAAGAUCGAACUCUAAAUGGACAACACACGAGCACAAAUGAUGCACCACAUAGGAUCUUGUGGUAUGAUAAGAAAUUAUCAAUUGCACUCUGUGUACUAACCCAUACUAUGUGUUGUCUAUGUUUUUGAGGGUUAGGUGAUUCUCAUGGGCUCGCAUCAAGAAAGAGAUUUCAAGUGUCUAUGAGAGGAUGACAUCAAGUGUUGGUGAUCAUGCUUGACAAGGGCAAGUUCAAGAUAACCAUCCCAAAGGAUUACAUUCUUGAAGCUUGUGGAUGAUCAAAUGAUGGACAAGUGAAGAUGAAUACAAAGCAAAGCUUCCCACAUUGUGUAUGGGGGGAGAGACUUGAAGACUUUACCAAUGUCUUGCCUUCAUCUUGAGCCAAGAAGAGACAUCAACAUCAAGCUCAAGUGAACGGCUAGUGUCGAAGGUAUUAGUUCCUUUGAUGUUAGUGUUGUGGAGUGAUGACCACCAAAGAAACAUAUACACUCAAGAAUGGAUUCUCGAUAGCUAUGUAGUGUAGCUCUUUUAUGAUUCUUGAGUUAUAGGGAUCCCGUACUAUUAAGAAGUGAUAAAAGGGAUUUAUGAUGGAUUUGCUCAAUUCAACAUCUUCUAUACACAAUUCCACUCAUAUCCUAUAUACCAAAGAAAAGCCAAAGCCAAAUAGUUUCCCAAAAUAUAUGAUCUAACCUUUCCAUACUUUGCACCCUCCAUUUUGGUUUAUCUUGGUUGGUUCUCUAUGUGAGGACCUGGAGCUUUUCCAUAGCUUCACAACGAGCCCAAGAUCAUCAAAAUCAGAGUUCGGAUGUGAAAGUUAUGCAUGUUUUAGUUUUGGGGUUCCUGCUGUUAUUUUGGCCGGACGUCCGUUAACGUCCGGAAAUCCGGUGUGCCGAUCCAGAAGCAAACAGACGGAUUUCCGGUACUUAUCGGAUGUCCGGUGCCCGGAUGUCCGUCAAGUGUCGGAUGUCUGACAAACCUGUUUCGCAAAUAUCCUGCUACAUUCGUCUGAUGGCAUGCUACGGUCGUCGGACGUCCGGUGUUCCACCGGACGUCGAGUGCCUGUUUUGCCACCGGACGUCCGGUAAUCCACCGGACGUCCGACACUUUCCUGAGCAGAAUUCUCCCCAACGACCACAUUUGGGGUCACACUAUAAAUACCCCUUCACUACUUCAUGGAGGGGUUGAGCAACACAUUCAUAUGAACCCUAGAACACAAAAAGGCUCCCUCUCACUUCUCCUACACCAAAUCUUAGAUCCCAGAGAGAUUCAUGAGAGUUCUUGAGAGAUUUUCCAAUCAAGUGAUAGAUCCACUCCCUCUCCCUCUCUUGACCAAAGGAAUUCGUGAUUUGAGCAAGUCUUGAGCAUUUCCCCUUUGUUCUUGUUACUCUUGGAGGUUGGAGACUCCUAGGCGGUAGGAGUGCUCCGGUGAGGAAUCAACUUGUGAUUUGUCCCCUGGAAAGUUUGUGAAGGUUUGGAGGCCGCCUCAAGGUCUACCACUAGUGGAUGAGAAUCGCCUUCGUGGUGAUAUCUUAAGGAGAAUAGGGUGAGCCUUCGUGGCGUUGGUGUGCCUUCGUGGUAACAUCCACCUCUCUAACGGUGACUAGCUUCCCUCCAAGGAAGUGAACAUCGGGAUACAUCCUCGUCUUUGUGACUUUGGUUAUCCCUAACCCUAACUCCUUACUUGUGGUUUACUUUGGUCACUUGACCGUGCAUUCAUUGUAUCUUGUUGUCCUCAUUAUAUUGUGUUGGCCAUUCCCUUGAAGAGAUUAUUUAGGCCUACACUUUAUAUUCGCAAUUCAUACUUUCUACUAUUGUUCUAUCUUAUGCUUAGUGUGAAUUGCUAGCUUGUAACAUUCAUUUCCAUAUCUUGUGACAUAACUUGUGUAAGCUUGUAGUGCUUACUUGAGUUUGCUUGUAUCAUUCAAUUCCAUAUAUUGUGAUACAAUUUGUGUAAGCUUGUAUUGCUUACUUGUGGUUGUGUGUAUUAUUCAUUUCCAUAUCUCAUGAUAUACAUUGAGUAAGUUAGUGUGACUUACUUGUGCUUACUCAUAUCCUCGUUGUUCUCAUCUUGUUUAUCCUAAGUUGUUGGUGCACUUAGUGAGCCUAGUAUAUUUAGGAUUUGUGCUUGAAAAGUAUCUGAUUAGUUUAUUUCCGCAUUAGGAUAUAGCCAAAUCCGUAAAAGAUUUUAAAACGCCUAUUCACCCCCCCCCCUCUAGGCGACAUCAUGGUCCUUUCAGGCGGGCGCCCGGCGGAGCGGCGGCGGUGCGCGUGGGGAAGGAGACCGCGGCGAGCGCGAGGACAACGCCGGAGCGGGGGCAGCCGCGUGGGGAGGCCAGAGCAAGGCUGUGGACGCCAAGGAAGGAGGCCGAGCAUGGCGAGCAGGGGCCCGAGGCCACGUCGGCCUCGCUUGGCAGCGACAAGGGCGAGGCACAGUGAGGCAAGGCUCAGGCACGCGUGUUGACGUGCGUGGGCAUGCGCGUGCGGCAACAGCUAGGCAUAGCGCGGGCGGGAGCGGGUGGACGCGGUGCACGGUCGAGAGCUGCAGGCGGCGACAGCGUGGCCGGCGCGGUGGUGCGCGUGCACGCGGACGGCACCGAGCAGAGGCAGGCAAGGGGGGAGGGCGAGGCCUCACCGAGGGAACGUAGGGGGUACGGGCAGCGGAGGGUCGAGGUGGUCGAUGGGGACGACGGCGUCGGGGGAGGUAGAAAGGCGAGGAGGCGUGGUCGAGGCGGCGUGAGGAGACGAGGAGGCGGAGGAUCCGGAGACGAAGCUCGGCGGCAGGCUGCGAAAUCCAUGGGCGGCAACGGCGAUGUCGGCAGGGCGCGGUUGGGGUUGAGCCCUCGAUCUCGAUCCAGAACGAGGAGGGAGUGGGCGAUGUGGGGGGAGGAGUGGGGUAGUGCGUUCGGGUUAGGGUUUCGGUAGUGGGUGUAAUGGGAGUGUGGGGUGGCCGGUUGGGCUAGCGGUCUGGCCUGGCUGGGCCAAGGCCCAGUUGGGCCGAGGGAGGGAAGGGUUCCCUUCUCCCCUUUUUUUGUAUUUUGUUUUUUUCCUUUUGUUUAUUUUUCUUUCUGUUUUCUUAUUUCUUUUAUUUAUUUAAUAAUUUAUAGUUUUACAAAAAGUAAAACCCAUUCCUAAAAUAGAGUUACAAUUCCAACUACUUCCACAGAAAGUUUUACCCCUGAUCAAAAUAGUUUAGCAUUUUAUAAUAUUCAAAAGGCAUUUAUUUAAUAGUUUUACCUACUGUUUUAAUCAUUUAAGUGCAUUUAAACCUUUUAUAAAAAUGUGGUUUCUCCAUAAUAAUUACCUAUGCAUUAUUUGGCAACACCCCAACAUUUUAGUUUAAUAUUUGAAAACCUUUACAGUUUGACUUUAUUUUAAGUUUGAAUUUCAAAUCAAUUUUGAAUUAACACGAGAUUAACAACAGUAAUCGUGGUGACGUGGCAUCAUUAACGUGGGAUUACUGUAGCCUAAUUAUCCGGGCGUCACAUAUGCAUGCUAUGAGAUGCAGAAUGAGAUAGAUCCAACUUGUGGGAACAUAAACCACUUGUGGUUGAAAAGGAUGAAUCUAUCGGAUCAAAAAGACUAUAAAAAGAGGUUUUAUUUACCACACGAGGAACUGCUAGACGGAGUGGGAGAGGAGGCCGAGCAGUUCGAUCUUCCGUGCCCUAACUUGGUGCCGAAGGACACCUACAGCGACGACGGAGAAGACGAUGUCCGCGGCCGGCGUGAGGACGGCGUCGGUGAGGUCAUGACAGCUAAGCGCUUCGUCGCCGGCGUCGUCGAGGGCUAUCGGUGGCGCUAGGGUUUGUGCGAGAGUGGAAGAAGAGAUAAUGACUAGGGUGAGGCGUGUAUUUAUAGAGAUAGGGACGGCACAGCGUUAUUACGCAGGUGCCCCUGGCGGUUCACAUCUGAAGGACACGUGGCGAUCAUGCAACACAUUGGAGGUUGUUCCAUGUUCCCUUGCACGCCUGCAUUGUCGGGUGGUCGUUCCCACUUCUCCGGGUUUCAGGUAAAAAAGAUUGAACAUUUAAAAACAGAUUUAAUGUUUGUCUUUGUAUCUUCUGCUGACAAGGACACAUCAAAGACAUUCGACAGUUUCAAUAGAAUGCAUAUGAUUUGGAUAGAUAGACUUGAGAUAGGAGCAUAGAAAGGUUAGGGUCCGAUCACAUUCACUUAGUUCAAAAGAUUCAAUGUGAAGACAUAGCUAUAAGUGAAUGUUGUAGAGGACAGAAACUAAAUCAGUACAUUGAAGAUAGACAUGAGGCCAUGUUAACAUUGAAGACAAACAAAAUGCGAAGACUUUCAAAUGUAACGCCAUGAGAAAAACACUUCUAAGGGAAGAAUUUGGUGGUGGUGUUACCCACCGUAUAGGAAGUAUUAGACCCAGACACGGCACACAAUUAUUGUGGCGCUCCGAAGUCAAAUUCCAUGUUAAUGUAUUCACACUCAGAAUGUAAGUCUUCAUUGUUUGAAGAUAUACUCUACUUCGUGUGUUGCACAUCUAAGUCAUCAACAUGCAUAAGUGUUAGAAUGUGUGCCUGAUCACAGGACAUUUGAGGAUUUCAAGAUAUUUAGCUCACACCGUAAUUUGCAAAACCUUUUCUCAUCCAAGGGCUUUGUGAAGAUAGCUGCCAGUUGCUCUUCAGUGUUGACAUGUAUGAUAUCAAUAUCUUCCUUCAUGACAUGAUCUCUCAAAAAGUGAUGACGAAUUUCAAUGUGCUUUGUCUUCGAGUGCUGAACUGGGUUGUUAGCAAUCUUGAUGGCGCUUUCAUUGUCGCAGUAGAGUGGCACUUGUUUCAGAUGAAUGCCAUAGUUUUUGAGUGUUUACUUCAUCCAUAGAAGCUGAGCGCAGCAAGAUUCAACAGCAAUGUAUUCAGAUUCAGUAGUGGAGAGAGAUGCACAGUUCUGCUUCUUUGAAGACCAACAUACAAGUGAGCGUCCCAGAAAGUGACAUGUGCCUGAUGUAGACUUGUGAUCCACCUUGUCACCAGCAUAAUCAGUAUCCGAGAAUCCAACUAGAUCAAACUCUGAGCCCUUUGGAUACCACAAUCCUAGUGUUGGGCUGUGAGCCAAAUAUCAAAGAAUUCGCUUCACAGCUAAGUGAUGCGAUUCCUUUGGUGCCGCUUGGAAUCGGGCACACAUACAAACACUAAGCAUGAUAUCUGGCCUAGAUGCACAUAAAUAAAGCAAAGAACCAAUCAUGGGGCGGUAUACCUUUUGAUAGAACUCUUUACCAUUGUCGUCGGGACCCAGAUGGUGUUUAGCUGGCAUUGGCGUCGUGUAACCUUUGCAAUCUUGCAUUCCAAACUUCUUCAGGCAAUCUUUGAGGUAUUUCUCUUGAGAUAUGAAGAUGCCGUUGUGUUGCUGUCGUAUUUGAAGACCAAGGAAGAACUUCAACUCUCCCAUCAUGGACAUCUGAUAUUGCUCUUGCAUCAUGUAUCCAAACUCAUCACUGUAUUUCUGAUUAGUGCAGCCGAAGAUAAUGUCAUCCACAUAUAUUUGGCACACAAACAGUUCACCAUCACAUGUCUUCGUGAAGAGUGUGGGAUUUAGGGAACCAGGUUAGAAGCCUUUGCUCUUCAGGAAGUCUUUGAGUGUGUCAUACCAAGCACGAGGGGCUUGUUUGAGGCCAUACAGUGCCUUGUUGAUCUUAUACACCAUGUCAGGAUGUUUUGGAUCUUCAAAGCCAGGCGGUUGUGCAACAUACACUUCUUCAAUCUUGCCAUUGAGAAAAGCGCUCUUCACAUCCAUUUGAUACAGAAGAAUGUUAUGAUGAUUUGCAUAGGCCAGCAGUAUGCGUAUAGCUUCAAGCCUAGCCACAGGAGCAAAUGUUUCAUCGAAGUCAAUUCCUUCAACUUGAGUGUAUCCUUGAGCAACGAGACGAGCUUUGUUUCUGACAACUUGACCAUGCUCAUCUUGCUUGUUGCGAUAUAUCCAUUUAGUGCCUAUGAUAUUGUGCUUAUGAGGAUCAGGACGCUUGACCAGUUCCCAUACAUUAUUCAGCUCAAAUUGUUGAAGCUCUUCUUGUUGGGUUUCGUAGUAAUUUCAAAAAAAUUCCUACGCACACGCAAGAUCAUGGUGAUGCAUAGCAACGAGAGGGGAGAGUGUGAUCUACGUACCCUUGUAGAUCGACAACGGAAGCGUUAGCACAACAUGGUUGAUGUAGUCGUACGUCUUCACGGCCCGACCGAUCAAGCACCGAAACUACGGCACCUCCGAGUUCUAGCACACGUUCAGCUCGAUGACGAUCCCCGGACUCCGAUCCAGCAAAGUGUCGGGGAAGAGUUCCGUCAACACGACGGCGUGGUGAUGAUCUUGAUGUACUACCGUCGCAGGGCUUCGCCUAAGCACCGCUACAAUAUUAUCAAGGACUAUGGUGGAAGGGGGCACCGCACACGGCUAAGAAUAUGAUCACGUGGAUCAACUUGUGUGUCUAGGGGUGCCCCCUGCCUCCGUAUAUAAAGGAUCAAAGGGGGGUGAGGCCGGCCAGGGAGGCGCGCCAGGAGGAGUCCUACUCCCUCCGGGAGUAGCAUUCCCCCCCUUUCCUAGUUGGAAUAGGAUUCGGGAGGGGGGAAAGAGGAGAGAGAGAAGGAAGGGGGGCGCCGGCCCCCUCUCCUUGUCCUAUUCGGACUAGGGGGGGAGGGGCGCGUGGCCCAGCCCUGGCCACCUCUCAUCUCUUCCACUAAAGCCCACUAAGGCCCAUAUACCUCCCGGGGGGUUCCGGUAACCUCCCGGUACUCCGGUAAAAUCCCGAUUUCACCCGGAACACUUCCGAUAUCCAAAUAUAGGCUUCCAAUAUAUCAAUCUUUAUGUCUCGACCAAUUCGAGAGUCCUCGUCAUGUUCGUGAUCACAUCCGGGACUCCGAACAAACUUCGGUACAUCAAAACUCAUAAACUCAUAAUAUAACUAUCAUUGAAACCUUAAGCGUGCGGACCCUACGAGUUCGAGAACAAUGUAGACAUGACUGAGACACGUCUUCGGUCAAUAACCAAUAGCGGAACCUGGAUGCUCAUAUUGGCUCCUACAUAUUCUAUGAAGAUCUUUUAUCGGUCAGACCACAUAACAACAUACAUUGUUCCUUUUGUCAUCGGUAUGUUACUUGCCCGGGAUUCGAUCAUCGGUAUCUCAAUACCUAGUUCAAUCUCGUUACCGGCAAGUCUCUUUACUCGUUCCGUAAUACAUAAUCUCACAACUAACUCAUUAGUUGCAAUGCUUGCAAGGCUUAUGUGAUGUGCAUUACCGAGAGGGCCCAGAGAUACCUCUCCGACAAUCGGAAUGACAAAUCCUAAUCUCGAAAUACGCCAACCCAACAUGUACCUUUGGAGACACCUGUAGAGCACCUUUAUAAUCACCCAUUUACUUUGUGAUGUUUGGUAGCACACAAAGUGUUCCUCCGGCAAACGGGGGUUGCAUAAUAUCAUAGUCAUAGAAACAUGUAUAAGUCAUGAAGAAAGCAAUAGCAACAUACUAAACGAUCGGGUGCUAAGCUAACGGAAUGGGUCAUGUCAAUCAGAUCAUUCACCUAAUGAUGUGAUCCCGUUAAUCAAAUAACAACUCUUUGUCUAUGGUUAGGAAACAUAACCAUCUUUGAUCAACGAGCUAGUCUAGUAGAGGCAUACUAGUGACACUCUGUUUGUCUAUGUAUUCACACAUGUAUUAUGUUUCCGGUUAAUACAAUUCUAGCAUGAAUAAUAAACAUUUAUCAUGAUAUAAGGAAAUAAAUAAUAACUUUAUUAUUGCCUCUAGGGCAUAUUUCCUUCAGUCUCCCACUUGCACUAGAGUCAAUAAUCUAGAUUACACAGUAAUAAUUCUAACACCCAUGGAGCCUUGGUGCUGAUCAUGUUUUGCCCGUGGAAGAGGCUUAGUCAAUAGGUCUGCUACAUUCAGAUCCGUAUGUAUCUUGCAAAUCUCUAUGUCUCCCACCUGGACUAGAUCCCGGAUGGAAUUGAAGCGUCUCUUGAUGUGCUUGGUUCUUUUGUGAAAUCUGGAUUCCUUUGCCAAGGCAAUUGCACCAGUAUUGUCACAAAAGAUUUUCAUUGGACCCGAUGCACUAGGUAUGACACCUAGAUCGGAUAUGAACUCCUUCAUCCAGACUCCUUCAUUUGCUGCUUCCGAAGCAGCUAUGUAUUCCGCUUCACACGUAGAUCCCGCCACGACGCUUUGUUUAGAACUGCACCAACUGACAGCUCCACCGUUUAAUGUAAACACGUAUCCGGUUUGCGAUUUAGAAUUGUCCGGAUCAGUGUCAAAGCUUGCAUCGACGUAACCAUUUACGAUUAGCUCUUUGUCACCUCCAUAAACAAGAAACAUAUCCUUAGUCCUUUUCAGGUAUUUCAGGAUGUUCUUGACCGCUAUCCAGUGAUCCACUCCUGGAUUACUUUGGUACCUCCCUGCUAGACUUAUAGCAAGGCACACAUCAGGUCUGGUACACAGCAUUGCAUACAUGAUAGAGCCUAUGGCCGAAGCAUAGGGAACAUCUUUCAUUUUCUCUCUAUCUUCUGCAGUGGUCGGGCAUUGAGUCUGACUCAACUUCACACCUUGUAACACAGGCAAGAACCCUUUCUUUGCUUGAUCCAUUUUGAACUUCUUCAAAACUUUGUCAAGGUAUGUGCUUUGUGAAAGUCCAAUUAAGCGUCUUGAUCUAUCUCUAUAGAUCUUUAUGCCUAAUAUGUAAGCAGCUUCACCGAGGUCUUUCAUUGAAAAACUCUUAUUCAAGUAUCCCUUUAUGCUAUCCAGAAAUUCUAUAUCAUUUCCAAUUAGUAAUAUGUCAUCCACAUAUAAUAUCAGAAAUGCUACAGAGCUCCCACUCACUUUCUUGUAAAUACAGGCUUCUCCAAAAGUCUGUAUAAAACCAAAUGCCUUGAUCACACUAUCAAAGCAUUUAUUCCAACUCUGAGAGGCUUGCACCAGUCCAUAAAUGGAUCGCUGGAGCUUGCACACUUUGUUAGCUCCCUUUGGAUCGACAAAACCUUCUGGUUGCAUCAUAUACAACUCUUCUUCCAGAAAUCCAUUCAGGAAUGCAGUUUUGACAUCCAUCUGCCAAAUUUCAUAAUCAUAAAAUGCAGCAAUUGCUAACAUGAUUCGGACAGACUUAAGCAUCGCUACGGGUGAGAAGGUCUCAUCGUAGUCAACCCCUUGAACUUGCCGAAAACCUUUUGCGACAAGUCGAGCUUUGUAGACAGUAAUAUUACCGUCAGCGUCAGUCUUCUUCUUGAAGAUCCAUUUAUUCUCAAUUGCUUGCCGAUCAUUGGGCAAGUCAACCAAAGUCCAUACUUUGUUCUCAUACAUGGAUCCCAUCUCGGAUUUCAUGGCUUCAAGCCAUUUUGCGGAAUCUGGGCUCACCAUCACUUCUUCAUAGUUCGUAGGUUCAUCAUGAUCUAGUAGCAUGACUUCCAGAACAGGAUUACCGUCCCACCCUGGCGCGGAUCUCACUCUCGUUGAUCUACGAGGUUCAGUAGUAUCUUGUUCUGAAGUUUCAUGAUCAUUAUCAUUAGCUUCCUCACUAAUUGGUGUAGGUGUCACAGAAACAGGUUUCUGUGAUGUACUACUUUCCAAUAAGGGAGUAGGUACAGUUACCUCGUCAAGUUCUACUUUCCUCCCACUCACUUCUUUCGAGAGAAACUCCUUCUCCAGAAAGUUUCCAAAUUUAGCAACAAAAGUCUUGCCUUCGGAUCUAUGAUAGAAGGUGUAUCCAAUAGUUUCCUUUGGAUAUCCUAUGAAGACACAUUUCUCCGAUUUGGGUUCGAGCUUAUUAGGUUGAAGCUUUUUCACAUAAGCAUCGCAGCCCCAAACUUUCAGAAACAACAACUUUGGUUUCUUGCCAAACCACAGUUCAUAAGGCGUCGUCUCAACGGAUUUUGAUGGUGCCCUAUUUAACGUGAAUGCAGCCGUCUCUAGAGAGUAUCCCCAAAACGAUAGCGGUAAAUCAGUAAGAGACAUCAUAGAUCGUACCAUAUCUAGUAAAGUAUGAUUACGACGUUCGGACACACCAUUACGCUGUGGUGUUCCGGGUGGCGUGAGUUGUGAAACUAUUCCACAUUGUUUCAAAUGUACACCAUACUCGUAACUCAAAUAUUCUCCUCCACGAUCAGAUCGUAGGAAUUUUAUUUUCUUGUUAUGAUAAUUUUCAACUUCACUCUGAAAUUCUUUGAACUUUUCAAAUGUUUCAGACUUGUGUUUCAUUAAGUAGAUAUACCCAUAUCUGCUUAAGUCAUCUGUGAAGGUGAGAAAAUAACGAUAUCCGCCAUGAGCCUCAACAUUCAUCGGACCACAUACAUCUGUAUGUAUGAUUUCUAACAAAUCUGUUGCUCUCUCCAUAGUACCGGAGAACGGUGUUUUUGUCAUCUUACCCAUAAGGCACGGUUCGCAAGUACCAAGUGAUUCAUAAUCAAGUGGUUCCAAAAGCCCAUCAGUAUGGAGUUUCUUCAUGCGCUUUAUACCGAUAUGACCUAAACGGCAGUGCCACAAAUAAGUUGCACUAUCAUUAUCAACUCUGCAUCUUUUGGUUUCAACACUAUGAAUAUGUGUGUCACUACUAUCGAGAUUUAAUAAGAAUAGACCACUCUUUAAGGGUGCAUGACCAUAAAAGAUAUUACUCAUGUAAAUAGAACAACCAUUAUUCUCUGAUUUAAAUGAAUAACCGUCUCGCAUCAAACAAGAUCCAGAUAUAAUGUUCAUGCUUAACGCUGGCACCAAAUAACAAUUAUUUAGGUCUAAUAUUAAUCCCGAAGGUAGAUGUAGAGGUAGCGUGCCGACUGCGAUCACAUCGACUUUGGAACCGUUUCCCACGCGCAUUGUCACCUCGUCCUUAGCCAAUCUUCGCUUAAUCCGUAGUCCCUGUUUCGAGUUGCAAAUAUUGGCAACAGAACCAGUAUCAAAUACCCAGGUGCUACUGCGAGAAUUAGUAAGGUACACAUCAAUAACAUGUAUAUCACAUAUACCUUUGUUCACCUUGCCAUCCUUCUUAUCCGCCAAAUACAUGAGGCAGUUCCGCUUCCAGUGACCAGUCUGCUUGCGGUAGAAGCACUCAGUUUUAGGCUUAGGUCCAGGUUUGGGUUUCAUCUCUUGAGCAGCAACUUGCUUGCUGUUCUUUUUGAAGUUCCCCUUCUUCUUCCCUUUGCCCUUUUUCUUGAAACUAGUGGUCUUGUUGACCAUCAACACUUGAUGUUCCUUCUUGAUUUCUACCUCCGCAGCUUUCAGCAUUGCGAAGAGCUCGGGAAUAGUCUUAUUCAUCCCUUGCAUAUUAUAGUUCAUCACGAAGCUUUUGUAGCUUGGUGGCAGUGAUUGGAGAAUUCUGUCAAUGACGCAAUCAUCUGGAAGAUUAAUUCCCAAUUGAAUCAAGUGAUUAUUAUACCCAGACAUUUUGAGUAUAUGCUCACUGACAGAACUGUUCUCCUCCAUCUUGCAGCUAUAGAACUUAUUGGAGACUUCAUAUCUCUCAAUCCGGGCAUUUGCUUGAAAUAUUAACUUCAACUCCUGGAACAUCUCAUAUGCUCCAUGACGUUCAAAACAUCGUUGAAGUCCCGAUUCUAAGCCGUAAAGCAUGGCACACUGAACUAUCAAGUAGUCAUCAGCUUUGCUCUUCCAGACGUUCAUAACAUCUGGUGUUGCUCCAGUAGCAGGCCUGGCACCCAGCGGUGCUUCCAGGAUGUAAUUCUUCUGUGCAGCAAUGAGGAUAAUCCUCAAGUUACGAACCCAGUCCGUGUAAUUGCUACCAUCAUCUUUCAACUUUGCUUUCUCAAGGAACGCAUUAAAAUUCAACGGAACAACAGCAUGGGCCAUCUAUCUACAAUCAAACAUAAAUAAGCAAGAUACUAUCAGGUACUAAGUUCAUGAUAAAUUUAGGUUCAAUUAAUCAUAUUACUUAAGAACUCCCACUUAGAUAGACAUCCCUCUAAUCCUCUAAGUGAUUACGUGAUCCAAAUCAACUAAACCAUGUCCGAUCAUCACGUGAGAUGGAGUAGUUUCAUUGGUGAACAUCGCUAUGUUGAUCAUAUCUGCUAUAUGAUUCACCCUCGACCUUUCGGUCUCCGUGUUCCGAGGCCAUAUCUGUAUAUGCUUGGCUCGUCAAGUAUAACCUGAGUAUUCCGUGUGUGCAACUGUUUUGCACCCGUUGUAUUUGAACGUAGAGCCUAUCACACCCGAUCAUCACGUGGUGUCUCAGCACGAAGAACUUUCGCAACGGUGCAUACUCAGGGAGAACACUUCUUGAUAAUUAGUGAGAGAUCAUCUUAUAAUGCUACCGUCAAUCAAAGCAAGAUAAGAUGCAUAAAAGAUAAACAUCACAUGCAAUCAAUAUAAGUGAUAUGAUAUGGCCAUCAUCAUCUUGUGCUUGUGAUCUCCAUCUUCGAAGCACCGUCAUGAUCACCAUCGUCACCGACGCGACACCUUGAUCUCCAUCGUAGCAUCGUUGUCAUCUCGCCAAUCUUAUGCUUCCACGACUAUCGCUACCGCUUAGUGAUAAAGUAAAGCAUUACAGCGCGAUUGCAUUGCAUACAAUAAAGCGACAACCAUAUGGCUCCUGCCAGUUGCCGAUAACUCGGUUACAAAACAUGAUCAUCUCAUACAAUAAAAUUUAGCAUCAUGUCUUGACCAUAUCACAUCACAACAUGCCCUGCAAAAACAAGUUAGACGUCCUCUACUUUGUUGUUGCAUGUUUUACGUGGCUGCUACGGGCUUAAGCAAGAACCAAUCUUACCUACGCAUCAAAACCACAAUGAUAGUUUGUCAAGUUGGUGCUGUUUUAACCUUCGCAAGGACCGGGCGUAGCCACACUCGGUUCAACUAAAGUUGGAGAAACUGUCACCCGCUAGCCACCUUUGUGCAAAGNNNNNNNNNNNNNNNNNNNNNNNNNNNNNNNNNNNNNNNNNNNNNNNNNNNNNNNNNNNNNNNNNNNNNNNNNNNNNNNNNNNNNNNNNNNNNNNNNNNNNNNNNNNNNNNNNNNNNNNNNNNNNNNNNNNNNNNNNNNNNNNNNNNNNNNNNNNNNNNNNNNNNNNNNNNNNNNNNNNNNNNNNNNNNNNNNNNNNNNNNNNNNNNNNNNNNNNNNNNNNNNNNNNNNNNNNNNNNNNNNNNNNNNNNNNNNNNNNNNNNNNNNNNNNNNNNNNNNNNNNNNNNNNNNNNNNNNNNNNNNNNNNNNNNNNNNNNNNNNNNNNNNNNNNNNNNNNNNNNNNNNNNNNNNNNNNNNNNNNNNNNNNNNNNNNNNNNNNNNNNNNNNNNNNNNNNNNNNNNNNNNNNNNNNNNNNNNNNNNNNNNNNNNNNNNNNNNNNNNNNNNNNNNNNNNNNNNNAAUUUCCUACGCACACGCAAGAUCAUGGUGAUGCAUAGCAACGAGAGGGGAGAGUGUGAUCUACGUACCCUUGUAGAUCGACAACGGAAGCGUUAGCACAACGUGGUUGAUGUAGUCGUACGUCUUCACGGCCCGACCGAUCAAGCACCGAAACUACGACACCUCCGAGUUCUAGCACACGUUCAGCUCGAUGACGAUCCCCGGACUCCGAUCCAGCAAAGUGUCGGGGAAGAGUUCCGUCAGCACGACGGCGUGGUGACGAUCUUGAUGUACUACCAUCGCAGGGCUUCGCCUAAGCACCGCUACAAUAUUAUCGAGGACUAUGAUGGAAGGGGGCACCGCACAUGGCUAAGAAUAUGAUCACGUGGAUCAACUUGUGUGUCUAGGGGUGCCCCCUGCCUCCAUAUAUAAAGGAUCAAAGGGGGGUGCAGCCGGCCAGGGAGGGUGCGCCAGGAGGAGUCCUACUCCCUCCGGGAGUAGGAUUCCCCCCCUUUCCUAGUUGGAAUAGGAGUCGGGAGGGGGGAAAGAGGAGAGAGAGAAGGAAGGGGGGCGCCGGCCCCCCUCUCCUUGUCCUAUUCGGACUAGGGGGGAGGGGCGCGCGGCCCUGCCCUGGCCACCUCUCCUCUCUUCCACUAAAGCCCACUAAGGCCCAUAUACCUCCCGGGGGGGUCCGGUAACCUCCCGGUACUCCGGUAAAAUCCCGAUUUCACCCGGAACACUUCCGAUAUCCAAAUAUAGGCUUCCAAUAUAUCAAUCUUUAUGUCUCAACCAAUUCGAGACUCCUCGUCAUGUCCGUGAUCACAUCCGGGACUUCGAACAAACUUCGGUACAUCAAAACUCAUAAACUCAUAAUAUAACUGUCAUCGAAACCUUAAGCGUGCGGACCCUACGGGUUUGAGAACAAUGUAGACAUGACCGAGACACGUCUCCGGUCAAUAACCAAUAGCGGAACCUGGAUGCUCAUAUUGGCUCCUACAUAUUCUACGAAGAUCUUUUAUCAGUCAGACCGCAUAACAACAUAUGUUGUCCCUUUUGUCAUCGGUAUGUUACUUGCCCGAGAUUCGAUCGUCGGUAUCUCAAUACCUAGUUCAAUCUCAUUACCGGCAAGUCUCUUUACUUGUUCCGUAAUACAUCAUCUCACAACUAACUCAUUAGUUGCAAUGCUUGCAAGGCUUAUGUGAUGUGCAUUACCGAGAGGGCCCAGAGAUACCUCUCCGACAAUCGGAGUGACAAAUCCUAAUCUCGAAAUACGCCAACCCAACAUGUACCUUUGGAGACACCUGUAGAGCACCUUUAUAAUCACCCAUUUACAUUAUGAUGUUUGGUAGCACACAAAGUGUUCCUCCGGCAAACGGGAGUUGCAUAAUCUCAUAGUCAUAGGAACAUGUAUAAGUCAUGAAGAAAGCAAUAGCAACAUACUAAAUGAUCGGGUGCUAAGCUAACGGAAUGGGUCAUGUCAAUCAGAUCAUUCACCUAAUGAUGUGACCCCGUUAAUCAAAUAACAACUCUUUGUCUAUGGUUAGGAAACAUAACCAUCUUUGAUCAACGAGCUAGUCUAGUAGAGGCAUACUAGUGACACUCUGUUUGUCUAUGUAUUCACACAUGUAUUAUGUUUCCGGUUAAUACAAUUCUAGCAUGAAUAAUAAACAUUUAUCAUGAUAUAAGGAAAUAAAUAAUAACUUUAUUAUUGCCUUUAGGGCAUAUUUCCUUCACUUCUUGCAUAGCUUGAAUCCAUUCAGGUUCCAUCAAGGCUUCAUCAACUUUCUUGGGUUCGGAUAUUGAGACGAAUGUGAAGUGCCCACAGAAAUUUGCUAGUUGUGUUGCCCUUGAACGAGUGAGUGGACCAGGUGCAUUGAUGCUAUCAAUUAUUUUCUCAAUCUGUACUUCAUUUGCAACACGAGGAUGAACAGGACACAUAUUUUGCUCUUGCUGAUCAUUGUCAUCGUUAGCAGGAUUGUCUUCAGGCUGAGCAUUGUCUUCUGGUUGAUCUGGUGUAGAGAUGAUGAGUUCCUCUUCGGGCUGUGCUUCAGACGGUAUGAUUUCUCCAGUUCCCAUAAGCUUGAUGGAUUCACUGGAUGGAACUUCAUCUAGCACAUUUGGCAGGUGCUCUCUUUGCGAGCCGUUAGUCUCAUCGAACCGCACAUACACAAUUUCAACCACUUUAUAGUGAAAGAGGUUGAAGACUCUAUAGGAGUGCGAAUCCUUUCCGUAUCCAAGCAUAAAACCUUCAUGUGCUUUCGGUGCAAAUUUUGAAGUGUGAUGUGGAUCCUUGAUCCAGCACCUGGGACCAAAUACUUUGAAGUAACUAACAUUUGGCUUCUUACCAGUGAGAAGCUCAUAGGAUGUUUUGUUCAGAAGCUUGUGAAGAUAAACAUGGUUGAUGAUAUGGCAUGCAGUAUCAAUGGCUUUAGGCCAGAACUUUCUUGGAGUCUUGUAUUCAUCGAGCAUCGUCCGGGCCAUCUCAAUGAGUGUUAUGUUCUUGCGUUCCAUGAUGCCAUUCUGUUGCGGCAUGUACGGAGCUGAGAACUCAUGAGUGAUGCCCAAAGUAUCAAGAUAAGUGUCGAGGCCGGUGUUCUUGAAUUCGGUGCCAUUGUCACUUCUGAUGUGCUUGAUCUUGACGCCAUAGUUGUUCAUGGCUCGAUUAGCAAAACGUCUAAAGACAUCCUGCACUUCAGUCUUGUAGAGAAUUAUAUGCACCCAUGUAUAUCUUGAAUAAUCAUCAACAAUGACGAAGCCAUAGAGACAAGUAGUAGUAGUAAGAGUUGAGUAGUGAGUGGGACCGAAGAGGUCCAUGUGUAGCAGUUCGAAGGGUUGAGUCAUUGUCAUGAUUGUCUUCGAGGGAUGCUUGGCCCUCGUCAUCUUUCCAGCUUCGCAAGCACCGCAUAAGUGAUCCUUCUUGAACUUGACGCCCUCGAUGCCUGUGAUAUGCUUCUUCUUUGCAAGAGUGUGCAAGUUCCUCAUGCCAGCAUGCCCUAGCCUCCGAUGCCAGAGCUAGCAUUCUGAAGCUUUUGCAAGAAGACAUACGGCAAGCUGUGGUCCUGCUGAGAAAUCUACCAUGUACAAAUCAUCUUUCCGAUACCCUUCAAAGACUAGAGACUUGUCAGAUUCCAUUAGAACAAGGCAACGAUAUUUUCCAAACAUCACAAUCAUGUUUAAAUCGCAAAGCAUUGAGACGGACAUUAAGUUGGAACCAAGGGAUUCAACAAGCAUCACUUUAUCCAUGUGCUGAUCCCUUGAGAUUGCAACUCUACCUAGACCCAAUACCUUGCUUUUACCAGUAUCAGCAAAUGUGAUGUGACUCUUGUCAGAUGGACGUAGGGUUGAGUCCAUGAGAAGACUUCGCUUGCCAGUCAUGUGAUUAGUACACCCACUAUCAAUAAUCCAUUCUGAAGCAACUGGUAUCAUACCCUAUAGUGUAGUUAGGGGGAUAGGCUUCACGAAGAGAAUUGUGAAGCAUAAACAUUUGACGAGCAAGUGGAUUAUGAAAGCUUAGAUCGAGGUUAGCACUGAUAGGGCAAGUAGCAAGCGACUCAGGAACAAAAUACAUAAUAAGACCAUUUGGGCAUUUGAUCUUGCGCCCUACAAGAUGUUUAAGGUCCCCAGCAAUAGCUUUAGACACAUUUGAUUUUCGGCUGGAGACCCUUCCCUGCAAAAGAGAGUUAAGCUUUCUUAGCCACCCACAUCUUCAAGGGUGGCUUCGAAGCAAUGAGUCUAAGUGCAGCAUCUGAGAACUUUGGCUUUGGAGCCCUAGCAAAUAGUCUUGCAGGUGGACAAUAGUACUCAUAAGAAUAAGCAGAGUAGUUCUUGGUCUUAUGAACAUGGCGGUUUGAUGAAACGCGUUCAUAUUCAUAGGCCUGAGUAUGGUUUCCCUGCAAAACAUUUGCGUUAGUGCGACUCAGGUGAGUCCUCUAUCUGUAUGAAGCUUUUGGACCAUAUGAAGCCCGUGGUCUGGGGUUUGUCUUCUUCACUUGUGGUGUCAUGACGACAUACACAGGAAGAUUUUCCACACACUUUUUCGGCACCCAGAUCUUCAUAGGUGGCCCAUACCUGCAGUUAGUACCAAUAUACCUGGCAAACACUUCACCAUUCUGAUUCUUAAAUAGUUUACAGUUUGCAUCAAAGGAUUCAUCAAUAACAAUGGGAUUAGCACAAGUGAAGCCAGAUAGGGUGGAUGGAUCCACUGAAGGUUCCUUCACAGCAACCCAUGUGGUUUUGGGGUACUGCUCAGGUUUCCAGUAAGAGCCAUCAGCAUUCAUUUUCCUUUCGAACCCAACACCCUGUUUCCUAGGGUUUCGGUUCAGGAUCUGUCUUUUGAGGACAUCACAUAGUGUCUGAUGCCCUUUGAGACUUUUGUACAUUCCUGUUUCAAGCAAUGUCUUCAACCUAGCAUUUUCAUCAGCAAUAGCAGUGGUAUCCUCAGCAGAGGGGUUAGUUACCACAUCAACAGUUGAAGAUAUUGCAACAGUAGCAGCAGUAGAACAUCCAGCAACAGAAGUAGCAUUGUCACGCUCAAUGCAUUUAAGACAUGGUGGUUCAAAUGCUUCCUGAGCGGAACUGAUUUGUUUGGCGCGAAGUGACUCAUUUUCCUUUUGAAGAUCUUCAUGAGUCGCUCUCAAUUUAUCAAGAUCUUGCUUCCUUUGAAGAUAAUCAUAGGAAAGCUUUUCAUGAGUUGUUGAGAGCGUUUCAUGACGACUUUCAAGUUCCUCAUACUUAACAUGAAGAUUUUUUAUGUCUUCAAUUAAGGACUGAGAUCGAGUCAUUUCAGCAUCUAACAGGUUAUCGCUUUUGUCUAACAGUUUUUGAAUAUGUUCCAUAGCUUUAUGUUGUUCAGUUGCAAUUUUAGCAAGUGUUUUGUAGCUGGGUUUGGAACCACAAUUAGAGUCAUCUUCACUGGAUGUUUGAUAGUGAGUAGUGCGUGAGUUUACCUUGGCACCGCGUGCCAUGAAGCAGUAGGUGGGAGCGGAGUUGUCCUGGUCAUUAGCAUCGGCGUCGGUGAUGAAGUCAUUGUCUUCAAUGUUGAAGAUGGACUUGGCAACUUAGGCUGUAGCCAGACUUGCAACACCAGAAUCAGAAUCCUCCUUAGACUCCACCUUCGCCUCCUCAGAAGCAGACUCCUCCUCUGAAUCCAUUUCCUUGCCAGCAAACGCACGAGCCUUGCCAGAUGAGCUCUUCUUGUGUGAUGAAGACUUUGAUGAAGAUUUGGAAGAAGACUUUGAGUAUUUCUUCUUCUUCUUGUCAUCAGAAUCAUAUUCCUUGCUCUUCUUCUUCUUCUUGUUCUCAUUGUCCCACUGCGGACACUCAGAGAUGUAGUGGCCAGGUUUCUUGCACUUGUGGCAUGUUCUCUUCUUGUAGUCAUGAGCAGAAGCUUCAUCAUUCCUUGAGCUGGAUCGUGAGGACUUUCUGAAGCCUUUCUUCUUGGUGAAUUUCUGGAACUUCUUCACAAGCAUAGCAAGCUCCUUUCCAAUGUCUUCAGGAUCAUCAGAACUGCAAUCAGAUUCUUCUUCAGAUGAGGAAACAGUUUUUGCCUUCAAAGCACGAGUUCGUCCAUAGUUGGGACCGUAGAUGUCUCUUUUCUCAGAAAGCUGAAACUCAUGUGUGUUGAGCCUUUCAAGUAUGUCAGACGGAUCGAGUGUCUUGAAGUCAGGGCGUUCUUGUAUCAUCAGGGCUAGGGUGUCAAACGAGCUGUCAAGUGAUCUCAGGAGUGUCUUGACGACUUCAUGCUUGGUGAUCUCAGUAGCGCCGAGGGCUUGAAGCUCAUUUGUGAUGUCAGUGAGUCGAUCAAACGUGAGCUGAACAUUCUCAUUGUCGUUUCUCUUGAAGCGGUUGAAGAGGUUGCGAAGGACACUGAUUCUUUGAUCUCUCUGGGUUGAGACGCCUUCGUUGACCUUGGAGAGCCAGUCCCAGACUAGCUUGGAUGUUUCCAGAGCACUCACACGGCCAUACUGUCCUUUGGUCAGAUGACCACAGAUGAUGUUCUUGGCAGUGGAAUCCAGUUGAACGAACUUCUUGACAUCAGCAGUGGUGACACCUUCACCAGCCUUGGGAACGUCAUUCUUGACGACAUACCAAAGGUCGACAUCAAUGGCUUCCAGAUGCAUGCGCAUCUUAUUUUUCCAGUAGGGAUAUUCAGUUCCAUCGAAGACAGGGCAUGCAACGGAGACUUUGAUUAUCCUUGCAGUCGACAUAGCUAAAACUCCAGGUGGUUAAACCGAAUCACACAGAAUAAGGGAGUACCUUGCUCUGAUACCAAUUGAAAGUGCUAGUGAUCGACUAGAGGGGGUGAAUAGGCGAUUUUUAUGAAAGUCUUCAAAACAUGGAAGUUUCAAAGACAAAUGAUAGAAAUAAACCUAUUACCAUGCAGCGGAAGGUAGACUACACUAAGCAGACCAUAGUCAAGUAUUCAAUAAAAUAAAAGCACAAAGACUAAUAGCAGCUAGGCAGUAUAGAUCAGGAUGGAAGAUAGUAUGAAGCCAAUCAGAACAAGCAGUCACACAAUAAAGGCAAAUAGAUAAUGCAAACAGGCAAUGACUUCACAAGGACCAAUCUGCAAAUAAGAGAUAGGAAAGAUAGAACCAGUGGUUCGUUGAAGACAAUGAUUUGUUGGACCAGUUCCAGUUGCUGUGACAACUGUACGUCUAGUUAGGGAGGCUGAGAUUCAACUCAGAAGACCGCGUCUUCACCUUAUUCCCCUUGAGCUAAGGACACCCAGUCCUCGCCCAAUCACUCUGGUAAGUCUUCAAGGUAGACUUCCAAACCUUCACAGACUUUGUUCACCGGCGAUCCACAAUGACUCUUGGAUGCUCAGAACGCGACGCCUAACCGGCUGGAGAAUUCACAGUCCUCAAGUGUAAUAAGUCUUCAGAUCACACAGACAGGAAGACUUCAGUGAUGCCUAACACUCUUUGGCUCUGGGUGUUUAGGGCUUUGUCCUCGCAAGGAAUUCUCUCUCAAAGGAUUUGAGGUGGGUUGCUCUCAAAGACAGAAGCCGUACACUAACUCUGAGCAGCCAACCAAUUUAUGGUGUAGGGGGUGGGCUAUUUAUAGCCACUAGGCAAUCCGACCUAAUUUGUCCGAAAUGACCCUGGGUCACUAAGGAACUGACACGUGUUUCAACGGUCAGAUUUCAAACACACACGGCAACUUUACUUGAGCUACAAGCAAAGCUGACUUAUUCAGCUCUGGAUAAGAUUUGCUCUCAUUGUCUUCGCUCGAAGACAUAGGAUUUUGGUUAAGCAUCACUUCAGUCAUUCUGACUGGUUCACUUGGACCCCACUUAACAGUACGAUGGUUCCUAUGACUCAACAAAGAAGAAAAUGAAACAACGAAACAACUAAGUCUUCGCGCUCCAUAGUCUUCACAAAAUGUCUUCUCUUGUCAUAGUCUUCAAUGUGAAUACAUUCACAUACCACCUUUGUCUUUAAUGUCUUCAUACAUUUUUAGGGGUCAUCUCCGGUAGGUAAAUUGAAUCAAUGAGGGACUUCUACCUGUGUUAUCCUGCAAUUCUCACAAACACAUUAGUCCUUCAACCAGGUUUAUCGUCAAUACUUCAAAAUCAACUAGAGGUGGCACUAGAUGCACUUACACCUCCUCUCCAAACGACGGGAUUGCGCCGCGAGUAGGGCCCUGGUGUACGUGGCGCUCGCCGCAGGCGAGCUCGUCGGGCGGCGUCACGGCAAGGCGGCGCGGCGCGAGCACUUCCACGGACUUCCCGUCUCCUCAAGCUUCUCCACCAACGCCCGUGUGCUCGACCGCGAGGGCCGCCACGACGUCGGCCGUGACCUGCUCGACGAAAUGCCGCUGCCUACUUGAACCUCAACACUGCUCCUGGGGAUGUAACGAGUGGAAAAUUUUGCGCCCCCAUGCUAAAAUUUUCGCCGGCAGCCCCCCAAGCGGCGGAAGAAAUGCCUCCUGGGGGUGCCAACGAGUGGAGAUGCUCUAAGCACAUAGGCUCCUGAACUUUGGCCACAUUGCGUGAGAUUGAUAAGAGCAGACAAGAAAGAGGAUAUAGUUUUGCUGACAGCGACGGCAUUCAAGCACAUCAUGUAGCAUUGCCGGAAUACCAUACAUACAUCGACACGUACGAUGCCACCAUUCAACGAUCGAGUUGAGUACCGAGUGCCCUAUCCUUCAUGGCACCUCGCAGCACACCAAAGGGAAAGAGGGUCUAAUAAUUAACCAAUCGUAAUAUGGUUUGCUGCGUUUCUACUACUGACUUAUAACAUGAAAAGAAAUCCAUUAUAUAAAUCCAAGCAAUCUGGACAGGGCAAUAUAUUUGUAUUACUUUCAAGGAUAAUGAUCACGCAAGGCACCAGCAGACGGUUAAAUUAUCCUACAUAGUACAUGAUUCUCAUAAGGUGCUAGGAUAAAUAUCAUUUACCGAUGAAAGAAUGGUGAAUAUAUGACAUUGUAGAAAACAAGAGUAUUUCGCAAAACAAAUAAAAAAAAUACAAGAGUUGCCAAUAGAACUCCGACACAAAAUAAUCCAUGGAACAAGUGGUUUUCAUUUGCAAAAAUCGUAGAACACCUUAUAAUCGUACUCUCUUACUAAUCCAGUGACUGAAACGCAUCAAAGAAAUGCAUCGCCAUUCAACCUUCGAAAUUAAGACGCUGGUGAUCUAUCGUGAUUUGAGACACCCAGCAUAUGAACCAAUUCAAGAUCGACACAAGUCCAAGAGCUUCUUGUGUCAUCAUGGGACGACAACAAAAUCCUGGUUAGUGUCACAUCGUCAGUUUAACACAAACGCUACUGUCAACAUGAGACAGCAGCACAAACAUUACUAAUACACAAAGCUUGCAUCGACAGAAAAGCACGAAUACGGUGGCGUGCACUCAUAAACAACCGCAGAUGACAGUGGGAUGUGCUAAGAAACACUAGAAGGUCAAUACGCAGCCCAGGUUAAUUGCUUCACAGUAAAAAUGGGGCAGGAAAGAUGUCACUUUCUAAUGAUGCACAAGUUCACUACAGUACAAAUUGCAAAAAAGGAUAGCCAAAUAUCCAAUUUGACUAACCUUGGGUACAUCAUAACUUUUGGCACCUGGAAGUGAAGUGAAGAAGUCCACAUACUUUCAGGUGACAACCAAGGAGAAUGUGCCAUCGCCAUUUUGAGUACAUUUUUCCUCAGAGAAUUUCAUUCAUCUCAACCAUGGUCAAGAUAUCCAUUUCCAUCUUCGACGGCUCACUACAACUUUAAAGCAUAAAGCACGACCCCCUAAUCAUAUUGUCUAUGGGCGCGAUUCAUGGGAGAACCACAUAGCAUAAUCAGCUAGGCACAGAGAUGUCACAAUAGCUGGAUUGUUAAAGAGAGCUGCACUAGGUCUUCUGGCCUUCGCU
This 97802-nucleotide long non-coding RNA is filed under the name Triticum aestivum (bread wheat). Its description in RNAcentral is "long non-coding RNA (TAES_LNC014479)". The record is from RNAcentral. Lineage: Eukaryota; Viridiplantae; Streptophyta; Magnoliopsida; Poales; Poaceae.